GAUUGUAAGGUUUUAAAAGUUGAAAAAAAGAACUGAAUUACAGGAAUUAUGGAACUAUAUCAAAAGGCAUAUGCCUUCUUCCUUGAGGCGAAAAAAACUCGCCCAGCACAGUAAUACGUUUGCCCCAUCAGUUGGGGGCGUGCACGCAACGGUAUGUCCACCCCCUUCAACUGCCCGGGGCAGUUGACAUGUGCCCUGCCCUGGAGGCAUGCCUUAUUAACACCUCUCAAAACAAUGCUUUGCACUGCUUCUUGGUUUUACUCGUACAUUUAAUUGAGGAAUUCAUAUUGUGGGUUGGUCUGUUAGACAUGCCAAAAUGAAGUCUUGUAACACAGACAACAUAUGAUUUUUUAUGUUGUAAUAUUUUUUUGCACCACAGCAUGUGGUUUCCCGAGAAUAAAUUUGCAAAUAUAUCUAGAAGUUCUUUGAAAGAGAUUUUUUUUCUCCAACCAAUCAAAGUUUUUAAAAUUUCUGGAGGUUCUUGAGUAGUUGUUGCUUGUCAAAAAAUUGGCCUACCUAGUUGGUUGCGUAUUCUUGGGCCAUUGAUAAAGUUCUGUGGGUUAUGCUGUGAAUAAAAUGACAGACUUGGAAGCAAAGUGGCUUAAAUUUUGUAAUGGAAUAAGCAUAAUCAUGUCAACAAGUUGCUUUUUAUCACCAAUAUCUGGUCUUAGAUGUGUGUCUUCCAGAUGAAGAUGUCAAAGCUGGAAUUACAUCAUAUUUGAAGCUACAUAGUUGAAAUAUUUUCUUUUAAUGGACCAAAAUUCGGGUAUUUCAUCUUUUUUUUUUUAAAAACAAAUUUUGGAGUUAGGAUUUUGAGUAAUCGGGUGUCCUAGCUUACCCUUUCUUCACUGUUAUCAUGUGAAUAUGGUUCUUUCAAGUUGUUUAUUUUGUCUACUCCCUCCACUACAUCUUAACUUGAAUUUUUUAUACCAUUACCUUGCCAUCCAUUCCAGACUGAAUGUUUGUAUAAUUGCAAUUUAAUAUUGCUUAAGUUGUGUUUCCUAUUCUAUUUCAGAGAUCAUCUUGCGACAUAUGCUAGUGUUUACCCAGCACAAUUCAUCCUUGGUUACUGCUCGAUAUAUAUCUUCAUGCAGACAUUCAUGAUCCCUGGGACAAUCUUCAUGUCCUUACUUGCUGGAGCACUUUUUGGUGUUAUCAGGGGCCUUUUCUUGGUUGUCUUUAAUGCCACUGCCGGGGCAUCAUCCUGCUAUUUUCUGUCUAAGCUAGUCGGAAGGCCUAUAGUUAAUUGGCUUUGGCCUGAGAAAUUGAGAUUUUUCCAGGCAGAGGUACAUACACUGUGACUUAGUUUUUUGUACAUGCUUAAUUGGUAAUUUAUGCACCUCAUUCAUGAUAGUCAUUUCCCUUGCUCUUUUCAGAUAGCAAAACGCAGAGACAAGUUGCUUAAUUAUAUGUUGUUUUUGAGAGUAACUCCAACCCUGCCAAACCUUUUUAUCAACCUGGCCUCACCCAUUGUUGAUAUACCAUUUCAUAUCUUUUUUCUGGCUACUGUGGUGGGUCUGAUUCCAGCUUCUUACAUUACUGUCAGAGUAAGUUCUUUUCUACUGGGUUUUGGUUUCAAUUUGCGCUUUUAUCUAUGGUUUGUUUUUUCUUCAUUUUUUUUUCUUUUCUCUUUGGCUAUUAUAUGUAAUAUGUUUCUUAGGGGCAUAUUACUGUGACAGAGCAGUAUAUGUUGUUUCUUAAGAUUGUAAAACACAGUAUACAAAUAUAUAGAGCAUCUGUAGGCCAUUGCUCGAAAGUGUGUGUGGACUAAGUUGAAGUGGCAUAACUAGAUUCUUUUGAAAGGGGUUUUAUUACUGGAAUGCCUUAAAAAUCUUGUUCGGAUGACGUUUUGUUGUGCUUCUUGGUAAUGUAAGAAUUUGUUGUGCCUUCGGAAAUCUUUUAACCUGUCAUCGCCUUGCAACUGGAUUCCAUAAGUUAGGCUUAAAUUACUUGAUCAUAUACAAAAAUGCGUGCAAUGGCGAUUGUCAAUACGAUACUGAGUAUAGGAAUUAGUUCUUUUGUCUUGCCUUCCACUUUCAAUGGCUCCAUGGAGUGGAUAAUGUUGCUUUAUUCUGCAUUCUGCAGUUAAUUAUGUGAUUAGUGGAGUUCAAAAAAAUUAUGUGAUUAGUUAUGCUCUAUGUCAGAAUUAUUAAAUACAAGUGGAAUUGCUGAUAUCCUCCAGUAGACAUACUAGUGACAGUCAUGACUGCAUGAAGCCUAUCCAUCAAUUGUUGGUUCAUGCCUUGAACACAUUUGAUUUACAGCUGCUUUUGUUGUCAUCAGGCUGGCCUUGCACUUGGGGAGUUGAAGUCAGUUAAAGAUUUGUAUGAUUUCAAAACUUUAUCUGUUCUUUUCCUCAUUGGAUCGGUGGCCAUAAUUCCAACCUUUUUGAAGAGGAAGCGAGUCUAUGAAUAGAGAUUCUUGUUACCACCUACCCGUCUUUUUGAGGGAAUGAAACUGGUGACAGGGUAUGAUCUGACUGGUAUACCAUUUUAAAAAGUUGGGGAACAGAGGUGCGAGUCCUUGUUAACUGCAAUGCACCUGAAGGUUAGAAGUGGGUUCGCUUCACUUGCGAUUUGCAGUCAAUCACAGCUUUAAGCAUCAAAAGAAGUGCUGAUUUAGUUGAUUUCGCAUACUAUUGGCUCACCUGUCUUCCUGGGGGUUUAUGAGGCCAACAAGCUGAAAUAUAACCAAUUGCUAACUACUUUUGUAUUCCAAUAUCAGCAUAGUCAUUUGUUAGGCAAAAGUAAUGUUGUAAUUUCCUUUCCGGGUAUUUCCUUCCCUACGUCUUACUUGUUCCUUACUUUGUUACGUGUGUACCAUGUUAGGAUCCUAUUGGAUUGGACAUAGUUGAAGAUAAUAGCUCUGUUUGGAUCAUUCUUUUCCGAAGUGUUUUUAGAAAAAAAUUUAUCGUAACAACCUUUUUUUUUCUUGAACAAGUAUAUGUGAGAUAAUUAGGCAGUGAGAUAAUGUGUUAAAAAUUUAAUAAAAUCAAUGCAAAUAAACCAGACAUUUCCAUAGGUAAUUGGCGGUUUUUCUAUCAUCUUAGGCUAAAUUUACACUGCAAAUGUGUUUGACUCGUAUUAAAUAAUCAUUUCCAUACUUUGGUGAUUUCAUGGGAUGAUUAAUGUUUGCUAUAGACGGUUGUUGUGGGGCCAUGUUUUGCCUAAGAAUUAAGUGAUAUAUAUAUAUAGAGAGAGAGAUAUAUAUAUGUAUGUAUAUAUGGACUGUGAACCUUAUAAGGAGAAUAAGGAAGGGCUUUAGAGUUGAACCAUGAACCUCACCGUCAUUUAUCCAAUGUUCUUAGCAACUAAGUAGACCUUGAAUAUAACCGGAUGUAACUCCAUGAAAAUGAUAAAGAAGGACUCUAAAAUUUUAACAUUUGUGAAUUACUAACUAAAUUGAAUUGUCAAUUUUUCACAAGUAUAGAAUUAGAUAUUUCAAUACUCAUAAUUGUGAGUCAGUUGUUAUAAAAAUAAUUUGUGCAAAGUUUUCUCUUUUGCUAGCAAGAUCUAAUUAGGGGUGUGGGCAAGCCAAUCUUGUGACAGCCUCACCUCACUCUAAGGCGAACCAAAGGGUUCGGCGGACUGCCUGCCCAACUCUCGCCGGGACUACGGAUCCGGAACAAACGUAAACCCUACCAAUGCUCAAAAGAAUUUUGAGAAGAUAAACAUUCAGAAUCCAAUUGAGCCGAACUAAAAGAUACGAUAAAUCUUUGGUACAACGUUCCCACGAAAAAUCAAAACGAAAAGGAAGUGCCGCAGCCACGUCACAAUCCGGCCGGAUUCUUGGCCGGAUUGGAGGCAGUAACUCAGCCCCAAAAAUUUUCAAAUUCCCCUGCAAAUCCGGCCAAAACUGGCCGGAUUCCAUGAACAAUUCCCACCAGAAUUUUCUUCUUUUCUGGAUCAACUAUCGCACUCAUCCGAAAUCCAACCAAAAACAAGUAAACUUUGUCUAACAUGAGAGAAUGUACAUUCCCAAAUACAUAUACAUAAACAUGAGGAAACUUUUCAAAAUAUACAUAUUAUUAAGUUUACAAAUCCAAAGGAAACAUUGUAUUAAGAUACAUUUAGGGUUUCCAAAUUGUCGAGGAGCUAUACCAAAAGAACAAAAGAAUUUCUAACUAGCUCAACUCAUUCCUCAAAACAUCGGAGUUCCAAAAGAUUGUUCCCUAUAAGGAAAACAAGAAUAACGGAACGGGGUGAGCUAGAAGCUCAAUAAGAUACCAAAAGUAUAAACAGUAGAAAUCAUGAGAAAUCACUUUUAAGGCACAUAUACACACAAAUAAGAGAAAUGAACGAACACCACAAUUUGAAGGAUACAGGGGGCUCUCAGGAGCCAAAUCCCCGUUGCAAUACUUGAUCCAGCCUCGUUGACCAUCCGUCAACGUUUAAUGAAACACACAUGUCCGUAGACCCCUUUUACGCCAAAAUUCCGUUCACCAAACAUACCCCUUAUCGGGCCCGAACGCCAUACAAGAACAGGAAUGGUAAUACUCGAGUAUACCGGAAACCUAGAAUCUCCAAUACCCAAAGAUUUCCCAAAAACAAACACCCAUGGAUUGUCAAUUUUCCUCAACCAAGCCCUUGCUGGCUUGAUUCAAUUGACUCCCUAUGAGAUUGAGCUCAGAUUUAACAGGAAGGUCGUUGGAUACACUUCCAAACGACAUCAUAUCAGGCACAAGUAACAGAUUCAAGCAUAUACAGGAAACAAAUCACACAGGCUAGAGAACGAGUGUGAUAAAGUACACACUCGUCUCGUACAAAAUAAACAGUCAGUAAAGACAUUAAAAUAGCAAUUUGCAAGUACAGAUAACCAGUUUAGCAAUAAUUCAGGGGAGUGGUACACUCACCGGUUCACGUAAAGAUACUUCAAAAGUUGUCAACCAACGUAUGACUUUAGUCACCAAGAAAUCCUAGAAUAACCAAGGGAAACAAUUAUGGUUCCCACAGCCACAAAUCCAGCAAAUAAGAUGCAUAAUUGAGGCUCGACUGCAAGUCGUAUACCUCUCUAAAUAAUUACUAAUGCAAGAGUGCAAAACAUGAUUUUGGGAACGAAAAGGUAACAUGAAGAUCUAGGGCUCGAACAACCCCAAAAGCCCUUCUUAUAUAUCCCAAACCAAACCAAACUCGAAGAAAUCCAAUAUUCCCAAAAUUUGGACAGCAUAUCCCCUACAUUUCCUUACUUUUCCAUCCUACAAUCAUACCAAUGUCAUCUCAAUUCAACCACAAUUGAACACACAAAUCACAAGCUAUUAAACACACUUAGUUAGGGCGACAAUACCCUUCCACUUGAGCCAAUUAAUAGCUUCAAUACUAAUCACAAGAAAGCCCCAAUUUUGAAACCCUAAAACUGAAAUUUUCCACCACAAACCACAAUGAACAUAAAGAGCUUCAUUUUACCCCACAUAAAGCUAUCAUACCAUGACUAGUCAAUAAUUAUCAUGUAAGAACAGAAAAAUUAUCAAUAAAUCUGAAAUUUGCCAAGCUCUACCUUAAAUCAUGAAAUCUCCCACAAAAUAGCAUAUUUAACCACUAGUAACCUCUAAUUUACCAUUAUUAGUAACAAAGAGAAGAUUUAUUGACAAAGUACCUUAACACCUCAAGAAAGGUAGUAGCUUGGAGCUUGUCCUUCCAAAAUCACUCCACUCAAUCCUUUAAUCCACCUUAGUAAACAACUUUUAUGAAGGGUUUUGUAAAAAUUCUGGUUGGAAUUCAAGAUUGGACAAGAAAUGGAAGAACAAAUGAAGUUUCUCUCUUGGUUUCUUUCCCUCAAGGUGGCCGGCCAAGGAAGCUUAAAAUGGGAUAAAAAUUGGGUCAAAAUUGAUGUUUAGGAAAGUGAAAUACUCUUAGUCAAAGUCCACUCACUAAUCGGGUCGCGACCCGUGGCGCCUCUAAGCUUUAAUCUUAUCUUCUUCUCUCCAAUACUAAUUAAUCUAACUAACCUCCCAUUAUCUUCUAGCCCCCUUGAAGAAUUAUAUCACUUAAUACAAAACUCCAACUAUUGAUCCAAAUUUAUCGCACUUACCGCAUAGCGGGUCCUGUGAGAACCCUGAAAAAUAUAUAUAUAUAAAUAUCAUCUUGUAUUUCGUUUGCAUUUAUUUUAGUUGCUUACCUUGAGAUUUGAAAUAUUUCAUAUAAUGAUUAAGUGGCUAGUUAAAUGCCUAAUUGAAUUCUUAUCAAAAUUUAGAAAUUAAAAGUAUCCUGAUUUAAUUAAGAAUAACGGUGUAAGGGGAAUGGAGUAUCUAUAAGUCAUAAUUAAUAUUUCUUGAGUUAGAAUAAUUUACCGCCUUAAAAUAAAAUGCUAAAAUACUUAGUUUUCUUUAUGUUAAAAAUUAAUGCUACCUGAGUAGAUUAAUUAUGUAAAAUUUCGUGAAUUCCAAUAAUUAAUCCUAAUUAGCGAAUAACGUUAAAUACUAAUAAGAAUUUUCACGUUAAGACCAAAACCAAUAAAUUUUAUGUGCAAAAUAAAAUUAUUGUGCUAAACUAUUGAAAUUCUAGUUUUGUUUCAUUAAAUUCAUACUUCAAUGGUAAACCAUUUCAUUGAUCUAACAAUUAAUCUCCCUGAACUCUAGUAUUGUAAUUAAUGGUUUUGAAAUAAAGUGUAAAGAUAAUUUUUAUGUAAUAAAUAAUAUAAUUGUGCCCAAUAUUGAAUUAUUCAGUUUUGUUAUACUAAAAGUAAUAAUUCUUGAGCUAUAUUAAGUUUACUCUUUAAAUAAAUUCCUUAAUUUACAAUAGCUAACUUUAUUACGAAUAAGAUUAAGAGUAUACAGAAACCUUAGUAUUAAGAUGCAAUCGAUAAAUUUUGGACAAGAACGAUAAAAGUAUCCUAGAUAUACUUAGGACGUAAGACUUACGAUAAUUAAGGUCUUGUAGGACUAGUGUAUAAUUCGACGUUUAAAUCACACUUGGGGAUAAUUUUUGGACUUUAGUUAGGGCCAAGGACUUAAGGGGAUAUUAGGAGGAGAUGUGAAAAGACCAAAAUGCCCUCCAUACAAUCCCAAAAUAGCCAUGCAAUCCCAAAAUCAAACCUGCCGGACAACAUCUUCACAACCUCUUCAUUCGGCCAAUGAAAAGCUUCCCCAAUCAAACACUCAACCAAUUCUACCCACAAACACCUCUCAAAACCACGGCACCCUCCUCAUUUCCUUUCCACUUCACAUCUCAAGCCACAACUGCAAUUCACUCUGCCUUGCUAGUGUCGACAAACCGAGAGAGCGUGAGAGAGGCCGAGCUGCAUUCUGCAGCCGAGAGGAAGAAAAGAAACCGCAGGAUUGAAUGUUUUUGGUUCUGUCCGUCAGUCGGAGUGAAACCAGGGAGAGCAAGUGGAAGUCGGAGGAGCUGCUGAUCAUCACCAUUUUCGUUCACUUCAGACCACCAUUUCCAGCUGCAAAUCGAACCAGGACCAACCAGUGUUCGUGAGAGCCGAGAGGGAGCAGAAAUUUUCCAGAAUUUUUGCGUGAAAGCUUAGCUUGCUGUGAGGUAAAUUUCUGGAUCGUUUAAGGACUGAUCAGAGGUAGUUUGAGCUAUCUAGAGGCAUGCAUGUACUAUGGUACAAUCGGAUGAAUGAGAUUAAGCCAUUAGAAAAUUUCUGUUUUGAAUGUUGAUGUUUCUGCUGAGAAGUUGAGCCGAUAAUGCAGUUUUAUUUUCAUUUUUCUGGGACAUCUGAACACCUAAGUGACUUUAGCUGGACGAAAACUUGAAGUCUAAUACCAUGCAUGUUGAUUUGUGCAUUCGGAUGAUGUGGUAUAGUAUACAAAAAUUCUGUUUUGGGGCUAAACAUUCUGCCGAGUAGCUAUUUUAGAAAUGUAGCAUUAUUUCUGAUUUCCUGCGACAAUUUGAGUUUGAUUUAGUGUUUAACUAAUUAAUUACAAUAAGGAUAAGUCAGCUAGGGACAUGCAUGUUGAUGUUAGGCACUCGAAUGGGAAUUUUAAGAACAGAAUUUCUGUUGUGCGCAAGAAAUUUAGACUUGCCGUGAGCUUAAACCAGAAACGCAGCUGUAAUUUUGGUUAAUUGAUACACCAGAGCUUGCGAAUAUGAUUAACUCACUAAUAAGAAGGUAAUUAAGUCUUGCAUGAGGCUAAGUAGCUCGGCUAACCAAGGAAAUAAAAUGAGAACAGAAAAUCUAUGCAUGCAACUUCAUCCAUGACUAAUUGAACAGAAUUUCUGGUUUUCUUGGAUGAUUAGGGCUGUGUUUGAAUCCGAUUUUGAACUAGAAAUAUUGAUUAGCAAGUUAAAUAUUUGCAUGUUAAUUUUAAGCACCUAAUACCAUGAAUUAACCGAGGGAAAAGUUGGAUUUAGGACCAAUCUAAUUGCUGGAAAUCUAUUGAGUUGGCCGAGAGUUUGUCUUAGUAAUGUAGCUUCAUUUGAUUCAAUUUCGUUGUUUUGAGUUUGCAACCAUGAAUAACUAGUUAAUAACAUGAUAAUUGAGCUUUGCAUGUGGUUAAUUGGUGGGUUUAGAUCAGAAAAAUAAAACGAAACUGAAUCUGCUACAUGCAUGUUUCAUCCGAGACUUGUUGGAUGUUUCUGGAAAUUUUUAGAUGAUUUUGUGUUGAUGAUUGAAGUUGUUUUCUGAACUAGAUAUGUUAAUCAGUUAGUUAAGUAGUUGCAUGUUAAAUUUGAGACCAUAAUACUCUGUUUUAGCCAAGGAAAAAGUUGUGAUAAGGACAUACAAUUGCUGGAAAAAUGAUAUCCUAACUGAUGACAGAUUUAUGAGGACUUCUUGGUGGAAUAACUUGCUGGAAUUAUUUACCAUUUGACUCAUUCCAUGUUGGACAAAACGCAUGUUAAGUGUUUAGUGUUUAAAGCAAGAUAAGGAUGGAAAUCUUGUUGAAAAUUAUGAAGUAUCUUUGCUGGAAAUCUGUACGUGGUUGCUAGCCGUACUAGCUCAAGCUUUUAAUGAGUUUAUUUUUCUGGAUUCGUGUAUUAUUUGCUUUAGCUUAAGUUGAGCAGGGUAUAAGCUAUAUGUUUAGUGCAUCUAGCAAGUAAAAGAUGGAGAUCUAAUAGACAUCUUGAAUUGACAUUUGCUAGAAUUUUUCUUGACUAUCGAAGCAAGAAAGGAAAAUAUGAACUUCUAGAAUUAUUUGAAUGCAAGCUAGCCGUGACUUAUCUUCUAUAUUUGAGUUAAAAUUUCUGUUGUUUGUGGCAAAGGAUGUUUGUUUGAUACCAAGAGCUAAUGAUUGAUGAAGCUCUUGGCCACUUAAGUAAUUUUUGCAAGGGUUAAAUUCUUGGUGGAAUUGUUUAAGUGGUUUGGCCAAAAUGCAUUUGGAAGGUCCACGAUUUGUGAUUUGGAAUUGUUUUAAUACUUUGGACUUCCUUUGGUUGAUUUUGAUUAGAAUUGAAUCUGUUGAGACCUAGGGCAAAUGAUUGAUGAAGCCCUAGAGAAAUUGAUAUUUGGUUUGUGAUUUUUGUUUAUCUUGGUGACUUGGGAAUCCAUUGUGCAAAUGAGCUGAAUUUGUGAAGACCGUUUUGAUUAUUCUUGAUCUUGAAUAUUUUCAAAAUCAAAUUUUGUGGAAAUAUUCUGCCUUAAUAUCAAGUGAUAGAAUUGAGUUUAGUAUAUUAUUAAAACUUAGUUAUUUGGACUUUUAAAACCUUGCAGACUAGUUAAUUCCUUUAUUUUGCUUAAGCUAGUUUAUUAUCUUUAGGGAGUAAUCGUAUUUAACCUUCUAAAUUUUAAGCUUUCCUAAAACUAUCCUUGACUAGACGUUUUAAAGGAAAUUCGUUAAAAACAUUAGAUUUGAAUAAUUUCAAAUAAAAGACAAAGAAAACUUGUUUGAAUUAAUUUGGUUCUAGUUUGCCCUCUAGAAGGGAAAUACCUUUAAAGAAACCAUACGAGAUAUUUUAUUUCUUUACUAGCCUUAAUUCCAAGGGAAUGAUUGAUUUGUUUCGAGAAAUUAAAUUAGUUUUAUACAGGAUAACCUUUUAUAUACAAAACAAGAACUUGUUUAGUAAAACUUAUAGUUUUAAAACUUGGAUUUCUAGGGUGUAGCGAGGACGUGGACUUCGAUUCCCAGCUUGACUUUUGAGCUUCACUUUUGGUGAGUGUCCCUGCCUGUUUUAUGACUAUUUGGUUAAAGUGCUUUAUCGACUCGUUAUGUGAUAAUUGCCAAAAAUGAUUGCUGAUCCAUCGAAGUGAGCAGUGUGUACCUUAUCACACUAGCCUUUCGAGUGGUGACUUGCUUGAAGUGUUUUUCGUGAAUAUCUUGCUUGCGUUUGCUAAGUGAUAAAUUACUAGGCAGGGGAAUGUACCACACCAUAAGGGUGGGAGGGUUUCUUAUCUUGUUAUAACAAUCAAGUGCUGGACGUAAAGUCGUUGGGUGAAUCCCUCGAUCAGUCUAUAACAAUUAAGUGCUAGACGUAAAGUCGUUGGGUGAAUCCCUCGAUCAGUCUAUAUGCUAGACGUAAAGUCGUUGGGUGAAUCCCUCGAUCAGUCUAUAACAAUUAAGUGCUGGACGUAAAGUCGUUGGGUGAAUCCCUCGAUCAGUCUAUAACAAUCAAGUGCUGGACGUAAAGUCGGUGGGUGAAUCCCUCGAUCAGUCUAUAACAAUCAAGUGCUAGACGUAAUGUCGUUGGGUGAAUCCCUCGACCAGUCUAUAAAUAUAAGUGUUGGAUGUAAUGUCGUUGGGUGAAUCCCUCGACCAGUCUAAGGUAUACUUGAGUAUUAUUGCUUCCCUAUUUAUUUACUUCAGUCGAAUCAAUACGUGUUAAUUGUUUCGAGUGAUUGCAUGAUUUUGGGGCACCACUGAGCUUUAGCUCACCCCACGUUUAUUUGUUUUCCUUGACAGGUCUUGAGGUUUGAGAAAUCUGAGCUGCUUAUAUCUUCUUAAGAAUGUAUCUACUUCGUUUUGUGACUUGUAAUGUAUUUGAAUUUAAACGAUAUAGUUUUGUUUUGGGAUUGAAGCUGGAGAUGUGUAAACCCUGAUUAUAAUAUUUGGCUUGUAUGUGUAUAUAUACUCGGGCUGUAUGAAAUUUCAUGUUUUGGAAACUGUAAGACCUUACUUCUUGAAUGUAACGCGUGAGGUGUUUGGGAGCCGUCGAUUGGCUAACUUCGGUUGCUGUCAUCUUUGAAGUUAAUGUGUUUUAGUAUUCAAGCCGCUUAAAAGUUGGCAUGAUCGGAUGGCGGAUUGUGUUUUGGUUUAAGUUAUACGUGGAUAUUUGGUCGGUUUGCUUGCGUGAGUCCUGGCGAGAGCUAGGCAGGUUACCCGCCAACCCUCUGGUUCGCCUUAGGGGGAAGUGGGGUCGUCACAGGUCCCACGUCCCUAAUGCACUUCAAAUUGAACGUACACUAACGUAUACCAGAAAAAUGAUUUAAAAACUGUACUUACUUAUAAAAUAUGUAGAAAAUGUAAUAUUUUAAAGGAAAGUAAUAAAAAUGUAGGCAAAGAAAUAAAAUAAUGCCUGUAAAAUGUGAAAAUUUUCAGGUUCUCACACUCUCUCCCCCUUAAGAAAUUUCGUUCUCGAAAUUUUCUUACCACCAGGAUCUAUAAAAUCUACGUAAACAACGGAUCGUACCUUUUUCGUCCUCAAACGAGUCAAGGACCUGAUAUGACUCUAGGGAAUACACCCGAGCCGACACCUUCGGUCUAGUCCCUUUCCCCUUCGACUGGUUAGAGUUGGUCUUGGUUGAUUGUCGGUUCCCGCUCCCUUCUCAAGAUAGGCCUGAGCAAUUAGCGAUUUGAUGAUCUGCACUCCCGCAACGUAGAAAUUUUCUUCCUUUCUUCCAGCAAACAUCCUCCGUCUGAUUCAACUUUCCACAGUACCCGCAGGGACCAUGGGAAGCAGAGUCCGAGCCUUUCUGUGAAGCACCACCCGACAUUCUCGGAAAUUUUACUCCUCCAAUUCCCUUUCCAAACUUGGGAGGUGUGCUCGUAUCCUCUUGUCCUACGCUACUUUCAAGAAUAGCUCUUUUCCUCGCCUGAAAGGUUCUAACUUGUAACCUUGCGCUUUCAACUCGUUGAGCUUUUUUCACCGCGUCACUGAAGGCACUCAGUUGGGCUACAGCCAGAUCCUUCUGAAUCUCAACAUUUAAGCCCUGGACAAAACGCUUUAUCCUCCUUUGCUCAAUCACAAUUAGCUCGGGAGCGAACUUAGACAACCUAGUGAACUGGCUCUCAUAAUCGGCAACAGUCUGAGCUCCCUGGCGAACUCUAAUGAAUUCAUCUUCUUUCUUUUAUUGAAUUAGAGGCGGGAAGUACUUUGCGUUGAACUCUCUCAUAAAAUUCACCCAAGUCCUCGGUGUUUUUUCUCUCUCCCAUUUCAGUCUUAUUGCAUUCCACCAAGAACGGGCUGCUCCCUCCAGUUGGAAGACAGCAAAUGUCACUUGUCUUUCCUCAGUAUAGUGCAACGCCGCAAAAAUAUCAAUCAUCUUCUCUAGCCACCGCUCGGCUACAUCAGGGUCUGGUCCUCCAAGGAAUUUCAGUGGGGAGAACUUCUGAAAUCGUUCGAGGGCCCUAUCUUCCCCCUCUAUAUGGUUACCAGGGUUUCCAGAUUGAGGAAUAGGGUUUUGGCCCUGAUGCUCUACUACGUGAGCUAAAAGAUCAGUCAUGCGCUGGAUAGCUGCAGCUACCUGAACGUUAGGAUCCACUCCAGGUUCAGGAUUGGGUUCAGGCAUUGGUUCCCGAUUUCCCCCUUCAUUCGAGGGUUGCCUACGUCCACGGCCCCGGCCUCGUCCACUACGAGUUCCUUCCAUUGGAUUAACUAAUCUAGGCUCGAGGCGCGAAUAAAAUAUACAAACUAGCGAUGUCAGUUAGUCAGAUAUACAUAUAGUACGUCCGCAUCAAUUCAAAAGCAAAUAUACAUAUAAAACGACUAUAUCAAACAAAUCACACAGUAACAGUCAGUCAGAUACAAGCAAAGGAAAUCCUAUGGAAAUAAGGGGUCAUUCAUAGAACACACUACGAACUAGACCAAGAGUACAAAAGCAACUAACGAAAAGCUUCCCCCCCUAGGGUUCCAUCCAUAAUCUACAAGAAUAGCACAAUUUAUAUCUUAGGCAGGGUUAAUUAUCCUUAGUGAUCCCUAACACAUCAUAUAAAGUUCCAUAGAAUCAGAUUUCUAAUUCGUCCAAGUCAUUUCUAACCUAGGCUUUCAUCCCGUUUCGUAUUCGGGUACAAGAAUCCAAAAUAAGAUAAUUCACCACUCGAGCUGGCCAGUCCCAAGAGUAAAUCAUCUACAUUUGUAAUUCCUACCUGACAUACGUAACUAUAGUCUUCAAGUACCACCGUGAUUCAUAGCUUAUGCUCAAAAGAGUACUUAGUCCCUUACACUCAUUCACAUGAGCGAGACCACAACACCACUUGGCCCCAAGUUCACUCCGCGCAGAGACCACGCGAAGCAACUCUGAUACCACCUGUGAUAGCCCCACCUCACCCUAAGGUGAACCAAAGGGUUCGGCGGACCGCCUGCCCAACUCUCGCCGGGACUACGGAUCCGGAACAAACGUAAACCCUACCAAAUGCUCAAAAGAACUUCGAGAAAAUAAACAUUCAGAACCCAAUUGAGCCGAAAUAAAAGAUACAAUAAAUCUUUGGUACAACAUUCCCACGAAAAAUCAAAACGAAAAGGAAGUGCCGCUGCCAUGUCACAAUUCGGCCAGAUUCUUGGCCGGAUUGGAGGCAGUAACUCAGCCCCAAAAAUUUUCAAAUUCCCCUGCAAAUCCGGCCAGAUAUCCGGUCAAAACUAGCUGGAUUCUCGGCCGGAUUCCAUGAACAGUUCCCGCCAGAAUUUUCUUCUUUUCUCGAUCAACUUUCGCACUCGUCCGAAACCCAACCAAAUACAAGUAAUCUUUGUCUAACAUGAGAGAAUGUACAUUCCCAAAUACAUAUGCUACAUAAACAUAAGGAAACUCUUUAAAAUAUACAUAUUAUUAAGUUUACAAAUCCAAAGGAAACAUUGUAUUAAGAUACAUUUAGGGUUUCCAAAUUGUCGAAGAACUAUACCAAAAGAACAAAAGAAUUUCUAACUAGCUCAACUCAUUCUUCAAAACAUCGGAGUUCCAAAAGAUUAUUCCCUAUAAGGAAAACAAGAAUAACGGAACGGGGUGAGUUAGAAGCUCAAUGAGGUACCAAAAGUAUAAACAGUAGAAAUCAUGAGAAAUCACUUUUAAGGCACAUAUACACAUCAAAUAAGAGAAAUGAACGAACACCACAAUUUGAAGGAUACAGAGGGCUCUCAAGAGCCAAAUCCCCGUUGCAAUAUUUGAUCCAACCUCGUUGACCCUCCGUCAACGAUUAAUGAAACACACAUGUCCGUAGACCCCUCUUACGCCAAAAUCUGGUUCACCAAACAUGCCUCUUAUCGGCCCUGAACGCCAUACAAGAACAGGAAUGUUAAUAUUCAAGUAUACCGGAAAUCUAGAGUCUCCAAUACCCAAAGAUUUCUUAAAAGCAGACACCCAUGGAUUGUCAAUUUUCCUCAACCAAGCCCUUGCUGGCUUGAUUCAAUUGACUCCCUAUGAGAUUGAGCUCAGAUUUAACAGGAAGGUCGUUGGAUACACUUCGAAACGACAUCAUAUCAGGCACAAGUAAUAAAUUCAAGUAUAUACAGGAAACAAGUCACACAGGCCAGAGAACGAGUGUGAUAAAGUACACACUCGUCUCGUACAAAAUAAACAGUCAGUAAAGACAUUCAAAUAGCAAUUUGCAAGUACAGAUAACCAAUUUAGUAAUAAUUCAGGGGAGUGGUACACUCACCGGUUCACGUAAAGAUACUUCAAAAGUUGUCAACCAACGUAUGACUUUAGUCACCAAGAAAUCCUAGAAUAACCAAGGGAAACAAUUAUGGUUCCCACAGCUACAAAUCCAGCAAAUAAGAUGCAUAAUUGAUGCUUGACUACAAGUCGUAUACCUCUCCAAAUGAUUACUAAUGCAACGGUGCAAAACAUGAUGUUGGGAACGAAAAGGUAACAUGAAGACCUAGGGCUCAAACAACCCCAAAAGCCCUUCUUAUAUAUCCCAAACCAAACCAAACUCGAAGAAAUCCAAUAUUCCCAAAAUUUGGACAGCAUAUCCCCUACAUUUCCUUACUUUUCCAUCCUACAAUCACACCAAUGUCAUCUCAAUUCAACCACAAUUGAACACACAAAUCACAAGCUAUUAAACACACUUAGUUAGGGCCACAAUACCUUUUCACUUGAGCCAAUUAAUAGCUCCAAUACUAAUCACAAGAAAACCUCAAUUUUGAAACCCUAAAACUGAAAUUUUCUCCAUAACCUGAAAUUUUCCACCACAAACCACAAUUAACAUAAAAGAGCUUCAUUUUACCCCACAUAAAGCUAUCAUACCAUGACUAGUCAAUAAUUAUCAUAUAAGGACAGAAAAAUUACCAAUAAAUCUGAAAUUUGUCAAGCUCUACCUUAAAUCAGGAAAUCUCCCACAAAAUAGCAUAUUUAACCACUAGUAACCUCUAAUUUACCAUUAUUAGUAACAAAGAGAAGAUUUAUUGACAAAGUACCUUAACACCUCAAGAAAGGUAGUAGCUUGGAGCUUGUCCUUCCAAAAUCACUUCACUCAAUCCUUUAAUCCACCUUAGUAAACAACUUUUAUGGAGGGUUUUGCAAAAAUUCUAGUUGGAAUUCAAGAUUGGGCAAGAAAUGGAAGAACAAAUGAAGUUUCUCUCUUGGUUUGUUUCCCCCAAGGUGGCCGGCCAAGAAAGCUUAAAAUGGGAUAAAAAUUGGGUCAAAAUUGAUGUUUAGGAAAGUGAAAUACUCUUAAAGUCCACUCACUAAUCGUGUCGCGACACGUGGAAUCUUCUUCUCUCCAAUACUAAUUAAUCUAACUAACCUCCCAUUAUCUCCUAGCCCCCUGGAGAAUUAUAUCACUUAAUACAAAACUCCAACUAUUGAUCCAAAUUUAUCGCACUUACCGCACUAACGGGUCCCACGUCCCUAAUGCACUUCAAAUUGAACGUACACUAACUUAUACCAGAAAAAUGAUUUAAAAGCUGUACUUACUUAUAAAAUAUAUAGAAAAUAUAAUAUUUUAAAGGAAAGUAAUAAAAAUGUAGGCAAAGAAAUAAAAUAAUGCCUGUAAAAUGUGAAAAUUUUUAGGUUCUCACAAAGCUGUUCACGAGUAGUUUGCGAGUGGCAAAUCAAACCGAGUUCAAGCUCGAGCUUGAGCUACUCGUUCCGUGUAAUGAGUUCAGUUUGAGUAUCAAUCAUAACUACUUGAGUAUUCGAUGAGUUUAAUCGAGUAUUUAUAUUAUUUAUAUAUAUUAUAUAUUUUAAUUAUGGAAUGACUAUUGUGGGUUUGUAGUUUAAUAAAUUUACAUGAAGUAAUGUUCAAUAAAAAAAGUGAUGGAUGGCAAAAUGGUAAUUUGAUAAAUUUAAAAUAUAAAAAAUUAAAAAAAAGAAAAGAAAAAGUCAAGUUUAAACUCGAGUAGCUCGAGCUUGAUAGGGCUUGUAGUUUACUUGAGUUCAAACGAGUUGAAUUCGAGUUUCAUUUCCAUUAUGUCGAGUCGAGUUCGAGUUCAAAUUUAUGUCGUUUGAGCUCGAAUAGCAUUGAUAGUGAUUGAGUUCGAGCUCGAAUAUGGUGCUACUCGAGCUUGACUAUGCUCCAUAGCACCCUUAGAUCUAAUUAUACUUAAUCUAUUGUGCAUAGUAAAUAAAAAGAAAAUUUUGGUUGAGCCAGCUUAAAAUAUGUAUGGGAGGUAAUUUUAAGCAAUAAUUUUUACAUAAUAUACAUAAAUUGUGAAGUCAAAAUGUAGAAAUGUGAACUUGGCUAUUCCUUAAAACAUGAUAAAUAAGAAGGUCCAGUCAGUCUUUUUUGUUUCAAAGUGGAAACAAAACAGAAACAAGAGAGUUGGAUUAAUAAAAAAAAAACAUAAAGUUGAAUUUGGAUAUUAACAAGAGCGCUGGAUUAAUCAAGUGAAUAAAGAUACAAAUUACAACUAACUGAUUGAGAAGGACGGUAUUUUCUUCUAAAAUUUUUAAACUUGCUAAAUUGGUUUAAUUGUGGAAUAAAUUGUCUAAAAAUUAAUUCUAGGGGAUAAAUUGAUAAUAAGGCUAUAGUUUAUAGGGGUAAAAUUAUAAUAAUUUUAAGGUUUAAACAUGUCUUUUCACUUGAAUUAACAAAUUUCGUUAAGUUUAACAGUUAGUCUUGGGAGUAAAGUGAUUAAUAAGUAAUGUUAAUUAAAAAGUAAUGUUAAUGGGAAAAUUGUUAGUAGCAUCAAACAUUAAGAGGAUAAAGUGAUAAUAACCUAAAAACCAAUACCAAAAGUGUCAAACGCGCGAGUAUUCGGGGCAACCUUGCACUCUCACUCGCCGGCUAAUACCCUUUAAAUUUUCCAAUUCUUUCCCCCAAGUGUUGUAUCCACACAUGCACUCUAAAAUGAAUAGACCCAAAAAACAUAUACUUUCCUAUUCAUAUAAAUAAUCACGAAAAAACAUAUUAUUCCUCAACUUCUGGUUGUUGAUUAUAUGUUUUUUUCUUAUUGGUCAACUGCUUGUAUUAUUCUGCUGAUGGUUUAACUUUUUCAAUGUCUUGCAACUCUUGGAGAUCAAGAAAAAAUAAUACAAGACCACUUGUAUUAAAUUGUAUAUCUGUUAUUUUUAGUGUAUGUUUAACCUGCCAUUAAGACAGUGUUGGACGAAUUCUAACAAUCCAUUAAUGAAAUUUACGCUUUGCCAAAAAAAAAAGAGAUAGGCGAGUCCAAACAAAAUUUGUUAGUGUUGAUGCCUACUCUUCGACAUGAAUUUUUCAGACUAAUUAAUGCCUAUGAAGGAUAUAUACUGGGUGCCCUCAUGCCAUAUUACAUAGCAUUUUUCGAGCAGUACUAGUUGAAUUUAGUGCUUUUGUUUUAGAUUGUGAGACUUAUCCGAAAUGAAACCUGAUUUAAAAUGAGCUUUCGAAUUUUGAGAAGAAUUUUAUUAGAUGUAUUGUGUUGCCUCACAAGGGUUAUGGAAAAAAAUGUCUUUUGUGUCAAAAGCCCUAUUAAUCAUAGGAUACGUGAUUUGUUAUCCUUUUUUUUUUUUAACAAUAAGCUACAUCAUCCAUCUCAAAUGACCAUGUCAUAGAUAGCAAAUCCAAUUGAAUGCGAACCAACCCUUUGUGGGUGACAAAGGUUUCAUAAAUGUUGCAAAUGUUCAUCUCGUUCAUUUUCUAUAUUUGAGAUGAUAAUUUUAGUUCUUGAAACUGUUUUGCCAUUUAGACGUGUCAAAACCUGAUUUCUUCUAGUCAAUGAACGUAAGCUAAAGUUUUGACCAAAAAAAAAAAAUGAACGUAAGCUAAAGUUUGCAAUCAGUUGCUGUUGGCUAAUUAAACAGCAAUGACCUUACCUCCACAUAGUUAAGUAUUUUAUCCUGAUGGCAUCACAAACAUGAUAUUCCUUUUUCAACAUACUUUGGUAUCACUGUCCAGAGCUUCAAAUGAUGAAAGAAGAAUUGAUUUUCUUUCCUUUGCCUGCAAUAGGUCACUUGCUGUCAAUGGUACAGUUUGCAAAGCUGUUUGUCAGUCACAAUGAGGAGUUCUCAAUAAAAAAUGCUCCAUUUCAAACUGCCACCUGAUGAAAAUUUAAUUCGUACAUCCAAUCACUUUACACACAAACCACUAGAGGCAUACAAUUCAUACAACUUCCCGAUCCCCAGUUGUCCUCAAAAUUGGACGAUCCUCUUGCUAAACAAUCUGCUUUAAUCAAUAGCACUGAUGGGCACAUAGAAUCCAAUGAUUCAUGUUCAAAUCAUACAAGUAGUUGAUCCAUUGCAGUUCGUCAAAUCAUUUUCAAAUACAAGUAGUUGAUCCAUUGCAGUUCGUCAAAUCAUUUUCAAAUCAUCCAUUGGAGUCAUCAAAACCGGAUCCCUUUCCUAUGUUUUGUCAUUUAUUUAGCUUAUAAGUGUUAAGUUGUCGUUGGUCUAAGUUAAACUCCAGCUGUGUGCUAGUUAAUAUUUAGUAUUAAUUUAGAGUUAACUUGAGUCAUUAACUAAAAGGCUAAGGUCAUGUUGACCAUAGUUGAGCCUUAAGUCAAGUUAGUGUCUUAGUUCUAGCCGAAUUAAGAUUUAGAAACUUGUUAAUUGUUUUCAAGUUUAGUUAGGUUUUGAGUCUUUGUAAAGGCUAUUAGUCAAGAUGAAUUAAGAAAUUUCAGCACACUUUGAGUGUUUUUGCGAGUCUCUUGUCCAAGAGUUCCAAAAUUGAAUACUUGAGAGGAUUCUCGAGUUUUCAUUCGACUUAUCAAUCUAGAAACAGCCUAGAUUAGAUUGUGGCGUCACUCUACCUUUCUAAUCAAUCUCAAGCUGUUUUUUAUUGGAUUAGAAUCCAUCCAAUUUUGUCCAUAACCUGAUCAAGAUAAAUCUUUCCGCUGCCUAAGCAACUUGGUUCUUCAAGACAAGUUUUUAUUGGGUCGAAUUCGUAUUAGUUGGUAUCAGAAUUUUGCCUUUUGAUUCAGGUUAAUAUCCUUUCCUUGAGCAACUUGGUUCUUCAAGACAAGUUCUUAUUGGGUCAAAUUCGUAUUAGUUGGUAUCAGAAUUUCGCCUCUUGAUUCAAGUUAAUAUCAUUUCCUUUUUUGUUUUGCUCUUUAUUCUUGAUAGGUUACAUUUUUGUUAUUAAAUUUAUGAUUAUUCUCUCCUUGAUUUUAACUAAAUAUUGUGUUAAUUGGUAGAUUCUAUUCAUAAUUGAUAUUUGGCAUUGGUUAUAGGAAAGUGAAGCAAAAAACGGUUCAAGGAGCAAUUUUUUAGAAGAUUAUGAACCAAUUUGACAUGGACGCAGCCAAUAAUUAUUGUCAAAUUCGGAGGCUCGAGCUUUUCCUGAGCAUGGAAGUUUUCUAAACCAAGUCAAACUCCGAGCAAGACAUUUGGCCGAAGAUUAAGAGAUUUCUUUCUUAUUAGAUGGAUUAUUUGAUUUAGAAAACAAUUAACAUUAUCUUUUGAGAGUUUUCCUUUUCAAGUAGGAAGUUUAUUUUAUGUCAAAGACUAAAAAGUAGGAAAUCACUGAUUAGUUAGGUCAGGCAGUCCCGAGUGAUUAAUACUUGGGGAAAAACACAACUUUGGCUGCCAACUUUGGUUAGUCUCGUGUCAAGCGACAAAAGCGAAGAGCUUUUCUCUUUGUCUUUUCUCUUUCUUUAUUUUUCUUUCUUUUGCUUUUCUAUUGUCUAGGCUUGGUCCUACUUUCUUCAAUGGAAUUGCAUGGGUUACUCUCGAUGAAGAGUAACUAAUUUUCUCAUUCUAGUCAAGAAAUAAAGGAAGAUUUGGUUCAUCUAAAAUUAUGAGAUCGAAUUGAUUAUAUUUAUAUAUUUUUUAUUUACUGGUAUUCGUAUGUUCCCUGAUUUAAUUUCUUGUGGCUAUUAAGUUGUUUAAAUAUCAAGGGUGCCCGAUAUUUAAUUCAAUCUAAUAACCUAAAACCAGUUAGAAUAGUUUAAUCCGUAAUUGUUUAAUUACUUUAAAUUAGUGGUGACUGGCAUGAUUGAAUUUGUGUUAGAAGAACAUAUGGGCUAACUUAAAAUAACACUCGUAGCGUGUUAUUUGGUUAGAACAGGGUUUCUCUAAUUUUUAAUCAAAUUAAGAAAUUGAACUCUAAGGUCGUAUCUAAAGUUAUUUCUUGAUUAGGGCAGUGGUUAAUGGUCGUAUCUUAACCAUCAAUACAGUAAGGAAAAGUUGAUUGUCAUCACUUGUUUGGUAGUUAUAACUUAUUUAUCAGUGAGUAAAUCAAAUUAUUAUUGCAUCAAUGAUCAAUUGAUUGAACUAUCUCCGAAGUUAUUUUUUGGUUAGAGCUUAUUUAUUAUUGUUUCAAUUUUAAUAAAUUGUCAUUUAGUCCUUUUUAUUUGAGUUAUUUAAUUAUUCUCAUUUUUAUAAUAAUCUCCCUUACUCUAAGCUCUAGAAGAAAUGAAAAUUUUCUAGUUCCCGUGGAUUCGACUUUACUUGCCGCUAUAUAAAAUUCAUAUUUUUCUUGAGUAGGAAUUUAUUACUGCACAAGCUCGACACCUGCUAAUUCUUCUACCAAACCCUACCCAAUUCAAAAAAAAAAAGAAAAUUUGUUCAUCAUUCUAAGGUUUGAAUCUUUUGUGAUUACCUUGUGUCAUUUGUUUAUUCCUAUUUUCCUCAAGUCAUUUGUCUUCCUCGAUUAGAUUUGUGUAUCUUCGUCGUGUCAAAAAGGUACUGUAGUUAUACUAUUCAUCAUUAUUGUUGUUGUACUGUUCAUCAUUACUGUAAUUAUUACUGUUCAUCAUUAUUGUUCAUCCAUGAUUUAUUCUUGUUUGGUGUGUUUCUUGGAAUCUUGUGUUGUCUUGUGUCAAAACAAAUUAUAUUCCUAGGUUAGAUUGGGAAUCCGUGGGUUGUUCUUGUGUUUUGAGUCAAUUCGUGGCUAGUUUUCUCUUGUUUUCUUGGAAGUACUUGAAGUUCUUGAAUUUCUUGGCUAGAAUCUUGAAUUUCUUGAACACUUUCUUGGGAAUCUUGAAGUUCUUGAGGUGUAUAUUUGGGUUUCUUCAAAAUCUUGAAUCAAAGUUUCCAAAUCUUGAACUUUUGAAAACCUUAGUUUAUCUUCUUGAACAUUGGAGUCGCAGCUGUCUUGUUUCUUGAAUUGGUGAAGUGAAAAAUAAAAGAAGAAGAAGAGAAUCUCAUUCGUGGUUAAAAAAAAAGGGGACAAGUUCAUUGAAACGGAUCAUAGCUUGAGAAACCAAAGUUGACUUGGAUUGUUUCCAAAAUCUAGACACAUAAUCCUUGUUCGAUUUGAUUUGUGUUACCUGCUUGAACACCCUUAGGAAAGCUCCAUAAAACAGCAUCUUGCUUUCCAAAGUCAAUCCAAGAAACACUCGAGCCAAGUUUCCAAAUUCCAGCAACAUGCAAUCAGAUAGAGCAUCUUUCUAGGUUCCUAAAAAUUUCAGCCGACUUGUUUGUUGUUCCAGAUUUCGUAUGUACACUGUCCAGCCACACUUUAGGCUGUCUUUGAGUCCUUAUUUCCAGUUUUAAUCGAGUCUAGUUAUAGUCCAAAGAGUCCAAAUCAGUUUUGGGUUAUAAAGAGUCACUAGUAUCCUAAUUUGAGUCCUAGGUUUCCUAACUUGAGUCCCCUUGAUUGUAUCUUUCACUUCGUAGGCUUGCUCCCAAACGAUAUGGAUUUCUUCUACAUGAGCAUGAUGAUAUAUUCAUCAUAGAAGAUGAUGAACCUACUUCUUACGAAGAUGUCUUGUUUAGUGUAGACAAAGAUAAAUGGCUUAAAGCCAUGAACUCCGAAAUGGAAUCCAUGUAUGAGAAUAAGGUUUGGACUUUAAUUGAUCUACUUGAAGGGUAAACCCCAUAGGGUGUAAAUGGGUUUUCAAAAAGAAACAGACAUGGAUGGUAAAGUGAUUAUCGAUAAAGCUAGAUUGGUAGCAAAAGGUUACAAACAAAAACAAGAUGUUGACUUUGACGAAACCUUUUCACCGGUCGCUAUGCUUAAAUGCAUUAGGAUCAUGCUUGCUAUAGCAACACACUAUGACUAUGAGAUAUGGCAAAUGGAUGUAAAAACUGCAUUCCUUAAUGGAAAUUUAAUUGAACAUGUGUUUAUGGUAAAACCUGAUGGCUUUACAUCCAAAGAAGCAAAUAAAGUGUGCAAGUUUCAAAGAUCCAUUUAUGGAUUUAAACAAGCAUCAAGGAGUUGGAAUAUUUAUUUUGAUUAGAUAAUCAAAGAGUUUGAUUUUUUUAAAAAAAAUGAAGACAAAACCUUGUGUAUACAAAAAAGUUAGUAGGAGUGCAAGAGUUUUCGUAGUACUCUAUGCUGAUGAUAUAUUACUAAUGGGAAAUGACAUAUCUAUACUCCAAUUAGUGAAGGUAUGGUUAUCCAAGAAAUUCUCCAUGAAAAAUUUAGGAGAGGCAACCUAUAUUUUGAAAAUUAUGACCUAUAGAGAUAGAUCAAGGAGGUUGCUUGGUCUUUCACAAUCUAUGUACAUAGAUAAAGUGCUAAAGAGGUUUAGCAUGGUUCAAUCCAAGAGUGGUUAUUUACCAAUCAGUCAUAGAAUACACCUUUCUAAAGACAUGUCUCCUAAGAUAGACGUCGAUAAGGAUUACAUGCAAAAGAUCCCUUAUGUCUCGGCUAUUGGAUCUAUAAUGUAUGUGAUGCUAUGUAUAAGACUCGAUAUCUCCUAUACAAGUGUUAUGAGCAGAUAUCAAGCCAAUCUAGAUGAGAGUCACUGGACGGCUGCUAAGAACAUCCUUAAGUACUUAAGAAGAAUUAAGGAUUUAUUCUUAGUUUAUGGUGAGUCCAAUUUAGAAGUUCAGGGAUAUUCAGAUGCAAGCUUUCAAACUGACAAUGAUGAUAGCAAAUCACAAUUUGAAUAUGUUUUUACCCUAAGUGUUGGUGGAAAUGUUUGGAAGAGUUCUAAACAAGGCACUAUUGUUGAUUCUACAAUAGAAGCUGAAUACAUUGCUGCUUCAGAAGUUGUAUGGAUCAAGAAGUUCAUUUCUGAACUUGAUGUGAUUCCUUCCAUUGCCAAUCUGAUAGCUCUAUUUGUGAUAAUAAUGGAGCAAUUGCACAAGCAAAGGAGCCAAGGUCUCAUCAAUGAACCAAGCAUGUAUUGAGAUGUUUCCAUUUGAUUAGAGAGAUCAUUGAUAGAAAUGAUGUGAAGAUAGAAAAGAUCCCUAUGGAUGAUAACAUUGCUGAUCCAUACACUAAAGCACUAUCCUAGAAGAAACAUGAAUGUCAUGUAAAUUCACUUGGCCUGAAAUGCAUAAGUGAUUGGCCUUAGUGCAAGUGGAAGUUUGUUAGCGUUAUGCCUAAAUCCAAUUACUUUGGGGCUCUAAAGACACUUUUAUAUUUAUGCAUAUUAAUUCGUGGAAAUCUUUAUUUUUUAUUCCUAUUGUUAUUCCUUACUACAACUUAAAUUAUAAAGCCCUUAGAAUUAAUAACCUUGAGAAGAAAUCAUAAGAGUUAUGAUGGUGAGAUUCUUCUCUUCCCCAUGGUCACUAAUCUUAGAUAUCCCUAACCAUAGUAUUAGUGAGAAAGGCAUCACUAAUGCGGAUAGGUUAGCAUAUAUACUAAGUUUCUUCCUUUCAAAGGAAGUAGUAGAUCACAUCAACUAUGAUGUGGUAACAUCUAAACUAGUAUAUGGAUGCUUGUGGAUGACAAGUACAGUGGAUUGACCAAUUGAGAGUUUCAUAGUGUCAAUGAAAAUUUCUCUAUGUGAUAGUAAGUGUUAGUUGUGACAGCCCCACCUCCCCCUAAGGCGAACCGAAGAGUUCGGCGGACCGCCUGCCCAACUCUCACUAAGACUCACUCACUCACUACAGUUCUCAAUUAAAUUACAAUGCGCCUCUCAAAUAUAUUACCUCAAAUACUCUACAAAUUUACAUAUCAUAAGCGUGGAACGUGUAGACACCAAAAUUUCAUCAUUUUUUUAUUUAUAUUUUUGUUUAUUUUAUUUAUUUUUAAUUUAUUUUUUUUCAUUUUAUAUUUCUUGAGGAAAAUCAUUUUAGAAAAUUGGGAAAGAAAGAAAGAAAAAAAGAAAAAAAGAGAAAAGAAAAAUCAAAUCAAAAAAAAAGAGAGAAAAAUAUUCCACGCGCGCGUACUCGCCAUUUUCUUCUUCAUUCGUGCAGAAGCCAGGAGAAAGCUCAAAAUUGUAGCGGUCAUUUGCCCAUUUUGAUUGCUUUUGCAUUUUUUCUUUUAUCCCUCCAAAUCCAGUACAGGCCACCUCACCCCAACAAAGGUGAUUCCAGAAGAAAGAACGAUCUAGGGGCUCAAAAUAAUCGUGAGAAAUGGCAGCAAACUAGCACCAUUGGAUGCUAGGGUAAGGAAGAUUCUGGUAGUUAUAAAAGCUGAGAAGAACAACCAGUAAAGGGGGGAGGAUAGGAUUGACGGCUAGGUUUUAGAAAAAGCAACAAAAGAAAAAGGGCUGAGGGAAUAAGGAGAGGAAAAGAGUUGGCGGCCGGAAAGGGAUUGAGGGAGGUCUUCGGCCGAACAAAGAGAGAGAAUUGGAGUGGCGGCUGGGGUUGGAAGAAGAAAGUGAGAGAAAACUGAGAGAAUUGAGAAAAGAAAAAGAGUGAGCAAGAGGGAGUGUGUGUGUGACGGAGCCAAAAGAAAACAGCAAAGGAAGAAAAACGGAGAGGAGAGCAGAAGAGCAAAGGAGGAAGACGAAAUCUGGUGCUACCUCCUCGGCGAGCCAAGAAGCUAUUGAAGCUGCUGACCUCCUAAGAAGAGGUCAUCAUUCCACCACGCCAUUUUCAGUCUGAAUCUUCGACAAAAGAGUGGCCACUGUAAGCUAUUCUCUCCUUUGAACCCCGAAUUUUCUUCAGGUGCUGAUUCUUUAAAGCUUUCCAAGCAUGUAUGUGUGUGAUUGGAACUUUAUGAACCUAAAUCUGUUAGCUCGUGUUUCCUUGUGUUUGUCUAUAGCAUUAAAGUUGUCGUCUUUUGCUGUUACCUUGCAUGUUCAGUGUUGUAGAGUUUGAGGUCCAUUUGGUGUUGUUCGUAGGUUGCAGUUUAGUAUCAAGAUGUUAGCUUUGAAAAGGGAGGACACUUACAUGGUCUGUCCUUUUGAAAUAUUGGAUAGGUUGUGAAGAAAAAUGGCUUGCACUGUUUUACUUUGAAUCUGUCUGCAUUUGUUCGAAUGUUGGAAUUUUAAUUGAAAUCUGGGGUUUUGGUUUCUUCCCUGUGUUGUUGAUUUCUAGUGCAAGAACAAGAGAACCACGCCUGUGAAAUUUGUAUGGAAAUUCUUACAAGAAUUGCAUUUUUAAAGAGGUGUUUGGCCAUGAUUCUAAUCGAAGCUGGUUCAUGAAUUAUGCUCACAGCAAGCUCACUCCGUCUUUGCUGCAUUUUUUAUUAUCCCGUUGCUUUGGUUGAAUUUCCUGGGAUAGUUUGGGGGGGGGGAGGUAACCAUGAUUGAUCAGUGAUAGAUGGAGGUUUGGAGAUGUGUGUGAGUUUAGUGAAUAAAUGGUCAGUUUAAUGCAAUGUUUUCAGCAUUUAACCUACGCGAGCUUGAAGCUGCGAAAUUCGCAGCAAAGGAAAAAGCUGCUACAUUUUUCUGUGUUGUUUUCUUCGCCGUGGUUGCUCUUUGAGUUUUCGCACUUAAGUUGCAUGCUUAAUCUUGUGUUGAAGGGAAGAAAUGGAAAGUUUGGUGCUGAGUUUGUGUGUUUCGGUUUAAAAGACACUUGAAUUAUGUCCAAGUACUUGCUGGAAAACGCAUUUUAGCUUCCCGAACCAGAAACUCAUAGCCUUGUCCUCUUGUUUUUCUUUCUUUUCGGUUCCAAGCUCUGGUAUUUUGUCUAGAUAACAAUUCAAUCAUGUCUUUUUCUUGGUUUGCUUGCAUGAAUGCGUCUAAAUUGCAUAAGAAUAGACGCGGAAGAAAAGAAAAUUUUUUGAAGUAAUUGCAGAGGUCUAUUUCUCAGUUAACUUGCAUGAAAGACUUCUAAGAAUUGCCUUGCCAUGAGGUGUUUAGUCAUGUUUCGAUUAGAGUUAGUUCAAAGUUUUGCUUGCCGAAGGUUUAUGGAACGAAGGUUGCGGGUGGAGCACUGGAAGUUGUUCAUUUGUUGUUGCAGAGAGUAUUUCGUAGCUUUGCAUGCACAUUUGCAUGGAAACUGUUCUAGAAGUUACAUUUUACCCCUUUGAUUUGUGUUUAAUGCCACUGUGGCUCAAAAAUUGAAAAAAUUUGAUCAAUUCUACCCCUUUAACAUGUUAUUUUUUCCUUGGUAUGUUUUCAUUUGAUUUGUGGAUAGAUUUUCCGUGAAUUUUGGGAUGAAAUUUGAUUUGGAUUUUUCUUUUAUGAUUUGGAUUUUGGUUUGUUUUAAUUUCUUGAAUGUAGAUUGUUUGCAUGACUUAAUUGAUUCAAUUUCAUGUUUAUUUGCAUCUUUUAUGAUUAUUUGUUAAUCAAAGUGAUGCCUUGACCUUUUUUUUAUUUUGGAGGAUAAAUAAGUAAUUUCACUCCAUUAGGGCCCCAACUCAAGGGAGGUACACCCUAUCCCUUAUUUCUUAUUUUAUUUGACCCUACGUGCCCUAUGUGACUUUACGUGUUUAAUUGCAUGCCUCUUGGAUGUUUAUUUAUUUAUUUAUUUGCUUUAUUGGCUUUAGCUUUGUAUAUUUAUCAUUUGAAAGGCACUUGAAUGCCAAAUUUGUAAUAGUUAGGUAUUUAUUUUUAUUAUUUAUCUUAUUUCCCCUUUUAGAUUGUAGUAGGGCCCCCCCUAAAAUGUAAUAGUUAGGUUUUUUUUAUUUGCUUUAUUUUUGCUUGUGUGAUUUGCAUACUUACGUGCUAUGUGUUACUGCUUUCUUAGGGCCUUGCAUCUAGAUAUUAUGAUUAUGUGUUAUGUGUUUAUUUGAUAUUAUGUGUUUACAUGCUUUUAUUAGAUUGUACAUGAUUAAUUUAGUUAUAAUUAAUGUGUGACGUGUUAUCACACUAGUCCAAUGCUAGUUGUAAUCCAUUUUCUCGAUAUCACACUAGUCCAACGCUAGUUGUGGUUCCCUUGUCCAAUUUCUCAUUAGUCCAAUGCUAGUGAGGAUAUAGAAAUAAGGGCUAGUCCAAUGCUAGACCCAAUAGGGCCGCCCCUCGCUAGUACAUACUCGCAUGCCUUCACUACAUUUAAUUCAUUUUUCCUUUUUUAGUAUUUUACAUUUUUGUAUGAACCUCUACCCUUUUCCCGCAUUUGAAACACGAUCUUUAGGACUUUGCAUUUCAUUCUAGUUACUAGGGUCAUCUGCUUGAUUAGGUUAGGGAGUCACCCUUCUGGUAAGGGAAAUGGACGAGUUUGGCUACAUGUAGCCUUAGCACGCUUGUUUUCUUUCUAACCAAAAGGCAAAUCAAAAGUCAUGAUUUAGGGUCUCCCCAUACUCGUCUUGCUUGCAUUCCUCUAGGGUUCAUGCAUUUCCAAGGCACAUUACACAUUUUCACUUUUCACACUUACCACUUCUCACAUUUUUACUUCAUGUGAGACCCCGGUCAGUUCUUAAGUUUGAUAUUAGGUGAUAUUCAUUAUUUGUGCGGUAAAAUUUGGGGUUUUAGGGUUAAUUAGAAAACCCUGAGUUGGGGUUAGGAUUGAAACCCUAGUUUUUGUAUUAAUCAUAAGUUCAAGUUGUAAUUAAAGUUAGUUAUGCUAGUGUGCGUUUUAGUAUAGGUAAGUAUAGGAUUUGAUCCAUUUUAUAUAGGUUAAAUAAGUUUAAGAAGGUUAGAAACCCUAAAUGAGUAAAACCUCUAGUGUUAUGAUUUAUUAGAAGUUUUAAAUUGGGUUUAAACCCUAAUUUUGCCCUUGACAAAAAGGUUAUUGUUUAAUUGCUUUUAUGUGGGAUAAAGUAUGUUUAAGUAUAGGUGAUUAAUAUAGGAGGGUGAUUAGUGAAGUAAUUAAGUGUGGUCAAGUGUUUUAGAUUAGAUUAAGUUGGUAACCUAUGGAGUAAAUUGAAAGCUUUUCAAAUGUUUAAGGGCAAGAGUUGAUCAAAUGCAAAGUUGAAGGUGUGAGGGCUUGAGAGCAAAAAUGAAGCUUUUGUGUGAUUGGUGGAAGUAGAAAUAUCUUCCAAGGCUUUGACCAUCUUAUACAUAUCAUAGGAUUUCCAUAAAAAGCAAAACAAAAUAAGAAAGAAGAGAGAGAGAGAGGUGGCCGAGAGCAAGAGCAAAGAGUGAAACAACUUGGGGUUUAAGGGAAACAACUUGGGCCUUGUUUGUGGUAGCUUUCUUAAUUUACAAAGCUUUCUUGAAGGUAAAAUUAUCUCUCUCUUGGAAGUUAAAGUUGGGGAAUUAAUUUUGAAGCCAUGAAAGUGAAGUUUUGUUGUGAUUAUGAACUUGUAUGAUUCAUGUGGUGUUUAUGGUGUUGAUUGAUGGUUUAUUUUAGUGGUUUAUUGCUGCCCAAAUUUCAGUUAAGCUUAUGAAAGAAUUAGGGUUUCUUGCUUCAUAGUUAUUCAAGUUGAUUUGGAUGAUUGUUUGGCUUGUAUAUGGAGCCUAUGAUGUGUUAAUUUCACUUGUGUGGUUAAUUGUUAGUAAAAUCAGAUUUUGACCAUGAAACCCUAGACUCCAUUAGGUUAGUUUAGCUUGGCUAGAGUUUAGUUGGUUAGGGUUUGGUUAGUAGAUUGUUGGAAUAAGUUCAAUGGUGCCAAUGAGUGAGGAUAGGGAUUUUGGUUAGUGUUUGGUAAUUUUAUGGUCUUAGAGGGAAAGUUUUGGCCCAUUAGUAGGCCAUGUAGAAGUUAGUAUAUGUGUGCUUAUUUGGUAGGAAUUGGGUUAGAAAGCUUGCAUAAGAACCAUACAACGGACCGUGCGGUUACGGCGCGCAAAAAAACCGGCAAACUGGAAACCAGGGCAGUUCAGUAUCUGAACUUUGGCUCCAUGUUUCUUGAUGUUACGUACGGAUUCAGGGUUUUCCCAAAACAUGAAAGUUGUAGCCCAUUAAGUCCUUGUUGUGCCUACAAAAUUUCAGUCCAAUCUGAUCAGUAGAUCCUAAGUUAUGGCUAAAACCUUCACUUCUGUUCUAAACCCAGGAUUUUGCUACGUUUCUGGAUUUUGCCUCUGACCGUGUUUAGUUCACUUCGAUAACGUGCGAACUGGGUGUUGAUACCUUCAUAAGAAAUGUAGAUGUUGGUCUUAGCUUUGAAAUGGUAUAAAUUUCAUCCGAAUUUGAGUUCCGUAACUUCAGUUAUGACCAAAACAAGAUCGGUUGUCAGAACUGCCUUCGAAUUUGGACCGUUCUGACAGGAACUUUGAACCGCUUUCCCUAUGCUCCAUACUGAUUCAGCUUUUGGUCAAAACACAAAAGUUAUAGCCUUAUAAAUAAUAUUUCUAACGCCUCUGGAAUUUCUUGAUUCCGAUUUCUGAGUCGUGAGUUAUGGUCUUUCAAACAGGGCCUGUUCGGUAACCCGAAAUGAAAUGGCUGGAACUGUUUUGCACAUUUUUGUCCUAGUUCCAUUGAGAUCUGACUUGAGGUGCCUUUAUGAAAGUUGUAGCCCUUCUUCUUAGCUUCGCAACAGUACCUCAUGCACUUCGAUCCGAUAACCGUAGUCUGAAAUUUGAUCAAAACGGUUUUAGGUGCCAAAUCUGCCGUUUCCGUUGCCGGCCGUUGACGUUUUCGUUUGCCGUUUCCGCACUUGCAUGUGCCAAUUUUGCCGUUUUGCUUGUUUUAGGCAUGUUAGUAGCCGUUUGUGAUAUUAUGUGAUGCUAUCUUUUAUUUCAGACGGUGGUGAGUUAGGCGGAGCCGGUGGGGCCUACUACUAGCUACUCUACGUGACAUAAAUUGAACACCUUUUGAUAUCUUUGUUUUGAAGUAAGUAUUCGGGCCGUUUUGUAUAUAUGACUUGCUUAUGUGUCUAAGGUGAAUUAAAGGGUACCUAGGCGAGGGUGUACUUCAUCGCACUCGACCUAAACCCUAAUUUACAUGCAUAUUUAUACAUGACAUGUUUAAAUGAAUUAUUUUGGGUUUGAACCUCUUGAGCUUGUAGCUCGGGGUGACGUUUGUGAGUUGGGGUCGAUCUUCCGACCUAGACGGACUAUUCGAGCCAGCCGGGGCUUGGUCAAAGCCAGUCCAACUUAGUCUGAGGUCACCAAGUUUGUGAAUCCAGUUCACCGAGAAUGUGAACCAAGUUUGUGAACCGAGCUUGUGAACCAAGCUCAAUUUCGUUCGCUCGAGCAAGUUUGUGAGGUGACUGGCCAGUGAGGGUGAUAAGGUGUUAGGUGGGAGUACAAGUGGAGUUCUAUAGACCUUAUUUGUGGUCGACGGAGUAUCGGCAGGAGGUCACGCAUGGCAAACGACUUGGCUUUAGAGCCAACCUGUAUCCUUCAUUUGUAUUGUUACUUUUGCACUUGACUUGACAUUUUGUGAAAUAGUUGUUUAUCUAAAUGUGCAAUUUACGAUUUUACCCCAGUUUACUUACUAAGCACAUAGCUUACCCCGUUUCUUUUGUUUUCCUUAGCAGGGGACGACACGGGGAACUCCUUGGCACAUUCACUAGUAUAGUUAGGUUUGCUUGUAAUAGUUGGACAAUUAAGAUGGUUGUUUUUAUUUUGGUGGUUUGUAUAAGGACCCUCAUUAGGGCCUACUUUCUGCUGGUUGUUAUCAUAAUGUAAUAUAGUGGUUUGACUAGCUGCUUUUGGGGAUGUAAAUAGUACUCUUUUGGAGUUGGCUAUAUUGUGAAUAGUACGCUUUUGGUUUAUCUAGUUUUAUUGUUUUGAAAUUUCGAGUCCUGGCGCGAGCUAGGCAGGCAUCCCGCCGAUACCCUAGGGUUCGCCCUUGGGAGAAGCGGGGGCGUCACACUUCACACACUACCACUUUUCACUUUUCACUUCACACACUACCACUUUUCACAUUUUCACUUCACACACUAUCACUUUAUACAUUCUCACUCUUCACACUAUCACUUUACACUCUCUCACAUUUGUACACGUGCAUUUUUACAUACUCAUUUGCACCCUUGUACUCUGCACACCCAUUUGCGCACUUGCACUUUGCACACUUGCACCUGGCACUCGUUUUUACACUCAAAGACAUUUUUCGCACACACUCAUUUUUCCUCAUUAUUACUCGAGCAUUCAUUUGCAUUUAUUCGUGACCUCUUUGAGGGUUCACCAUUGGCUAUCACAAUUCAUGUGAUUAGGUCCAAUCGAGCCUCUAAAGAGACAUUUUAUCCCUUUCAAACCACUCAUUAGAUUUAGGUUUGCAUUCAUGUUAGAUGCAUCCAAAAUGCAAUACAUCUUUUGGGUAAAAAUUAGGAAAAUUUUCACUAAAUCACGGAACUAGCUUAGGCUAGGGUAAAAGGGUGCCUUAGACUUCGUCUUUGCCUUCCCUUUUAUCAACCGUGACCCCCGAACUCGUCUCUUUGAUUUUCGUAGACUGGAAGUCAUCUAAAAAAGUUUUUACUUCCUUUUUUCAAAAACUACUUUUGGGUGACUUGGUACACCCCAACUCGAUACCAAGUGGCGACUCCUACUUUUCUGUUUAAAAAUCUUUUUAGAUUAUCGUUUUGGCCAAACCGUUGCAGUUAAAAGUCCCAUGGCCUUUCCCUUAUUUCUCACAUUCACACACUUCACAUAUUUCAUGCACACUACGCAUCAUGAUUUCAAAUAACUUUACUUUACUAUUUUCUCUUUUUCUCAAAAAUGGGGCGCGACAGCUUGGCGACUCCAUUGGAGAUUUCCUAAGUGGGUCCGAGCACUUGAUUUAGUUAUUCUUUUACUUUUCUACCCUUUUCAUGUAUCGCAUUUGGAUGUUUAGGGUUGCAUUUUUUCUUUUUAGGAUUUUUUUUUGCAUUUUGCGCGAAUCAACUCACUUCCUCACCCAUUCGCAUACGAUUAAUUUGAUGGAUGGAUGGUUUAUUUAUGUGAUCCCGCGCUUUGCAUUGCAUUUGGGGGGGGGAAUAUUACCCUAGAGCCUCGCGUUGAUUCUCGAUCCCUCCCCUCCGAACGAAGCACUAGCAUACGUGCAUACGUUUUAUUUUUUUAUCCCUCAUUUAUUUUUCUUUUAGUGGCUUGUCACGCCACUCUUCCCUAUUAGGAUUAGGCGACCCACUUGGACGUGUGAUCGCGACACGACGUGUGCGUAGCAUGGUCCGAGGGGUCACUCAAUCUUCCAUUUUAAGCUUUGGGUUGAUAGCCUUCAGCUUUUAGUCGAAGAUUGAGGAUUUUUUUGAUAGAUUCGCUCAGACAUUGGCCGUGACACGACGUGUGCGUAGCAGUGUCUGGGGAAUCGCUCGAGCCACCGACAAAGAACUUUGGGAUUGAUGACCUUUGGUUUUCAAGUCUGAAGGCUCGAGUAUUACCUUUGUAGGUUGGUGGAGGUUGGUGGAAAAUGAUGCAAUUUCAAAUGAAAAAAAAAAGGAAAUGACAGGAGAACGAGCGUAUCUUUUCAUGAAUGUUACUAUCGCUUUCCAUUGUACAUGUUUCUUGAAUUAUUGAUACUCCAUAUUUAAUGUUUUGUAAAUGUUGUAAUUGUUUCUGGACUUAUCAUUUGAUUUAUGACAUCAUUGAAAAGAAAUAUUGUUAAACCGAUUCGAUUACUGAUUUUCUGGUUACUCGCUGAGCUUCUAGCUCACCCCAAAAAUAUUUUAUUCCCCUCCACAGGGCUCAAAGCGAAGGAAGGCUUGUAGUACUUGUCCGCGUGAUUGGUUGGAUGGCCUUUAUGUUGUAUAGUUUGGAUUUGGAAUCAUUUUAUGUAUAGUUGGGAAUUGUUUCCGCUUUGCUUUUGACAUGUAAUUAUUGGAGAAUGUGAUGUAAUAUUUGAGAUUUAUCUUGUAAUCUGUUUGAGGAAUGUAGUGAACGACUGAGUCCCGGCGAGAGUUGGGCAGGCGGCCCGCCGAACCCUCUGGUUCGCCUUAGGGGGAGGUGGGGCUGUCACAGUUGGUAUCAGAGCUUAGGCUUCAGAUCUCUGUAGUGUAUCCUAGGCUUGAAGUUUAGGAUGCCGGACUGUGGGUUUGGUUUUUAGUGAUUCUUGCGGGAUGUCUCGACUUGAUUGGUAUAAGAUGGAAUGUCGAGGACGACAUUCUUUUAAUGAGCUCAACUGUGACGCCCCGAAAAGUAUAAGUGUGAGAACCCGAAAAUUUUCUAAUUUUCUAGGGUUUAUUUUAUUUAAUCGCCCGCCUUUUCUACGUUUUCUUUAUUAGAAAAAUUCCCCAGAUAAAGUUUAUGGGCAAAAAUAGUUUUAAAAUAAUUUUUCUAGUAUCGGUUAGUUUUUGAGAAAUUAAAAGCGUAUUUUGGACGUGGGACCCGCAAGUGCGGUAAAUGCAUUAUAUUUUUGACAACUUGUUGGAAUGUUGUAUUAAGUGAUAUUAUUUUACAAAGUGUUAAGAUAUUUGUAUUGGAGAGACAAAAAGAUAAGUUUUGAACCAAAAGGUGACAAGUGUCACCAUAAGAUUAAGUCUUGGACUUUGACCAUUUGACUUUACCUUAUCUUUACCAAAUAAAUACCAAAAAAUUGCCAAAAAUCAUCCUUAUUUCUAAAGCUUCAUAGCCGGAUCUCUCUCAAAGGAAAAGAAAGAAAAUCUCUCAAUUUCUUCCUUCUAUUUCUUGCUCAAUCUUCAAAUCCAACCAAUAAAACUCCAAAUCAUUCCAUAAAAUCUCUUUGCUAAGUGGUCUUGAGGUGUUUUGUGGAGUUGUUUGGAAAGCUAAGGUGACUAGUUGCUCUAUCUCUUGUAUUGCUAAGGUGAGUUGUGAAUGACCCCUCUCCUUGCUCUAAUGAUGUUCAAUUCAUGAUUAGUGGUGAUAUAAGGUGCAACUUUAUGGAUUAUAUCUUGAUUUUGGUUGAAUUGGUGAAGUUUUAUAAUUAUUGGGGAUUUUUCUGUUUUCAUAUGAAUAUGAUUAUGGGGUCAUGUAUGAUGAUUGGAAAUGAUGUUUAAUGACUCUAGGAGGUGGAAAAAGUGAUUAAUUGCAACCAAUUUCUGUUUUGGACCAAAAAUUGAAAAGUGAGGGUUUUGUGAUGAACAUUCUGUCCGAAUUUUUAGGUCAUAGAUAGAGGCCGAAUUGGCCUUGGCUUAAAACAUGAAAGUUGUAGGGAAUGAUAUUUUAAAGGUGUCUACAAAAUUUCAGGUCAAUCGGAGUAGUGUGGAAUGAGAUAAGUCGAAAUUACUAUUACUGUCCUGGUUUUACCCGAAUGUAAGAAUUGCGCCUGUAAUUGGUUGUUUUGGCUGGAAUUGCUUCCGAAUUGGUUGUUGAGGCCUUUUGAUGAAAUUUAUCCCUGUUUCUUAGCUUUCAUCUGGUUUUGGAAUUUCUGGUUUUGGACUUGUAGAGCCUGAGUUAUGAUGUUUCCGCUAGAAUGCGUUCUGUGAAUCUGUUUUUGUGAUUCUGGUAUGGUAUCUUGCAUUUUUGACCUGGUUACACUCGAAACUGGGUUGAGUGACCUUCUGCAAUAUUGUAGCCCUAUCUCUUAGCUUCGAAACGGUGUAUCUUGUACCUUCAUCCGACAAUCGUAGCGCCUUUGGUACCAUUACCGCAAAAUGACGUCCAAAACUAUUUUUCUGGUUUUGAGCUUAACUUUCAUUUCCGGACUUUUCCAUAGCUUGACUUGUACUAGUACUCCUUGGAGCUUGCUGAAUGGCUAUUGGAUGAACUUGUUGUUGUGUGUGUACCUUUGGGUUGGAAUGAGGAAAUAAUGAAGCCAUGAUGGCUGGAAAAGUUAGUAAAUUCAGGGGAAGUGCUGUCCGAACUUUGAAGGGAUUUGUUUGCAUUGAGUUUGUGAUCUAAGACUUGGAUUUGAGCAAGGCAAUGUUAUAUGCUGGAUGAUUUCGGAGCCGUGGAGGUGAGUGACCCUAAACUAUUUCCAAAGUACUUGUGAAAUGUUUCUUACAUUAUUUACUUUUGAACUGUUUCCAAAGCUACUUUUGAACUGUUUUCUUGCAUAUCAUGCGUGCUUAUAUGAAAGUGUUCCUUGUUUGAUAUAUUUCCUUGACUUCAUGACUUGUGUUAUUGAUUGAUAACGUGUUACGUGCUUUGAAUGAUUUCCAAAAUGAGCUUUCUAGGCGAGUGUGUAUUUUAUCGCACUCGACCUAAAUCAAUGUGAAAUUUUCAUGAUAAAUGAUUAAAUGCCACUUGUGCAUGAAUGUAACCCUUUUGGGCUGAACUGGCCAUUGCCCCUUGUUACCGGUCGUCUCGAGCCUGAAACGGACUCGGUCAGGCGAUUAGGGACCUGGGUGAACGUUUGGUAUACUCGAGUAUUACCUUUGUAGGUUGGUGGAGGUUGGUGGAAAUUGAUGCAAUUUCAAAUGAAAAAAAAAGGAAAUGACAGGAGAACGAACGUAUCUUUUCAUGAAUGUUACUAUCGCUUUCCAUUGUACAUGUUUCUUGAAUUAUUGAUACUCCAUAUUUAAUGUUUUGUAAAUGUUGUAAUUGUUUCUGGACUUAUCAUUUGAUUUAUGACAUCAUUGAAAAGAAAUAUUGUUAAACCGAUUCGAUUACUGAUUUUCUGGUUACUCGCUGAGCUUCUAGCUCACCCCAAAAAUAUUUUAUUCCCCUCCACAGGGCUCAAAGCGAAGGAAGGCUUGUAGUACUUGUCCGCGUGAUUGGUUGGAUGGCCUUUAUGUUGUAUAGUUUGGAUUUGGAAUCAUUUUAUGUAUAGUUGGGAAUUGUUUCCGCUUUGCUUUUGACAUGUAAUUAUUGGAGAAUGUGAUGUAAUAUUUGAGAUUUAUCUUGUAAUCUGUUUGAGGAAUGUAGUGAACGACUGAGUCCCGGCGAGAGUUGGGCAGGCGGCCCGCCGAACCCUCUGGUUCGCCUUAGGGGGAGGUGGGGCUGUCACAGUUGGUAUCAGAGCUUAGGCUUCAGAUCUCUGUAGUGUAUCCUAGGCUUGAAGUUUAGGAUGCCGGACUGUGGGUUUGGUUUUUAGUGAUUCUUGCGGGAUGUCUCGACUUGAUUGGUAUAAGAUGGAAUGUCGAGGACGACAUUCUUUUAAUGAGCUCAACUGUGACGCCCCGAAAAGUAUAAGUGUGAGAACCCGAAAAUUUUCUAAUUUUCUAGGGUUUAUUUUAUUUAAUCGCCCGCCUUUUCUACGUUUUCUUUAUUAGAAAAAUUCCCCAGAUAAAGUUUAUGGGCAAAAAUAGUUUUAAAAUAAUUUUUCUAGUAUCGGUUAGUUUUUGAGAAAUUAAAAGCGUAUUUUGGACGUGGGACCCGCAAGUGCGGUAAAUGCAUUAUAUUUUUGACAACUUGUUGGAAUGUUGUAUUAAGUGAUAUUAUUUUACAAAGUGUUAAGAUAUUUGUAUUGGAGAGACAAAAAGAUAAGUUUUGAACCAAAAGGUGACAAGUGUCACCAUAAGAUUAAGUCUUGGACUUUGACCAUUUGACUUUACCUUAUCUUUACCAAAUAAAUACCAAAAAAUUGCCAAAAAUCAUCCUUAUUUCUAAAGCUUCAUAGCCGGAUCUCUCUCAAAGGAAAAGAAAGAAAAUCUCUCAAUUUCUUCCUUCUAUUUCUUGCUCAAUCUUCAAAUCCAACCAAUAAAACUCCAAAUCAUUCCAUAAAAUCUCUUUGCUAAGUGGUCUUGAGGUGUUUUGUGGAGUUGUUUGGAAAGCUAAGGUGACUAGUUGCUCUAUCUCUUGUAUUGCUAAGGUGAGUUGUGAAUGACCCCUCUCCUUGCUCUAAUGAUGUUCAAUUCAUGAUUAGUGGUGAUAUAAGGUGCAACUUUAUGGAUUAUAUCUUGAUUUUGGUUGAAUUGGUGAAGUUUUAUAAUUAUUGGGGAUUUUUCUGUUUUCAUAUGGAUAUGAUUAUGGGGUCAUGUAUGAUGAUUGGAAAUGAUGUUUAAUGACUCUAGGAGGUGGAAAAAGUGAUUAAUUGCAACCAAUUUCUGUUUUGGACCAAAAAUUGAAAAGUGAGGGUUUUGUGAUGAACAUUCUGUCCGAAUUUUUAGGUCAUAGAUAGAGGCCGAAUUGGCCUUGGCUUAAAACAUGAAAGUUGUAGGGAAUGAUAUUUUAAAGGUGUCUACAAAAUUUCAGGUCAAUCGGAGUAGUGUGGAAUGAGAUAAGUCGAAAUUACUAUUACUGUCCUGGUUUUACCCGAAUGUAAGAAUUGCGCCUGUAAUUGGUUGUUUUGGCUGGAAUUGCUUCCGAAUUGGUUGUUGAGGCCUUUUGAUGAAAUUUAUCCCUGUUUCUUAGCUUUCAUCUGGUUUUGGAAUUUCUGGUUUUGGACUUGUAGAGCCUGAGUUAUGAUGUUUCCGCUAGAAUGCGUUCUGUGAAUCUGUUUUUGUGAUUCUGGUAUGGUAUCUUGCAUUUUUGACCUGGUUACACUCGCAACUGGGUUGAGUGACCUUCUGCAAUAUUGUAGCCCUAUCUCUUAGCUUCGAAACGGUGUAUCUUGUAACUUCAUCCGACAAUCGUAACGCCUUUGGUACCAUUACCGCAAAAUGACGUCCAAAACUAUUUUUCUGGUUUUGAGCUUAACUUUCAUUUCCGGACUUUUCCAUAGCUUGACUUGUACUAGUACUCCUUGGAGCUUGCUGAAUGGCUAUUGGAUGAACUUGUUGUUGUUUGUGUACCUUUGGGUUGGAAUGAGGAAAUAAUGAAGCCAUGAUGGCUGGAAAAGUUAGUAAAUUCAGGGGAAGUGCUGUCCGAACUUUGAAGGGAUUUGUUUGCAUUGAGUUUGUGAUCUAAGACUUGGAUUUGAGCAAGGCAAUGUUAUAUGCUGGAUGAUUUCGGAGCCGUGGAGGUGAGUGACCCUAAACUAUUUCCAAAGUACUUGUGAAAUGUUUCUUACAUUAUUUACUUUUGAACUGUUUCCAAUUUAAUUAUUGCCACUUUGCUCAUACGUUGGACGACUGGUAAGAAAACCGUGAAGAGCUGCUAUUUUUAUGAAUGAUAACUUUUCCCGUAAAUAGCCUGCUCUUUAUGGCUUUCCUUUGUUAUAUGUCAAGGUACCUGCUUUUGACGAGCAUUUUACAUCUAAUUUAUUUGGUACUUUAAACAAUGAUAUUCAGAUGUUUCUUUCCCUUUUAGACCAACUAUUUUGACUUGUGGAUUUUUUGUGCUUUGGGAAAAAAGAUUUUCGCUUACUUUUUUUUUUAACUGCAAAAGAAAAAUUUUUUCCCUAUAAAUUCCAAAAAUACUUAUUUAUUUCCAUACGAUCAAGUAUGUAUACAAGUAUAUUAACAAUACUUACUAAGUAAGGUACUCAGUUUUAAUCAUUAAUAAUACAUUUUAGUGUUAAUUCAAAUAACACAAAAAAAUACGGGCUUGGUAUAAGUUUUUUUAGCAUAAUAGAAUAUUUUUGCCAUAAAUUAGCAUGUUUCUGUCAUUAAUCAAAUUUACUAUGUUAUAAGUAAAAAUCACUAUUUAUGUAUAAAAACAUACUUUUAGUUCAAAUAAACUUACUUUCCUCAAAAGUAUAUUUGAGAUAUAAAAUUGCAAUUUAUCUCUUUAAAAAGUAUGUUUCAUAUUACUUUCAAUUUACCUUUUCGACUGCAAAGUUACUAAUUUAUUACGUUAACUUACUAUUUUAGAUGAGUACUCGAGUAUUACCAAAAGCUACUGAUUGGAGUGCGGGCCCGGUUGGGGUAUGUUUGGUGGAAGGAAUGAGAGUGAAGUGGGUUCUACGGUUGGUACUCAUAAACGUUGACGGAGAGUCAAUGAGAUUGGAUCAAGAAUAUAAGCGUGGAAAUGGGCUCUUGAGAGCCAUCCGUAUCCUUUUACUGAUUUGUUUUAUUCCUUAAUUGUGUACUUGAAAUGAAAGGUUAUGCUUAAGUGAUCUUUGUUGCUUAUGUGGUAGUAACUCACUGAGCUUUAGCUCACUCCGUUCCAUUUGUUUUCCUUACAGGAAAAUGACUAUUUUGAGAAAGGUUGUGCUAGUUGGUUGUCAAGUUGAGCUCAUGUAAAUGACUUUUGAAUAGCUCCUUGAGGGUGAAAACCCUAAGUGUUUUGUUUCAACCAAUGGUUGGUUGUAAUUGGCUAAUUGCACAUGUAUGAACUUAUGGGAUAUUUUGGUAUCUCGCUUUGGCUUGUAAAUGUUGAAUUUCACUGUAUUUAUGUUUGGUUGAUGUUUGGAUGGAUUUCGGAUCAAUUCGGCUUUCAAACGGCAAAAGGAAAUUUUUCGACUGAAGGGCACUGGAUUGAAUCCGGCCAGGAAUCCGGCCAGUUUCUGGCCGGAUUGUCGGCCGGAUUGCUUGGGAAAAAUUUUGAAUCCGGAAGUUAGCCACUGGACAGUAUCCGGCCAAGAAUCCGGCCGGAUUCCACUGUUCCAGGCACAUUCUUCGUUUUCGUUUUUUUUAAAAUUUUGUUAUUUGGUUACCUGUGGCUUGUUUGAGCGCGCUUUUACUUUCCCGAAAUGUUUGAGAUCGCGUGUAUCUGCUCGUUAGUCCUGGCGAGAGCUGGGCAGGCAGUCCGCUAACCCCUUUGGUUCGCCUUAGGGGAAGGUGGGGCUGUUACAAAUCCAGUUUAGUUAUGAAACCCCAGGUUAAGGGGAAGUUAGUUUGGUUUAGUUAAAACUUGGAUGGUUAGGGUUUGAUGGGUUAAGUUUUGAAGUAGCUAGAGUUGGUGAGAUUAGAAUCUUUAUUAUGGUUAGUGUUUGGUAAGUUUUGGGACUAAAUUGGGAAAGGAAUUUUGGGUCUUUUGUGGAGCAAAUAGGAGAUGGUAUAUGUGUGUUUAUUUGGUAUGAAAUUGGUUGGAAAACCUUGCAUGAGAACCAUAGAAACGGACCAUGCGUUUGCGGCACGCGAAACCGUUCAAAUCUGGAAAACAGGGCAGUCCCGAAUCUGAACUUUGGUCACAUUUUUAUUUGUGCUACAUAUUGAUUCAGGCUCUACCCAAAACAUGAAAGUUGUAGUUUCUUAAGUCCUUGUUGUGCCUGCAAAAUUUCAGCCCAAUCCGAUCAGUGUAGCCUGAGUUAGGACCAAAACACUAAUGACUAUGUGAAAUGUUGGAUUUGGUGACGUUUGUGGUUUUUGCUUCUGACCGUGCUCAGUUCACAUUGAUAAUGAAGGAACUGGGUGUUGAGGUCUUCAUAAUACUUGUAAAUCUUUGUUUCAUAUUUUAAACGGUAUAAAGUGCGUCCAAAUCUGAGUUCCGUAGCUCUAGUUAUACCCAAAACAAGAUCGGGUGUCAGAACUGCCUUUGAAGUUGGACAGUUCUAACAGGAACUUUGGACCCGUUUUUCCCUAUGCUCUGUACUGAUUCAGCUUUUGGUCAAAACACAAAUGUUAUAGCCUUAUACAUAAUCUUUCCAAUCCCUCUGGAAUUUCUUGAUUCCGAUCUCUGAGUUAUGAGUUAUAGUCAUUCAAACAGGGCCUACUUGGUAACCUGAAUUGAAACGGCUGGGCCUGUCUUGUGCAUUUUUGUCCUAGUUCCAUUGAGAUCUGGCUUGAAGUGUCUUCAUGAAAGUUGCAGCCCUUCUUCUUAGCUUCGCAACGGUACCUCAUUCACUUUGAUCCGAUAACCGUAGCCUGAAAUUUGAUCAAACUAGUUCUAGGUGCCAAAUCUGCCCGUUUCCGUUUGCCGGCCGUUUUCGUUUUCGUCGCAGUUUCCGCGCGUGCAUGUGCCCGUUUUACAGUUUUGCUUGAUUUAUGCACUUUAGUAGUGGUUUGUGUAAUAAUGUGGUGCAAUGUUCUAUUUCAGACGGUGGUGAGCUAGACGGAGCCAGUGGGGCCUACUAGCUAUCACACGCGAAGUGAUUUUCGCCCUUGUGCUAUUUUGUACUUUGUGUAAGUAUUCAGGCCGUUUUUGUGUAUAACUUGCUUAUGUGCUUUGGUGUGGAUGAGAGGGUACUUAGGCGAGGGUGUACUUUAUCGCACUCGACCUAAACCCUAAUAUGUGCAUAUAAUUUUACAUGAUAUAUGUAUAUGACUUGCUUUGGGACUGAACCCCGUGAGCUUGUAGCUCGGGGUGACUUUUGUGAAAUUUGUUAAAUAUGAUGAAGUUGUGGGCCCGAUCUCAAGACCUAGACAGACUAUUCGAGCCGGUCCGGGCUUGGUCGAAGCCAGUCCAACCUAGUCUUAAGGUCACCAAGUUUGUGGUUCUGUGAACCAAGUUUGUGAACCGAGCUUGUGAAUCAAGUUCAAUUUUGUUUCGUUUGCUUGAGCCAUUUUGUGAGGUGACUGGCCAGUGUGGGUGAUAAGGUGUACGGUGGGAGUAAGUGGAGUUCUACGGACCUUUAUUUGUGGUCGACGGAGUGUCGACAAGAGGUUACACAUGGCACAUGAUGUGGCUUUGAAGCCAACCUGUAUCCUUAACUUGUGUUGUUACUUUUAUAUUUUCGAUUUGACAUCUUGUGACGUAAUUGUUCGUAUUACUGUGAAAUUUACGUUUUUAUCACUGUUUACUUACUAAGCAUAUAGCUUACCCCUUUCCCUUUGUUUUCCUUAACAGGGGCCGACGCGGGGAACUUUUGGCACUAUCACUAGUAUAGUUAGGCUUGGUUUGUAAUAGCCGGAGAACUAAGAUGUUUUUUCUUGUUUUAGUGACCUGUAUAAGGACCCCUCUUUGGGUCUACUUUAUAUUUUGGUUAUUAGCAUAAGAUAAUGUAGUAGUCUGGAUAACUCCUUUUGAGGAUGUAAAUACUCUUUUGGGAUUGAAUAUAUUAUGAACAGUACUCUUUUGGUUUAUCUAGUUUUAUUUGCUUUGUGUUUUGAGUCCUAGCACGAGCUAGGCAGGCGUCCCGCCGAUACCCUCGGGUUCUCCCUUGGAAGAAGUGGGGGCGUCACAUUGUAGCACUAUCUUCAAGUGUCGGGCAUGAUCUUCUCGGGAUUUAGAAUACACCAAUAUGUCAUCUAUAAACACCACUACAAACUGAUCCAAAUAUGGCUUAAAGACUCGCUGCAUUAAGUCCAUAAAUGCGGCAGGAGUAUUAGUCAAUCCGAAGGGCAUCACCACAAACUCAAAGUACCCAUACCUUGAGUUAAAAGUAGUUCUCGGUACAUCUUCCUUCCUAAUUCUUAACAGAUAAUACCCUUGCUGAAGUCUAACUUAGAAAAUAAUACCGACCCUUGCAACUGAUCAAAUAGUUCAUCAAUAAGCGAUUAAGGAUAUUUGUUCUUUAUUGUCACAUUAGUUAGCCCUCGGUAGUUUAUGUAUAACCUCAAACUCCCAUCUUUUUUCUUGACAAAUAAUACGGGCGCUCCCCAAGACGAAUCGCUUUCCCUAAUGAAUUCCCGCUCUAACAAAUCUUGUAGUUGAAUCUUUAACUCUUUAAGUUCCACAGGGGCUAUCCGAUAUGGGGUUUUAGAAAUGGGAGCUGUUCCUGACACUAAAUCAAUCUUAAACUCCACCUCUCGCUCGGGAGAUAAGGAUUCUAACUCCUCAGGAAAAACGUUGGGAUAAUCUCUCACUAUUGGCAUAUCUUCCAAUUUCAUUUUAUUAGUUGGAGGGUUUAUUAGAAAAGUCAAAUAACCUUGAGCUCCCUUACUUAUUAAUUUUCUAACCCGAAAUCCCAAAAUGAGGGCAGACAAAACUAAUCUUCCAUUCAUAUCCAAUCUUAACGUUGCUUCCCCCGAAAUGCAAAAUUCCACAAUUUUUGUUCUACAGUUCAAGUUAGCAUGAUAUCGGGCUAAACUGUGACGCUCCCAUUUCUCCCAAGGGCGAACCCAAGGGUAUCCGCGAAACGCUUGCCCAACUCUUGCCAGGACUCAAGACAAUUCAAUUCAAACUUAACAGUACAUACCAAAAUGAUACCAGUCUAAAAUAAAGAAAAUUCACUUCUUUAACUGAAUAUCCAAAUCUUACAUCACGUUCUCAAAAGAUACAUCAAGUCCCAAAACACAACUAUUAACAGUCGACUAAACAUUUACAGCCCAGAUUCCAAACAAAAAUAUAACCUAGUCGGUUUUUUCAAAAUCUUCCAAUCCACCUGUUAAGGAAAACAAAUCCAUGGGGUGAGCGAUUGCUCGUGAGGCCAAGAAACACACAUGCAGGCACAUAGUUCAAAUAGCAAUCCCAAUUUAGCAAGUAAAACAGUAAUAUUCAAGUAAUUACAAUUCGAGUGAGAAAAGUAAACAGAAAUAAUUCAAGGAUAUGGGAGCUCUCAGGAGCUAAUUUCCACUUGCUUUGUCAAUGUACGAUCAAUUACCUCCCCGCGAUGACACUCCGUCAACCGGGUCGGUAUUUAGUCUGUAGAAACUCCACUUACCCAUUCUCCGUCCACCAUACAUAUCCCACCAGACCCGAACUUCUAUAAAGGCGCUACUGCACAAAUAGGCCAAGCAAGAUCUCUCCAAUAGAUCAGGCUUAUACAGGUUUUCUCAUGGCUCACCAAGGUUCUCGACCAAACCCGUGUUGGCUCGAGACCAAGGUCGGCCGAUGAGAUUUGGGUGUCCCCCGGAUCAGGUGUGAAUCGAGAAGUUUCACUCCAGCGACAUAUGCAGCCAUAGCAUAUAAUUCAAUUCAAUUCAGGUCAAGUAAUUCAAUUCAAUUCAGGUCAGGUAAUCCAAUUCAAUUCAGGAAAUUCAAUGACGAGUCAUUUAAAUGAGAACGAGUGCGAUAAAGUACACACUCGAUUCAGCAAUUAUCAAUUUCAGUUCAUGAGAAGCAAUUCACAUAAUUGCAACAAAACAAGCACUUGACACUCACCUAGUUAAAAUAAGAGUGGUGCACAAUCAAGUAUUUAGGCAUCCCUUGUGAGAUCCUCUUGAAGGUCUCCUUGAGUGCCUGAGCAAUUAAUAAUUAACUACCAUACACCAUUGUUUAAAAACCCCUAGUUAACAAGGGAGAUUGUACACUUGUACAAUCUAAGAAAAUAUCAUGAAAGAGAGCCUUAAUUACUCGUAAAUAGAGACUCAAAAGUGGGGUUUAAUAAUACAAGGAAAAACUGAUUUUCAUCUUUGAAAUCAAGUGUAAAAUGGUCAAGCAAUAUCGAAGGGUAAUGGAGAGUUUCUAAAAACUCAAUUCCCUUCAAGUUCAGAAAUUCCAGAUUUGAGGUGCAAUUUUUGAAAAAUCAUAUCUCACUCUCUGUAAGUCCAAAAUUGGAAAACUUGGUACCGUUGGAAACUACAUCCCAAGUACUAAAAGUUCCUCGAAGACACUUUUCCAUGAUUAUAAAUGAAUGACACUCAAAUUUCGGCUUAAAUUUGCUAACUUACACUUCCAAGACAGAUUCGGGGUUGGUUUUUGGCAAAUUUUGGAAAUUUGGCAAAAUUCAUAGAAUGUGAACUAGCCUCUAAAAUGUGAAACUCAAUUAGAGUUACAAUCAAAGUUUAAAACACAACUAACAGAACUAAGAUCGGAGUUUCAAGCAUCAAGAUAUAGCAGCCCAAAGUUAGCUAAAAAUAAUGACAGAUUGCACAUUUUCCAGAUUUGGAAAAACGAUUUUGGACCAUCAUUUGGGUAUCGAAAUGGUCUUGGAUUGACACCAAAAUUGGUAAAACUCAACUUCCAUAUGAGGACUACUCCUCUACCAAAUUUCAUUUGAAAAUUCACACGGGAAGGUAGUGUAUCAAACUACCAAAAUUCAAGAAAUCCCAAGACCAAUCUGUCUUUUGCUUUCUUCUCCCUUUUUCAAAUAUUUUGUCCAAUUAAAACGACUUAAAUCUGGCUCAUUUAUGAAACAAAAGUCUAAGAAACAUCUAAUAUACAUUUGGUGGGUGAUUGACAUCAAAAUUUGCAAAACAACAAGUCCCAAGUCAAGCUAGGCCAUUCGGCUAGCCAAAAUUAGGGUUUUCUAUCACUAGUGCAGUUCUGUAAUUUGGCCAUAACUCAGUCAAUUCAACUUGAAAUUGAGCAUGGUCAGUGGCAUUGGAAAAUAUAUUCAUAAGGCUACAAUUCCUCAGAAGAAAGAAUUUUGAAAUUCAGUUCAUAGCUAGCUCAAAUUCAAGCAACAAUUCCCAGCACAUCACUGACUCUCGAGCAGAGUAACAAAACAGAACGGGUAAUUUUGGUGAACUAGUACAGCUCACUCACUUUGAAUCAGGGGAUGCAUUUUAUACCUUUAUAAAAAUGGAUGUGUCUAGUUUCAAAUACGUCAAACGGCACUGGAUUUCGACAUUGGACCAAAGAGUUAUGAUCGUUCAAAUUUCACUGCCAGAGAACCCCUGAUACGCGAAUUUCCAGUUUGUUCUUGUUCAAAACUCAACUUUUUCUUAACCAAAUCAAGUAAUUUUUUGUGGAAACUUUCCACACAACCUAUAAAACAUAUCUACAACAAAUUCAAGGUCAUUUGAUCACAAAAAAAAUCAAACCAAGGGCUCUGUAAAAACAGGGCAGAAUCGGCUAAGCUUCUCAUGCAACUUUCCUUUUAUUUUCUUUCCACUUUUUCAACUUAUAUCUACUUGUUUAACACUUAAUCAACAUAAAUAACACCCAUAAUCAUCAUAUCAUUCGAACAUGUCCAUUGUGGGAUUUCAUAGAGCCCACUCAAAUGAUUUUCAACCAAAUAAAGAUACCCACAUGAAACUACAAGCUUCCAAGUCACAUUUAACUCACUAGAACCAAGUUUAAAAGGUUAGAUAGUUACCACCUCUUGGGUGAUGAAAACUCAGAAAUUUUGGUUACUAAGAGCUCCAAGAAACCGUGAGAAAGGUACUCUCUUCCUGGUCCAAGUGAGUCUCCAAGUUGUGGGUUUGUGUGAUGAUUUUGGAGUGAAAUGGUUGGAUGAUUUGAAGUGAAAUGAGAUGAACUUGCUCCUUCUUCCUCCUUUGGAUUUUCGACCAGCAUAGGAGAGAAAAGAGAGAGGGUUUGUUAAUGGUGAAGCUUCUCUUGGAAGCUUGGUAGUUGUAGUUCAAAUUUUGGCACAAAAGUCAACUCUCAAUAGUGCCCGUACGCGUGCGUUUCAUGCCCGUUUCCUCUCGGGUUUGUUUCACUUGUGCACUAAACCUCUAAUGCACUUCCUUUAACACUAUUAUUAUCCACUCUUAGUAGUCUGACAAUAAUUUUCUAAAGUCUUUCAAUUAGUCGCGCGCGCGAAAAUGCGAACUUCCGACUUAUGCGCGAUAAAGUGCAAUUUCUAAGAAAUUCUUGUAACGAUGAUAUGACUAACUAAUACUAGGGUUAUUAAUCAUAAAAAUACCUAUUUUAAGACUAACACUUGAGUUCUCAAAUUUCCAAGGUCACUGUACUCUCAAAUCGACUAUUGCCUCCAAAUGUGUAUUCACUAAAUCUCGCUAAACGAGCUUCCAAAAAUGAAAUUUAUUAACGGGACAUGUUUAAAAUAUAUGCACGUCAUAGUUCCAUGUAAAUGGUUCCAAAAGGAUUGAAAUAAAUUAUUCGGAGAAAAUGGGCAAUUAAUUAUUUAAAUAAGCCAAUAAUAUGAGUUUAAAAUAAGUAAAUUUUUGGGUCAUCCUCUCCUCCUUAAGAAAAUUUCGUCCUCGAAAUUAUACCUUGAUUUGAGAACAUGUCUGGAUAUUUUCCUCGAAUUUCUUUUUCAACUUCCUCGGUUGCUUCCUCUAGUCCGUGGUUCCUUCAGAGAACUUUCACCAACGGAAUCCAUUUGUUUCUCAAUUCUUUCACCUUACGAUCUAGACGCUUGAUCGGUUUCUCCUCAUAAGUGUCAUAAGUUAGCGUCUCAUCAAUUUCAAUACUCUUUGGUUGUAGAAUGUGAGACGGAUCCGGAUGAUAUUUCUUAAGCACCAAUACGUGGAAAACAUUGUGGAUCAGAGAUAAACUUGGUGGCAAUUCCAACUUAUAGGCUACAUUUCCUACACGUUGGAUAAUCUUGUACGGCCCUACGAAUCUCGGUUGUAACUUCUUUCCUUUUCCAAACAUUAAACUUGCUUUCAGAGGGGUAAUCUUAAGAAAUACUAGAUCUCCAACCACAAAUUCCAAGUCCUUCCUACGGUUAUCUGCAUAACUCUUCUGACGACUUUGUGCGGUCUGAAUCCUCUGGCGUGCCAACUUCACUUUUUCGUUCACCUCCUCAAUCCAAGGCACUGUAGUCGGGUCUAAGAUUUUUCGUUCACCUAUUUCAUCCCAACAAAUUGGAGACCUACACUUCCGACCAUAAAGUGCUUCGUACGGGGCCAUUUGAAUAGAAGGAUGAAAGCUAUUGUUAUAGGCGAAUUCCACCAAUGUCAAAAACUUACUCCAACUCUCUACAAAAUCCAAAACACAAGUUCUCAACAUGUCCUCAAGGGUUUGAAUCGUCCUCUCAGACUGUCUAUCGGUCUGGGGAUAGUAAGUAGUAUUAAAAUUCAAUUUAGUCCCCAACACUUCUUGCAUUUUUUUGCUAGAAUCUUGAAACAAACCUAGGGUCUCUAUCGGACACAAUUCUUACAGGUAUCCCAUGUAACCUGAUAAUCUCAUCCAAGUAUAACUUAGCUAACUUCUCCAAUGGGUACUUCAUAUUAAUCGGCAGAAAAUGAGCCGAUUUGGUCAACCUAUCCACUAUUACCCAAAUGGCAUCAUGACCUCUUUGUGUCCUAGGUAACCCUGAUACAAAAUCCAUGGUGAUGUUUUCCCAUUUCCACUCGGGUAUCUCCAGAGGUUGCAAAAGUCCUGAUGGUUUUGAUGUUCAGCUUUAACUUGUUGAUAAAUCAAACAGGUUUGGACAAAUUGAGCAAUCUCCUUUUUCAUGCUCUCCCACCAAUACAAACUUUUCAAGUCUUGUUACAUUUUAUUCCCUCCAGAGUGUACCGUAAACUUCGAUCGGUGUGCCUCUUCCAAAAUUUCCUUCUUAAGUCCUUCAUCCUUUGGCACUACGAUCCGAUUCUGAAACCUCAAUACACCAUUUAAUCCCAAUUUAAAAUCUAACUUCUCUCCCUUUUUGACUUUUUCCAACCACUUUUGUACUUCACUGUCUUUUUCCCGAGUCUCUUUGAUGCGUUCUAACAAAGCAGAAUUCACUAUAAUAUUCCCAAGAAUUACUUUCCUCGGUUCAAGUCUAGGGUUCCAUAUACUAACCUCCUCCAACAGGUGCAUUUAUUUAAUCAUCAAUCCUGCCACUUGCACUUGACGACUUAAAGCAUCAGCCACUACAUUGGCCUUCCUGGAUAGUACUUUAUCAUGCAAUCAUAGUCUUCCAAAAAUUCCAUCCACCUACGUUGUCUCAAAUUUAGCUCCUUUUGAGAAAAUAAAUACUUAAGGCUCUUGUGGUCAGUAAAAACCUCAAACGUUAUUCCAUAAAGGUAAUGCCUCCAUUCUUUAAAGCAAACAGUACAACCGCUAAUUCCAAAUCAUGAGUUGGGUAAUUUCUUUCAUGCGAUUUUAACUUCCUAGAGGCAUACGCUAUCACUUUCUCAUUUUGCAUUAAUACACAUCUCAAGCCUUCCUUGGAAGCAUCUGUGUAGACCACAAAAUUAUCUUUUCCAUUCGGUAGAGCUAAUACGGGUGCCCUUGUCAAGCGUCUUUUCAACUCUUGAAAACUCUCUUCACACUUAGGACUCCAUAUAAACUUUCCACUCUUCUUGGUUAACUCAGUCAUGGGUCCAGCAAUUUUAGAAAAAUUCUUGAUAAAUCUCCGAUAAUACCCUGCCAACCCUAUAAAACUUCGAACUUCAGUAGGGUUUUCCGGUCGCUUCCAUUUAGAAACCGCUUCAACUUUGGCUGGAUCCACUUUAAUCCCAUCCUUAGAAAUUAUAUGACCCAAAAAUGUCACUUCUUUCAACCAAAAUUCACACUUGCUAAACUUAGCAUACAAUUGAUGUUCCCUCAGGGUUUGUAAAACAAUUCUCAAGUGCUUCUCGUGAUCCUCCGUGUGAGGACUUGUAAUAUCCCUUAUAUUUUUCUUAAAAUUCCCUUUAAUUUGGAAAUUAGUACCUUACAAUAGCUUUACUACACAUUCACUUCCCCAAUAGCUACAAAUAAUCAUAGAACCAAGGGUUUCCCUUUUACUUUCAUCGUUAAGAUAAACUAGGAUUUUUACGUCUUUUCGUAGUGUGAGUAAUCGGUAUGGAGUGUGUACUAAAUUUAGUGAUUAAGAGUGAAUUUUAAAUGAUAUUAAAUGUGUGAUUAAAAGUAAUAAUAAUAAGUUAGUGAAUUAUAAGUGAAAACCCUAGUACGUGCGAGUUAGGAAAAAACGGUGUGAACCGACGUGUAUCGUUCACUACCGAUUGAACACACCACUUGACCACCACUUUAUUAACUUAAUCUAAUUGUCAUUAGUGCCAAAAUAUCAGCCCUAAUUAUCCUAGUGAGAGAGCCGAAAUUCUUGACUAAAAAAAGAAAGGAAAAGAAAAAAAUUCAAGAUGAAAUCUUGUGGUGACAAGUGGAAGGCAUCCAACCAUCUUUGACCCAAACUAAGACCAAGCUUCUUAACCUUUCUUGGACUUCAUUCUUUCUUCAUUUUACAUCCAUGGUGGCCGAACUUCUGCUGCAAUAAUUCAUCUAAAAAACUUGUAUCUCCUCAAAUCUGGUAGGUUCCCAAAUGCCUAUGUUGAACACGUUGUACAAUUCACCAAUGUCUAUCCAACUUCGUAUCACCAAUAUAGAAGACUUGUUGGACUUGAUUUGGUAAAACAAAUGGAUCAUUUUGAUACCAACGUGAUCUAAUAUCGAUGGUCACAAAGUGCCUAUCAGUCUUUAUUGUGUUUGUGCUACCUGUGUUAUACUAUUCACAUUGAAGCAAGACACCUUAUAUGCAUGAAAAAGGUCAGCUCAACCACAGCCUUAACAAAGCCAUAAAAGUCAAUGUGUUUUCCUUUAUGGUCACCCUCAACAACUAAGCCACUAUUCUGUGUUGUACGGCAAUCAUCCCGAUCUCUUGUGUGGAAACGAACUUCAUUUACAAUGCACCCUGAGUAAUGCUUUGUCAUGAAAGGUAUAGGACCAUUUGCUAAUGCCCACAGCUCUUCAGAAACAUCAUGAUUUAUCAAAUGCAACUGAUUUAUCUAUAAAAUAGAAAACGAGUCUCUAUUAGUCAGUUUUCAAUAACUAAUAAACUCAUUUUUGUAAUGUUAUAACUUGCAUGAUCUUUGAACCACUUUUGAAUUGAUCUUCAUGUCUGCUGUCAACAUUUUCAGGAUGAAUCCUUUGCAGCAUCUCUUUAUGCUUACUGAAAUUGAGAUUGUAUUAUCAAUAUAAAGUAAAAUAAACCACAGAAGUAAUAUUUAAAAUAUAAAAUUGAAAUACAUAUUGCACUUACAUUCUGUACUCUUCUAUUUCAUCACAGUUAUUCAAUAUAAAUUUAUGAGCCACAUCUAGUUCAACUUGAGAUAAUUUAGUAGGAGGUUUAACAAGUCCAAAUGGGCGAACAUUUAGUGAGAAAACCACCAGCUUCUCUGCCUUGUCCUGAUUACAGUCAUAGUUGCGUCCCUUACGUGUGAAUUUUGUUUCAAUGCCAUGGAGAUAUUUGGACAUGAAUGUUAGGCACUCAUUUGCAAUAUAUCCUUCUGCAAUCGAGCCUUCAGGACGAGCACGACUGCGGACAUACUUUUUAAGGGAUCCAAGAUACCUUUUCAAAAGCAAGAGUUAAUUUUCUACCAAACAGAAUGUUACAUAAAUAACAAAAUUUUUAGUCAAACAAAUAAGGAAAAAGUACCUUUCAAAUGGAAACAUCCACCUAGGAUGUACUGGCCCACCAAGUUUUGCUUCCUUUGGCAAGUGAACAAUCAAAUGGAUCAUAAUGUCAAAGAAGGCAGGGGAAAGAUUUUUUCCAGCUUACAUAAUAUUAAUGGAGCAUUUUUCUCCAACCUUUCCAAGUCAUUCAUCUUAAGGGUUUUAGAACACAAAUCUCGAAAAACUACUUAACUCAAAAAUUGCCUCAUUGACUUCUUUGCACAAAUACGCACGAAUACCGCUGGAAUAAGUCGUUGCAAGAGGACAUGGUAGUCAUGUGUUUUAAGUCCCAUCAGUUUACCAUCUUUAACACACUUGGAAAUGUUUGCAACAUACCCAUCAGGAAACUUAAUUGAACUAAAAAAAACACAAAAUCCUUUUCUUUCACUUGAAGACAUCACAUACAAGGCUGGAGGCUUUGUUUUCCUUUUACCAUCAUCAUGUAAGUGUAGUUCAUGCCUUAUUCCCAUGUCAAGUAGAUCAUCACGAGCUUUAUUAGUAUCUUUUGUCUUGUCAGGAAUGUUCAACAAUGUUGCUACUAAACUUUCACAUGUAUUUUUAAGGAUAUGCAUCACAUCCAAACAAUGCCUCAUGGUGAGUUUUUCCCAAUACGGUAACUCAAAAAUAUACUUUUUUUCCUCCAAUUACUCUAAAUUUUAUCAACUCCUUUUUUCCAAGUAACUGGAUUCUUACCAAACUCACCAAAGAUACCAGCCAACCAAUUUAAAUGUCUUAAAACAUGUUCUCCGGAAAAUUCCUUUGGCUUGGAGCGUGUUUCAAUAGUUCCAUCAAAUUGAGCUUUUUGCUUUCGCCAAGGUGGUCAUGGUUCAAAAAACGACGAUGUCCCAUGAAACAUAUUUUGCCUCUUAGUCUUUGUGAAGCAGCAUCAUUAAGACAACAUGGACAUGCUUUAUACCCACUGGUGCUCCAUCCAGACAAAUAGCCAUAUGCAGGGAAAUUUGAUAUAGUCCAUAAAAUUGCUGCACGCAUUUGAAAGUUUUGUCCACUAUAUGCAUCAUAAGUGCUGAUCCAUGAAAUAAAUCUUUCAAAUCAUCUAUUACUGGCCUUAAGAACACAUCUAACUCCUUUCCAGGGGCACGUGGACCAGGAAUAAGAAGUGAUAACAUAAGAUAUUCCUUUCUCAUAAAUUUAUAUGCAGGCAAAUUGUAAGGUACAAGAAUAACUGGCCACAUGCUAUAUGAGUUGCUCAUGUUACCAAAUGGAUUGAAUCCGUCUGUGGCCAAUCCAAGUCUUACAUUUCGAGAAUCUUUAGCAAAAUCAGGAUAUUGCUUAUCAAAAUCCUUCCAAGCAGUAGAAUCAGCCGGAUGUCUCAUGAUACCUUCCUCUUUAACCCGUUUCUCCUCAUGCCAUCUCAUGUCUUCAGUAGUUUUAGAAGACAUAAAAAGUCUUUGCAGCCUAGCUUUUAAUGGAAAGUACCACAUCAUCUUUUGUGAAACUUUCUUUUUCUUGCCAUUAUUGACUUUCCAUCGUGAUUCUUUACAAACAGGACACUUGUCCAUCUUUUCAUUUUCUUUCCAAAAUAAUGAACAAUCAAAUUUGCAGACAUCAAUUUUUUGAUACCCCAAACCUAUACCAAUAGAAUUUUCAUGGCCCCAUAAAAACUGGAGGAAGUAUUUCUCCUUCUGGUAACACAUCUUUUAAAAAUUCCAGCAUCAUGUCAAAUGCCUUGUUAGUCACAUGGUUCAUCACUUUGAUAUGGAGAAAGGAAACAAUGAAACGCAGCAGGGAGUACUUUUUGCAUCCCGGGUAAAGUUCUCUUUGUGCAUCAUUUAACAAUUUGUCAAAAUUUUUUGAAUCACAUUCACUCGAUGUCCCUGAUUCAUGUGCAUUUCUUAUCUCAUCCAAUAAAUCAGGUAACUCAUGAGAUUCACCAUUUUCAUUCAUAUCAAAGUCAUUAUAUACAGCUUCAUUGAGGAAAUCUAUCUCACCUGCAACACCAUUCUCAUCAAGGUUAUUGUUCUUUCCACUUGACAUAUAAGAGUGUGCAGAAAAUGGUUCCCCAUGGAAGACCCAAUUUUUAUAAUACAUACAAAAGCCUUUUUCUGACAAAUCUGAUUCAACUUGAGAAAUGCUUUUUCUCUUUGAAUUCCUACAUCUCCUACAUGGACAAAAUAAUUUUCCAUCCAAUCCCAUACCAUUGGUCUUAGCAAAUUCAAUAAAAUCCUUAAGACCAGACUUAUAAUGACUUGACAAAAUAUUUGGAUAAUUUAUCUAGCUCUUAUCCAGUUCCGAUACCUAGAAUAAGAAAAGUCUUAACUUACUAAACUCAAGGCAUUGUCAAGAUGAACAACUCAAAAAGGAGGAAAGACAAUUUCUAGAUAUAAAAAGAUAAAGAAGGCAAAAAAACAUAGUAUUCACAAUGUACCUACUUUUUAUGGCUUAGUUAUGAAUUCCAAGCUACUUAGAUUAUUCAAUGAUUACACCAAAGGGUAUACUACUCAAUUAAACUGAAAACACAUUCCUAAUUGUACUAUUCUCCUAUUGUUUAAUUGUAUAUGUUGUUGUAUAGUAUAUAAGAAAGCAUUAAACAUCAUAACCCAUAACUUGAUUUACACAAAUAAGGAUGUAAACCAUAACAUAAUUUGCAAGAAACUAGCAGUCAUGAUAAACACUUUUCAUUCUUUAUGGUAAGCUACCAAAUAACCACGUACCUCAAAUUAUGCAAUCUUUUUUCUGGUUGUUCCAUUUCUUCUCUAUCAAGGUAGUGAGAAUGCAGGUCUGCUCUGCUGAAUAUGAAGAAAUGCGAAAUUAGAUAUUUUAAGAAAAUCAUCAUACAUAAUCAACAACAAUCAAAAAUCUUUUUUUGUAACAUAAAAAAUAACAAAAUUACCUUCCUAAAGCCUGAUUAGAAUUGUAACUAUCCCAUUGAUCUUCUAUUCGAACCAAUCCCUUUCUAGACAAAAAAAAAAAGAGGGAAAGAGAGGGCAAAACACAGAUCAACUUAUGGAGUAAAGAUUGGUAAUGUAUAUAACUAAAAUUGUGAAAAGAGCAAAAGAUGGUACAACUAUUAUUUUCACCCAAAAAUUUAAUAGUGGUAUAAUUUGUUGUAAGUCCCGUGUGGAGUAUGUUAAAAAUCAAUGUACAUUUUGUAAUAUUGAGCCAUGCAACUUUUUUCCAGACCAAUCAAGUCCAAUAACAGAUUAACAGUUCAGGAACCGUGGCUGCCCCAAAUUCUUGAUUGUCGUACAUGGCUGCGAGCCACCUUUAGACACUCGGUAUGAUGGAUAGGCUGUGAUAAAUAGUUUUUGCACUAUGAUAUCCUAAUGAAGAAGUCCUGCAAAAAACCAAACGAUCCUCGACAACUUUCCUCUUACAGCAAUAUAGGUCAUAUCCCAUUAGUUUAUUCCUUCAAGGAAUAGACAAUACUUUUCGCGAGAGUCUUACCAUAACUUUUGCAAAAUGCAUCGUUAAGGCUCUGAAUUUGUCAAAUUUCUGAAUUAAUGUAAGGUGCCUAUAAGUGAUUAGUGAGCUGGAAAGCAAGGAAAAAACCACACAAGAUUUAAUGGUCUAGACUACAGAGGAUCAUUGGCUUGUAUUACUAGAGCAUUUACUAGGCAAAUGAGAAGAACUAUGGCACAUCAACAUAAUGCCAAGAAUUGUGACAGUAGAAAUUUGUCCUUUAAACCCCGCCAUUCCACCUUUAAUCUGAAAAUGGAGAACAACAGAAUCUGAAGUCGCACAUCCAGUAUAGAUAAUCAUAGUAGCAACUAGCAUCGCUGUCAUAAUUCUCACAUCUCAACUCUGUUAGUAAGCUGGAUUCAAGCAAUGAGAUUUAGGCCGUGGUAAGUCGCUAACAGGCUCCAUUUUUUGUUGCAACAUUGGGAUUUCUCCACACCAAAUUAUCCUGGGCCAUCUUCAUUUUUUUCUAUAUUGGUGAUGCAUAGGAAAAAGUGUCAAUAGUGUUCGAAGACUAUCCUUGCAGUAAGUAGCAAGGAUGCAGCCACUGAGAACACAUUGCUGGUUUCCCAUAGCCAGUCUUAAAAUUUCUUUCAGUGUUCCAUGCUGACCUGAAAUUUAUCUAUUAUCUUCACCCAAAACAAAAUACAACUACCUCAUAUAAAAGCCACUCAAAUGUAGUUCAAACAAAGUAGACAUACGUAUAAAAAGAUUAGACAACAGUACACCCAUUUUGACUAAGCAAGUCGAAAUUUCCUCUUUUUUGGCCGUGAAAUCCAAACAACAUUACCACACUUCUAAUCCAAUAACCAAUAUUUGCACCAGGACAUAUAACCCAAGGAAAUAUUUAGAAACUUAAUUGUAAUUUAAGUACAUAUUCUUAAUCUACAGCUGCAUUGUAUAAAAAAUAAUGCCAUUUCAUGAAAUAUCGAUCUUUCAUCAAAAAGGUAAGCUAAAAAUUGUAACUUUUCUAUUAAAUAGCGAAGUAACAAAACUGAAAAAUUGAGCUGACUGCAAAUUCAUAGUCAGACCUGAAAAAUUGAAUUGACUCACCAGUCAGAGCCGACUGCCAAUUCCACAAUUGUACUUUUAGUACCUUGAGCAGAGCUGAAAAAUUGAUAACUUGGAAAUAGGAGGAGCAACCAAAACAGGAUACCAACCGGGUCAAUUUUCAAAGGAUCUCUGUCGAGCAAGCGAGCAUCAGCAGGAAUGAUAUCAACAAGUUUUAUACUGAUUAUAUCCCCGGGCACAAGAAUUGAAACAUCUUCCUACGUUUUGACGAACAGAGAAAGGGAGAGAUGAAUAAAAUACCCACUGUAAAAAUAAAAAAGGAACCAAUUAAGGACAAAAUUGAAGGGUGAUUUGGAGAAAAGGAACUGAUUCAAGACAAAAUUGAAGGAUUAUUUGAUUUUUACAUCACCUUAGACAAUCGUGUUGUCUCUCUUGUUGAAAGAGAUGAAGACAAUUUCAGAGUUCGUUGUUGUUCUUUGUUGUUGGAGAUAUGAAGACAAGUUACAGAUUUGGAGAAAGUGUUUCUUUGUCGUUGUUGUUCCAAAAGUAAGAGAUAUGGGAAAAGUGUCUCUUUGUUUCCGGUUUCUAUGUCAUAAGUCUGAUGUCCUUCUAAAUUCUUUUUUGGUCCAAAACGGGGGAAAAAACUGGUGGGAAAAAAAUGGAGGGAGAAUGAAAGCUUUUUCUGACGAAUUGAUGUGAGGAAAGUAACUUUAGACAAUGAAAUAAAUAGAAAAACAUGUUUGCCUUUUGAAGGACAUUUGCCUGAUGGGUUGUCAUAAAAAGUAUUGUUUUUGUAAUGAAUAGGUUGGUUGUCAUGAAAAAUUUGUCACGAAAGAAAUAAUUUUUUGUAGUGACUUUUGAUUGAUUUGUAACAAAUUUCUUGAGUGAAAGGAAUAGUUCCUUCCUCUACGAAUUCCUCUACCAUCUUUACAUUUCUUCCUCUCCACCUUUAUUUACAUCUUCAUUUCUGUCCCCUCAAGUUGAAUCCCGAUACUUCUGCCAAGAAGCCAUUGGGAACAGCUUGGUUGGUGACAAUUGGGAUCAGAGCAAGUUGAUCCUGCGGCAAUGGUAGAAACUAGAAGUAAAACUUUAGAAGAGACAUCAAGAGAUUGGAUAGAGAAGUCACAGAUCUGGGAGCAGCGGUUAAGAACUUGGAGGGUCAGUAGGUGAUUUGCAUGCUAAGUAUGACAGUCUGAUGAGCAUGAUGGCUCAACUGUCACAGGACUUUAAGAAUUUCGCCAUGGAAAAACAACCCUUGGGAAACUCUCAAAGGCUUGGGAACGGUCAAGGCUCUUAGUCACAAGGAUCUGGAGUGAAUUUGGGGGGAAAUUCGAGCGGAAGUUUAAAUGGAAGCCCAGGAGGAAGCUUGAAUAGGAGUGAUGGAUGGAGUGGACAAAGACUGCCCAAGAUCGAUUUUCCAAGCUUUGAAGGCGAAAGACCCUGGGAAUGGGUGAGGAAGGCUUAGAAAUACUUCCACAUUCAUCAGAUCCCAAAGGACCAAAAGGUCCCUAUCGCUGAAAUGUACUUGAAGGGGAGAGCGGAUAUAUGGUUCCACGGAUUUCAAGUAGGGAGGAACGACCUUCCAUGGGGGGAGUUAGCCACUAAAAUUUGUAGAAGAUUUGGAGAAGGAACCCCAGGGGAUGUUGUGGAAGAAUUUAUGUGGAAAGGUUUGAAGAGCUCAAAGCCUUGGUACUGGCUUCUCUCCUUACAUGUCUGAAUCAUAUUAUGUUGCUAAUUUCACUAGUGGAUUAAAAGCGGAAAUUAAGUCCAUGGUGAAGAUGCUAAAACCAAAUACCUUGACCUCGGCCAUAGAAAUUGCAACCCAACAAGAAAUCACUAUCACUGCCAUUAACCGAUACUCCAAACCAAUGACCAAGCCAUCUUCCAGUACACUUCCUACCCAGAAAAACACAACUCACUCAACCUCAAACUCCAACAAAUGGAACUCGUUCCCUUCUUCUUCUGUUUCUUCAAAAACUCCAGAACUACCAAAAAGCCAACCAGCCAAUCCUAACUACAAAAAAAAAACCAAUUCAAUUCCAAAAAAUUUGCCAAAGGACUUUCAGACUAAGAGGGAGCUUGGGCUGUGCUACAAAUGCGAUGAGAAAUAUACCCUAGUCAUGUUUGCCAAUUUGGACAUAUUAAUUUCAUCUUAGCUGAUGAAUCUUACUCUGAAGAGUACUUGAUACAAGAUGUAGAGAAGGAAGGUCUAGAUGACCAGGGUCAACUGUUGGAGAAUGAUGAACAAAUCAAAAUUUCCUUGAAUGCUUGUCUGGUAAUGUGAGCUUCAAAACUAUUAGGAUCAAGGGUUUUAUUAAGAAUAGGGAAGUAUCUAUGCUCAUCGAUAGUGGUAGCACUCACAGUUUCAUUGAUGAAGGACUUGCAAAGCAAUUACAGUGCAAACUGAUGCCUACUAACCCCUGGGAGUAACUGUGGCUGAUGGCACAAAGCUAUAUAGUAGGUUCAUUUGUAGCCCUUUGAUUUGGAGAAUGGACGGAUUGGAGUUCCAGCACUAGUGAGGAUAUUGAAGCUAGGGGGAAGUGAUAUGGUGAUUGGAGUAGACUAGUUAAAGAAAUAUAGCCCAGUAGUUUUUGACUUCAACUCACUAUUCAUUCAGUUCAACAGGAAUGGUCAGAUAGUAACGCUAAGUAGUGGUAGUUGUGAUGGGGAAGUGAGCUUGUUGAAAGGUAGAAGGUAAAACAGUGGUUCAGGAAUCACACUUAUGGGGUUUUGUGGUGUAUAUGUGUGACUUCAGAGAGUCAACCACGGGAAGAGGAACCAGUCCCUAAUGAAGUUGUUGAAUUGCUAGCUGAAUUGGAAGAUGUCUUUGCAGAACCUAAGGGUCUACCCCACCAAGAUCCCAUGACCAUCAGAUCAUUCUCAAAGAGGGUGCUCAACCGUUCAAGUUGAGACCAUAUAGGAUCCCUUACAUUCAGAAAGCAGAAGUUGAGAGACUAGUUAAGGAAAUGUUGGAAAAUGGGAUUACGACAUCAAAGGAAGCUUUUGAACUACUCAAACUAGCUAUGAGUUCAACUCCUGUGCUAGCACUUCCAGAUUUCACCAAGCCAUUUGUGGUGGAAAUAGAUGCUUGUUAUGGGGUUAUUGGGGCAGUUCUAAUGCAGAAAAGAAGACCACUGGCUUAUCUAAGCAAAGCUCUAGGACUAAGGCACCUAGGCAUGUCCAUAUAUGAGAAAGAAUUACUAGCUGUGGUAACUGCUAUUAACAAAUGGAAGCAUUAUCUAGAGGGCCAUCACUUUGUCCUAAAAACUGAUCACUAGAGUUUGAAGUUCUUAUUGGAGCAACGGAUCACUACUCCCUUGCAGCAAAAAUGGCUUACUAAAUUGCUUGGGUUGAGUUACGAGAUACAGUUUAAGAAGGGAGCUGAGAAUGUAGUGGCUGACGCAUUGUCUAGGAGAGGGGUGGAUCAAACGGAAUGUGUAGCAUUAACCACCGCAACACCAGCUUGGUUGUAAGAAGUUAUUGAUAGCUACAGCGAGGAUGCAGAUGUACAAGCUAAAAUUCAAAGCUUAUUGUUGGCACCUGCUGAGAACUCUGAGUAUAGCUACUAAAAUGGUAUAUUGAAGUAUAAUGGAAAAAUCUAUAUUAGAGGAGGAGGAGACUGUCGCGCCCUAUUUUUAAUGAAAAAUAAAUAAAUUUACAAGUUAUCAAACUGAAUUUUUUGAGGGAAAAAUGAGUUUUUGAUUUUUAGAAAAUAAAUAAAGAAAACGAGCCUUAAUGGGACUUUAAAAUGCGACGAUUUUGGCCCAAAUUAAUAGUUUAAAAAGGGUUUUUAAGGAAAAAAUAGGAGUUGCCACUUGGUAUUGAGUGAAGGUGUACCAAGUCACCUAAAAUAAAUUUUUAAAGAAAAAGUAGAGAAAACUCUUUUUAAACGAUUCCAAAUCUGCAAAAAUCAAGAGAAAAGGGGUCGGGAGUCACAUUUGAAGAAAGGGAAGGCAAGGAUAAAAUCCAAGGCACCCUUUCAACCUAGCCAAGACUGUGCUGCGUGAUUUAGUAAAAAUUUUCUUAAUUUAACCUAAAAACUUAUCACAUUUGGAUGUUUACUAUAUGAAUGCAAAACCUAAAUCUAGGAGGAUAUUGGGGGUCAAACUAUCUCUUCAAACUUAAUUGGUGCAAAUCACAUUAAUUGUGAUGUCCAAGCUGACUCUUUGAAGAAGUCACGAAUAUGCAAAAAUAUGAGACUCGAAGGAAAGAAAAGAAAAUAAUAAUUAUACAAAUAUACAUGAUCUAAAGGAAUGCAUCAUAAUGGGUGUGGGGGGCUAAAAUUCGUGACUUUAAUUUUCCCUUUAAUAGAGGGAAUACGAGUGUGUUAAGGCUAGAGAGCCAUACUCGUCUAUAUCCCAUAUUCGAGGGGUAUUUCUCUUAUCUAAUCAAGCAAAUGAUCUAACCUAAUUUGAAUUUUCUUAAAUGGAAUGCAAGUCUACAUGUCAUGUUUCACACAUAGUGGUUUGUAAUAUACAUAUAGGGGAAAUAUGGGAUAACGGAUAUAAUAUAGUGGGAAUAUGGGAUAAGGGAUACACAUAUAGGGGGAAUAUGGGAUAAGAGUUAAACAUAUAAGGGAAAUGUCAUGCAAAAAUGAAAAACCCUAAAAAGUAGAAAAUAUGCAUGAAAAUGUAGUGAUUGUCACAUAAACAUGAUUGAGCGCGUGAAUGGUCCCUAAGGGUCUAGUAUUAGACUAACUCAUGUUUAUAAGUUCUCACUAGCAUUGAACUAGUGAAAAAUCGAAAAAAAUGGGCCAUAACUAGCAUUGGACUAGUGUGGAAUCGGAAAAAAGGACCACAACUAGCGUUAGACUAGUGUGGUGACGUCAUGCAUUUAUCAUAAUCAAAUAAAAUAUAUAAAAUAUAAUAAAGCAAAUAAACACAUAAAUCACAUAUAGCACAUAGCACAUAAACAUGAUAUCUAAAUGCAAAGGUCCUAGAAAAAGCGAGUAAACACGUAAGCGCACAUAAGCAUGCAAACACAUAAAGCAAAUAAGAGCAAAUGGAGACCUAACUAUUAUAUUUGGGAACCCUAAUUACAAUCUAAAAGGGUAAAGAAUAAAAUAAAAUAAUAAUCUAACUCUUACAAUUUUGGCAUUUAAUUGCCUUCCAAAUAAUUAAAAAUUUAAUUAAAAUAAAUACACAAAAUUAAAACCAAUAAAGUGAAUAAAUAAAUAAAUAAAAUAAACAUUCAAAAAAAAUGCAAUUACACACAUAAAAUUACAUAGAAGCACAUAGGAUCAAGUAAAAUCAAUAUAAAGGAGUAGGGUGUACCUCCCUUGAUUGGUGAUCUAAUGAAACAAAAUUUCCCUUUCUACCCUCCAAUCACAAAAGAAUGAUUAAGGUACCACUUUAAUUAACAAAUAAUCAUAAGAGAUGAAAAUAAUCAUGAAAUUGAACAAUUAAAACAUUUAAAUGAAAGUAAACAACCCAUAUUCAAGAAAUUAAAACAAGUAGGGACCUAAUUGAAAUAAUUUAGAAGUUUGAGAGGUUAAUUUAUUAUUAUUACAAAUAUUAAGGGGCGAAUUUAAAAAAAUCAUUUAAGGAUUUAAGAUGAAAUCUACAAAACCAAAUGCUAAAAUUCACAAAAAUAAAUCAAACCCUCUCACCAAACCCAAACAAAAAAUAUUACCAAAUCUAAACCAUUUUUACAAAAAUCCAAAUCAAAAACUAUAAAUCUAUCAAAAAUUUGUUAAACCUUCAAAUUUCAACCUAAAACUCACAAUAAUCUAUCUAAAAAUCACAUUAAAACAUACCAAAGAAAAUUAACAUUUUGAAAGGACAAAAUUGAUUAUAUUUUUCCAAUUUUUGGGCCAACGUAGCAUGAUAUCAAAAUAUAGGGGUUAAGUUAUAAUUUUGAAAAUUUUUCAUGCAAAGGGUUGAAGUUUCCUUCUUCAUUUCAUCUUCUGUAACUUUGCCCGGUUCAUUCACGAACGAUUUCCCAUAAAUUUCUAGAUUUUAGUGCAAUCUUCUCUUUGAAAACAUGAUAAAGUCUCAACUAGCACUAGAAUUUGGAUCUGAUGCAUCAAAAUCACAGAUACUCAACAUACAAACGUGCAAAUCUUUUGCCAGAAAAGAAAAUUCUGCAAUCUUCUAGGUUUCAGUCCAGCAAACACAUGAAGCAAAUCAUCACACCAACAAGAUCAUGUACUUCAUGCAUUUUAUUUCCAUACUCCAACACAUCAAAGAUUCAUCAACCAAACAAAGAAUAUUCAGCAAGAAAAUUUUCUAAACAACAUGAUAGAGAGACGGGACAAGCUCAUCAAACUGAAAACAAACAUUCCAAAGUUUCAUGUUCAUUUGAUCCGAAUUUCCAUGAAAGUUGUGUAAAAAACUGAUAAGAGGAAAGGCAAAAGUUACCUGAGAACGCUGGAACUGUUAAACGCACGUGAAAUGCAGAAGAAACCGAGCUGUUCUGGAAAAACGUAACUCAGGAACUUGCAUGACAGAAGAUUUCAGCGCUGACAAAGUUGUUACUUUGAGCCUCGAUUCUACUAUCUUAGAGUUGUUUUUUCCUGAAAAUUUGCGAACAAGAUUUCUUCUAUGGUCUCCAAGAGUGCGCAGAAACCAAAGAUCCUACAAAAAACUAUAAUCAAAGAAGAAUCUAGCCCAAAACAAGCUAAUUCGUCAGCCUGGUUAAGAUUUUCACAGAAAAUUUUUUGGUACUUUUCCUGAAUUUCUCCUCUCUUUUCUUUCUGUUUUUCUUUCCCUUUGAUCUCUCCGCCACCCCCUUUCACUUUUCAGACUCUCUCCUUCCUUUUCUGGUUUCUCUUCUCCUUUUCUCUCUUCUUUCUUUUCUCCGGUUUCCUCUUCUCCUUCCCCCGCAAAAAACCCUUUUUUUCUGUUUCUUUUUCUUGCCUGCCAGCUCUUUUCCCUCUCCCCAAAAUCUCUUCUCUUGCUCUCAGCUCCCUUUUUUAUUCAUCCCUUCCCCUCCUCUUGCUCGCAGCUCCACUCCUUUCUUUCUCCUUUUCUUGUUCUAUUCCUUGCAGAAACCCUUAGUUUCUUCUUUUUUUCCUCACUGUCCGAAGUCCUCAGCUCCCUCUUGGUUCCAGAUUUUUCUCCCGCCCCCAGUUCUUCUCUCUCUCUCAGUUCCUUUCUCCCCUUGUCCCCGUAGCUUUCUUUCAUUUUUUUCUCCCUUUUUCUUUCAUUCUUUUUUCCAGAUUUUUCAAGAUCCACCUAUCCUAGCCACCUCUCCCUUUCCAUGUUGUGGUGUCACAAAAUAAGGACACUUGUCUAACCCUUACCUAUUCCAUUUAGUUAGUUUACAUGGCCUCCACCUAUCUAUUAUGCAUGUGUUUUACAUAUUUUUCCUUUUUAAUUUUUGUUUUUCAAAACAAAUUUAGAAUAAAUAACAAAUGUUACAUUCCUUUUUUUAAUUUUUUACCUUGCAAAAUUCAUUUUAUAUUUAUUUUGAAAAAAAUUUAAAAGAUAAAAAGAUUGAAAUUUUAUAAGAAUUUUUUUUUUUCCGAAAUUUAAUGCAAAAAUGUUUUAAAAGAAAAACGAUGAACUUAAUUUACUCAAAUAAAUUAAAUAAAAAGACCUAACUAUCAUCUUGGCAAACUUAGUCAACUAAAAUAAAAUUAAAAUAAAAACAAGAAUAAUAAUAAAAAAUAAAGCUAAUAAUUGAAUUAAAUAAAAUUGAAAUUUUGGUGUCUACAUCUUACCCCUCUUUGUCGGAGUUUCGAAGAGACUCGAGACAAAGACGUAGACAUUAAAUACUUACCUGUAACUAUUCUGCCGCGAACUGAAACCUGUAAAUAUAAAAAGGUCUGUGAGAUAAAAUCCGAUCCUACCAUAGCAUCGGUCAGUGGGAUAAAACCCAAUCCUGUCGAGAUUGGUGGGAUAAAAUCCAAAUCCAACGAGAUAUAAACGGUUAGUGGAUAAAAUCCAAUCCUGUCGAGAUUGGUGGGAUAAAAUCCCAACCCAACGAGAUAUAAACGUCAGUGGGAUAAACCCAAUCCUGUUGAGAUUCGUGAGAUAAAACCAAAUCCACGUGAUAUAAACAGUUAGUGAGAUAAAACCCAAUCCUAUCAAAAUUGGUAGGAUAAAAUCUAAACCAACGAGAUAUAAACGGUCAGUGGAACAAAUCCAAUCCUGCCGAGAUUGGUGGGAUAAAACCCAAACCCAACGAGAUAUAAACGGUCAGUGGGAUAAAAUCCAAUCCUACCGAGAUUGGUAGGAUAAAAUCCAAACCCAACAAGAUAUAACGGUCAGUGGGAUAAAACCCAAUCCUGCCGAAGUUGGUUGCAACGAGAUAUAAACGGUCAGUGGGAUAAAAAUUUAAUCCUGCCGAGAAUUGGUGGGAUAAAAUCCAAAUCCAAUGAGAUAUAAACGGUCAGUGGGAUAUAAUCCAAUCCUACCGAGGUUGAUUAGAUAAACCCAAACCUACCAUAACACACCAACUGGAAAUUAAAUUGCCAAAAAGGAGACAGAAGGGUGCGCAGCGGACCUUGAGAUUCAUCAACAGGAAAUUAAUUGCCAAGAAGGGAGGUAGAAGGGUACGUGGCAGACGCUGAGAGAAUCUUUUCAAAACAUUUUGCCCAGUUUCAACCAAUUAUUGUGCAACCGAUCAUUUCGUUUUGCAUUAUGGUAUUGUUGCUCCUCCUUAAGACUUUGAUUCACACAUUUUUUCUCUGUCUGAAUCAUAAAUAUCAAUUUUUGGGCGACAUUUCACAAUUAUAUAUAAAAAAUUUACCCCAAUUUUGUUAUUUGAAAACACAUAUGGACCUGCAAGAGAAAGAACAAAUAAUGCCACCACCAUUCGACCCGUCUAACUUUCAAGAAACGUGUAAAAAUGAGUAUUUUGAUGUUUUCCCUUCGAUGCUCGCAAAACCCAAUUUUGUACCGCAAACCCAUCUAAGCUGCCUUAGAUUCCAAUGCUAACUCAACAUGAAAAUUUAUACAUAUGCAUUUUGAUAAAACCGUGGAAAUUGUUAUUUGAUAAAAUUCAACGAGACAAAUGAAACAUGUAACACCUAAAAAUUUUCUUUUAGAUAAAAUCAUAAAAGUCAAUGCAAUGCCAAAAUAACCAUCAACUUGUAUUGAAGGAAAAUAAUUUUAGAGAGAUGAAUCACAAACUCAACAAUCUAUGUUUGAUGACUAAAAUACUUUGGCCUCUAACAAAUUGUCCCGUUUGAUCCUUUGGAUAUCGUCCAUUGGGAAUUCAAUGCUGACAAAAAAUUACAAUGUGAAGAGGAAUCCAAACAAAUUGAGUCGCCAGUUAUUACCUUCCAAGCUCACCCUUCCUCAUAAAACCCUACUUAGCACCCUUUCGGGCUUUCACUAAAGUUAACCCCCCUUCUAUUUUCUUUUUCUUCAUUUUCAUUUUCUCUUCCCUUUUCUUCUUUUUCUUUUUCUUCUCUUUUUUUCUUUUCUUCUUUUUUUCUCUUUUUUUUUCUUUUGUUUUUUGAAAAGCGCCCUUUCUGGUUUUUCACCUAAUGAAACAAAUCUUGUUGAUUGCCUUUAUCAACUCAGAAAUGUAAUUUUUAAAGAUGAUGGCAUCAGUACGACAAUCCUUCCCUUAUAAAAUUGGUGAAGGUGUUUGAUAUCAUUUUGCCAUUUGAUUAGAAAAUUUCCUAAAAAAGGUGAUACAAAGAACGGAAGUCAGAACUUUCAAUUUUUCGUGAUGUGGUCAGGUGAGGUGCUGAGAAAAGGUUAAGACUUGAAGGCAGAUUUUAUAAGUGUUUAAAUCACCUGAGAUCGCAUUUUCAUAUAACCCUACUAAAGAUUAAACUAAAAUUACCCUAGUUUAUUUUCAACCGAAAUUCUUUUUUUAAUUUCUUUUCCUUUGUUUCUCUAUCACUUUUCACCUCUUGAAACUUUUUUUUUUUUCUUUUUCAACUCAAACUUGCCCUAGUGUGGGUUUGCGAUCCUCAUGGGUUGCCAAACGAAAUAAUUUAUUCUGAAGGUUCAAAAGGGAUAACUCGGGAUAGAAUAUUUAAUUGGAAAUGAAGAAAGUUUGACUUUCAUUCCAUUCUUCACAUUAACCCUAAAAGGAAAUUUUCAUUUAUUAGAUGAAAAAUUUCUUACACAUAACCGAAUUGAUCGGUUGAGAAAAACUUGUCCAUCCAUUUCUGCCUCCUCCAGACAAUACCUUCUUGACAAUAAAAGGACCCUGCCAACUUGGGACAAAACUUGCCUUUGGUCUCCUCUUACACUAGCAAAAUUCGUUUCAACACUUUGUCUCCUUCUUUGAAUAGUCAUGAUUUGAUCCUUUUACGGUAAGUACGGGUCAAUCCUUUUGAUAAUAUUGACCAUGACAAAUUGCAUUUAACUCUUUCUUAUCAAGUGAUCACUGAUUUCUAUUUCCUUAAUCUUGAUCCUGAUUCGGUUUGAGUUUCUCUUUCUACCAUUCGGGUCUCUUUGAAACAUUUUCAGAUGUCUCUUCGCACUCCUCUCAUUUUGAAAUCCAAAUUUACAUUCGCGAGAUAUCGAGAUUGCUGCCAUCAAAUUUCAGAACAGUGAUAGUGUGAGGACUUGUAAACUUCCUUAUAUUUUUCUUAAAAUUUCCUUUAAAUUGGAAUUUAUUACUUUACAAUAAUUUUACUACACAUUCACUUCCCCAAUAGCUAUAAAUAAUCAUAGAAACAAGGGUUUCCUUUUUACUUUCAUUGUUACGAUAAAUUAGGAUUUUUACGUCUUUUCGUAGUAUGAGUAAUCGGUAUGGUGUGUGUAUUAAAUUUAGCGAUUAAGAGUGAGUUUUAGAUGAUAUUAAAUGUGUGAUUAGAAGUGCUAACACUAAGUGAGUGAAUCAUACAUUAAAACACUAGUAUACGCGAUUUAAGGAAAAACAGUUGGAACUGGGUACCGUUCUCUACUGAUGGAAUACACCACUUGACCAUCACUUUAUUACCUUAAUCCCCUUGUUUUUUACUUGACUAAUCAGCCCUAAAUUACCCCUUAAUCCAGCCAUCUUUGUUGAAUAAGGAAAAGGAAAGAAAAGAAAAAAAAAUGAGAUUGAAUCCUAAGGUGACAAGUGGCAACCAUCCAAUGGUUGUUUGACCAAUUAAUUUCCUAUCAUCUUAUAACCAAAUUAACCUCAUUUCUUCACCAUUUCUAGCUUGUUGGACGAAAUUUUGAGGGGAGAAAAACAAGAGAGAAAACUCCAACUUUCACCUUGAAUCCAUUGUUUGAGUGAAAAAUCAAUAAAUUAAACCGAUUAAUCCUUUCUUUGAGCACUUGGGAAGCUUGGUGUGCUAAAACUUUACAAGGAGGGUGGUGGAUAUCUCUUACAAGCAUCUUAGUGAGGUAUAUUGGCUAUCCAUCAUCUUUACUUCCCUUAAUCUUGCUUAAGUUGCUACACAACUCAUAUUCUUGGUUAAUUGAUAGCUAUGCAAGUAGUGUUGAUGAUUAUGGAGAAUUGUAAGUUAGGGUUUUGACUUGUUCAGCUAUAUUUCUUCUUGUUUAGAUAUAAUAUGAUGUGAAUAAGCUUAGAUAAGGAGGUGAAGUAGUGUUUCAAGCUAGAAUUGUGAGGAUUAGCACUUGAAUGCAUGAAUUCCAGUUUUUCGGUUUUGUAUUACCCUGUUCUGACCAUGAUCAGUCGGCCAUGAAGGAGGCCGAAUCAGCCUUAGGUUAAAACAUGAAAGUUGUAGUAAAUGAUGUUUUAUAACUUCCUGUAAAAUUUCAGCUCAAUCCAAGCACUCUAGCAUGUGAAAUGACAAAAUUACCCUUGCUGCCAUAGGUAUAGUUUUUGUGGACAGUUUUGACAUUUCCCCAUUUUGGCUGCAUUUUUUCAACUUGAUCCGUAUCAAAUUAGCAUUUGACCAAAAAAUAAAACUUGUAGCCUUAUGUUUCAGCUUUCUAACGCAAUGAAAACACCUCAAACGGAAUUGUGUAGCCUGAGUUAUUGUCAGAUACAUGCAAGAAAUUUCACAUUAAUGAAAGUUUCCUUUUAGGGUCGAUGUGAGGAAUGGAACGAAAGUCAGGCCGUCUUCCUUUCCAAUCAAACAUUUUAUCCCUAGUUAUCCCUUUUGAACCUUCAGAAUAAACUAUUUCGUUUGGCAACCCCUGAGAAUCGCAAACUCCACAUUGGGUAAAUUGAGUUUUUUUAAAAAAAAAGGGAAAAGAAAAUCCCAAACUGGGGCAAAUUUAAUUUUGAAGGAGGGCCAAAAUCAAAAGAAGAAAAAGAAAAGAGAACCUCGGUUGAGCAUAAACUGGGGCAAAUUUUCAAAGAAUGGCAGAAGGCCGAAAAAGAGAACGAAAUGAAAAAGAAAAAGCCUCAAUGGAGAAUGAACUUGGGCAAGUUUUGAUUUAACCCUAAGAUAGGGUUGGCGCAACAAUGCGAUCUCAGAUUACUUAAACCACUCUUGAAAUCUGCCUUCAAGCCUUAACUUUUCUAAACACCCCACCAGACCCCCAUUACAAAAGCCGAAAGUCCUGACUUCUGUUCUUUGCAAUGGCCCUGUCAAGAAAAUUUCUGAUGCCAGAAAAUUUUAGCUGUAUUUCUGAAUUGCUUGGGUAUGGGGUUGACAAUACUCACCAUGUGAAAACCCACCAGGACGAGAAAAGGAAAAGAAGCAAAAAGCAAAGCAAGAAAAAUAAAUGCAAGAAAAAUGCAAAAAAACUCGACGCUGAAGUCCCUGGUGAAUGCUGAGAAAAAUGCAAACAAAGUCCGAGAUCUUUGAGUACGAAGUGAGAGCAAUUUUGAGAAAAAUGCGAUCUUCGGUAAAAUACCCUCGAAUUUUUUUUUCUUUAACUAUCAUUUUCCAGCCGCAUUACAAGCUCAUAAAGUCCAUCGCUGACUUAUCCCUCAUGACAACUCAAAGCAAGGGUUACGCUCCUGAUCAUAAGGUUAUAACCUGUUUCCGCAUGUUUUGGUAUCGUUUCUACCCCUCUGUUACAAGCUUACAAAGCUUAUGUGUUGACUAAGUUUUCUUAAGAAAUAAGGGUGACAAACUAUUUGCUUUCACUAAGAUGUGAUAUCGAAUGGGCACAAAAAUAAGACAAAAUCUUGACCUCCCAUUUCCUUUAGCCACUUUCAAAUCAGAAAUAACGUCCACUUGAUUGGUCCUGAAAGAUGAGCCAGCAAUAAGUGGUGACCUGUUACCCUAAGCACCGAUGCUAAAAGUGAAGAAGAAAUCUUCUUGAAUUUGGUGUUACACUGAAGGAUUCAUCAUGAAAUUUCUGCAUGAGUUUAAAUUUCUUCACAUUGUAUAUAUGAUUAUUUUCUACAUUUUAGAAAAGUGCAAUUUCUCCUUGUUCAAAUAAAUGGGAAUCAUCUGAACAAAUUUUUGCAAUCAAAUGGGCCCACUGGGGCAAAUUUUUAUUUGUGAGAUUUCGCGAAAUAAGCCCACACAAGGGCAAAUUUUUGUAACACAUUUGAGGAUUUCGCCCAAGAGUCAAGUAAUAUACUUUUGAUUUCAAUAACACUGCUUUUUUUUAAUGAGGAAUAGUUGCAUGUUAUACUUUGGUAAGCCCCCUGCGCAGGUGUUUAUAACUGAAAAUUGAUGAAGAAGCGUGAGAGUGCUACUUAUGAACUUCACCCCUGGCACAAAGAAGUGUCACAAGAUUCCCAAGGUCUUCAAAAUAUUAGUAUGGUGGAGAUUAGGUGGGCUAAAGCAGCAAAUUGACUUGUUGACAAGGUCGAAGAUGAUGUGAGAUUGAUGAUGGAUCACUAGUGUUUAACACCAAAAGAAGGCUUGUCUUGACAAUACAGCUUAUGCAAAAAAUUACUUCGCCUUCCACCAGUAGCAAUACUAUCUGUGGAUGCUAAUUUAGGAUAUGAGAGUGUGGGUUACUCAGAUUAGCACUAGGUGAUAACAUCACGAAGCAUUAAAGAUCAGCUUCUGUUGAAAGUCAUGGAUGAUUUCACAGCAAGAGCAAGAAAGUUUGGAGAUGAAUUUUUGCGGCUGGACAAAAGAGUAUUAGUUUUGGACUUGGUAAUGGAAUGUCAAAAUCUAGAGAAGUUUUCAGUGAUCAUUCGUUUUGCUAAAUUCCAUGAUCAAAGGCAUUUGGAUCUGUUCAUCCCUUGAAAAGUACGAUGAAACAACGAACAGUUGACCAUCUUGAUUCCAGACAGAGAGGUUUACCUCAAUGGAAUGUUAGAAAUCGAAAGUCUCAACGUGGCUUGAUGUCAAAACAGCUUGCCGAACAAAAAUGGACAUCACGGAUGAUAAGAUUUGGAAAGGUCACAUGAAGACUCAUGAUUGCACGAUUUUCGAAGGAAAGUUUCAAGUGAAAAUGGCAACACAUCACACUGGGCAAAUUUUUGGAUAAUUUUCCAAGCUUCACAAUAUGGAAAAAUGCAUACCUGAAAAAUUUCAUGCAUGAAUGAAAAAAAAAUCAGACCUUGCGCUGGAAUCGGUAUCAAAAGAGUUCUCCAGUGAACAAAGGCGAAUCGAAAAUGUUGCAAGCAAGUUUGAUCAAAAGGUACAACAACAUGGCAAUGCAGAAUCAACUAUAGGCUCAGAUGCAAAAACUUAACCUCUACUGGGGCAAAACUUUGAGCUCUUUUUCAGGUAAGUAUAUUGGAAUGUCAUGAUUUAAAGUUUGUUCGGGUCAGUCCCAUGAUUUAAUUUUGUUCGGGUCAGUCCCAUGAUUUAAAUUUUGUUCGGGCCAGUCCCAUGAUUUUAAAGUUUGUUCGAAUCAGUCCCAUGAUUUAAAUUUUUGUUCAGGUCAGUCCCAUGAUUUUUAAAUUUGUUCGGGUCAGUCCCAUGAUUUAAAGGUUUGUUCGGGUCAGUCCCAUGAUUUAAAUUUUGUUCGGGUCAGUCCCAUGAUUUUAAAUUUUGUUCGGGUCAGUCCCAUGAUUUAAUUUUGUUCGGGUCAGUCCCAUGAUUUAAAUUUUGUUCGGGUCAGUCCCAUGAUUUUAAAUUUUGUUCGGGUCAGUCCCAUGAUUUAAAAGUUUGUUCGGGUCAGUCCCAUGAUUUAAAUUUUUGUUCAGGUCAGUCCCAUGAUUUAAAGUUUGUUCGGGUCAGUCCCAUGAUUUAAGAUUUUGUUCGGGUCAGUCCCAUGAUUAAAAGUUUUUUCGGGUCAGUCCUAUGAUUUUUAAUUUUAUUCGAGUCAGUCCUGUUUUUAGUUACCUGUUCGGGUCAAUCCCGUUUAAAUUUCCAGUUCGGGUCAGUCCCGUUUAAAUUUUCUAUUCAUGUCAAUCCCGUUUUAAAUUUCCUGUUCGGGUCAGUCCCGUUUAAAUUUCCUGUUCGGGUCAGUCCUGUUUUAAAUUUCUUAUUCGGGUCAGUCCCGUUUUAAAUUUUCUGUUCGGGUCAGUCCCGUUUUAAAUUUCCUGUUCGGGUCAGUCCCGUUUUAAAUUUCAUGUUCGGGUUAGUCCCGUUUUAAAUUUCUCGUCUGGGUCAAUCCCAUUUUUGAAAGUUUUGUUAAAGAGGUCAGUCCUCAUUUCAAAAGCGUCAGUCGUUUGAGUCGUUCGCAGCCGAAUAACACAGGUAAGUAUUUGGUGUCUACUUCUUUGUCUCAAGUUUUUCCAAAACUUAGACAAAGAGGGGCAAACUGUAGACACCAAAUUUUUUAUUUUUAGACUUAUUUGAUUCAAUUUUAGGUUUUUAUUUUAUUUUAUUUUGUUUUAUUUCAUUUUGUUUAUGUUUCGUGUCUCUCAUUUUAUUUUAAUCGAUUUAAGAGCAUUUUACACUAAAUUUUAGAAAAAGGAGGAAAAAAAGAAAAAAAGGAAAAAGAAAAGGAAAAAAAACAAUAAAAAUGGCAAGUGGGAGGCAUGCAUUGGGACAAGUGUCCCUUUUUGUCUUAGACAACACAUUACCUAAAUGGUGAGGUGUCUAGACAUUUGUAGUGUUAGGAUCAAUUGGGAAAUAAAAGAAAAAUCAAAAGGAAAAAGAAAAGGAAGGGACGGCUAGGGGUUUUGAGGGGUAGUAAAAGAAAAGAAAAAAAGGAGAAGGCCGCAAAAAGAAGAUGGCAGAGAAAAAACAGAGGGAAGGGGGGCGGCUAAGGGGAAAAAGCUGAGGGCAACAAGGGUUCUUGGCAAGAAAGCUUCGGGAAAGUAUGGGAAAAGAAAAGAGGCAAAGGGCGGCGGGACAGGGAGUAAAAAGAAAAGGAAAAAAUGCAAGGGAAGGUCGAGGGAGGUCUGGGUGCUUCGAGAGGAAAAAGAUAGGGGCAAGAAUUAACGGCUGAAAAAAAAAGGGUAAGAAGAAAAGCCUCAGAGGCGGCCGAGGGGAGUAAAAUUAGAAAGGGUUUUCCGGACGGGCUAAGGUCUGGAAAGAGAGUGUGCGAGAGAGAGGAGAUCACGGCUGGAGAGCUGAGGAAAGAACGACAGGGAGAGCGAGAAAGAGCAAGAGAGAAGGGAGAAAGAGCUUCAGGUGACGAGCUGGGGGAGAAAGAGUAGGAAGUCAAAGAAAGAAACUGGAAAAGAGCGACGGGCAACAACAAAAAGAGCCGAGAGAGAAACUGCCGAGUGAGGAAGAAACGGGCAACUCAACAAGAAGAGAGGUGGUGCAGAAUCUGGAAGGGCAGUCGCAGCAAAAAGAUGAAACUUUUCCCAGCUUCGUUCGGCUUGCGUUGAGGUUCAUUGUUCCUCCAUCCCGACGCCGUCCUUCUGCAAUUCAAGGGAGCGAAGGUAACCUUUCAUUCUCUGUUCUCUCGUUCACAAAGCACCAGGCCAUUCAUCUGGGUGUUAAAUGGAUUUGUGGCUAAACUUGCUGUGAGCUUUCUUCCUUCAUGUUAUUAUUAUCUUUUGUGCAUCUUGGGAGAUGAUGGAUCUGUGUCAUGGAUGUCCUCUUGGUUUUCUGAUGAUGAAGCUGUAAACUUUCAGUCGGUUUCCGAUGAUAUCGUCAUGGGUCUCCUCAGAAAGCAAGCCAACUGUUUUUUCCCAGUGCAUCCUUUAUGUUUUUCCCUUGUUUUGAUCAAACAAUGGUCUGAAACGUCAUUUGUUAUGGUUGUUAGGACCCUUAAGAGUCAGUUUUAGAGUCUGCUGCCACAAACUUGAAGUGCUGGGCUUUGUUGCAGCAAAUGUUGAUAAACUAUCUUUUGGGUUGGUUAAAGUUCUUACUUGGCGUCAUUUUUCCUUUCUUUCUGGGUUUAUUUUUCUAUGUGAUGGUGAUGCCAUGCGUAUGUUUGCUGCAAUUCAAAGGCAUUUGUUUGUUGCAGCAACAGGCAUUGUCUACAACUUUUGAAAUAGUUAGUUGUUUUUUUCUGUAUUGGUUAUCAUUUGUUUGGCCGCAAGGUCUGAUCCGCUGAAAUUUUGUGCUUAUAGCCAAUAACUCUAGGUUCAUUUGAAGUGUUCAGUGCUAAGGGGCGUUCGGGUGAUAGUUUAGUUGGUUUUGGUUGGAAGCUUCACAUGAGUUUUUUGCAUCAGAAAUUGCGGAGAGUAUUUGUUAUUCAAAAAAAUAAAGUUUCUUCGUGGCUUUGUUAUGGGUUUUCUUUUUCCAAAAGAAUUCUGCACUUUGCUCGUGGUUUGCAUGUGAACGGCUUGAUUCAUAUCAGAUUUCCUUUAGAAGAACAGGCUUGCAGUUUGCCAUUGUUGUUCAAGUCUGCAUUUUUGAAUGAAAGUUGUCAGUUUGUCCCAUCCGAAAAUCUGGAGAGAUGUUACUGUGAAUGCUAAGUCUUCUGUUUGUUUUUAAGUACGAGAUUAUGGUGGGAAUCUUAAGUUCUUAUCUUGUGAUUUUGUCUUGGCAGAGGUUUAGGGCAUUUUAGUUGUUUGAUAAGCUAUAGGUUAGUAGCAGAGAAAGCAUUGCAGAAACAAAUGAAAGCUUCAAACAGUUAGUAGCCUUCGUAUGCAUGCAUGAAAGAACAAAAGAAAAUUACACUUUGGUCCCUGUGAUUUGAAGCAAUGCUACAAAGGCCCAAUUAUGUUCUAACUUCUUGCAAUUAGGUCUUAGAGUAAUUGCAAUUUGAAUCUUUACUUGACCUUUUCAUUACUUAUGGACCUUUGAAGUUCCCAAAAUAUUUUAAUUGGACUUUAAUGACUUGUUAAUGGUUGCCAUUGGGUCCUUAGUAGUUUUCUAUUUUAGAAAUUUGAUCUAUAAUUUACUUUCUUUGAAAUUAUGCACUAUUUGAUUCCAUUUAAGUUGCAAUUGGGAGGGAUUUGAUGAUUUUACUUAUAUUGUACUAUUUAAUUGGUGCCUUGACCUUGUUAUUGUUUUGAAGCUAAUUCUUCCUUCAUUUGAUUACCAUUGCAAGGGAGGUACACUCUCAUCCCUUACUCUUGCCUUUAUUUGACCUUACGUGCCCUAUGUGACUUUACGUGUUUAAUUGCAUGCCUCUUGAAUGUUUAUUUAUUUCACUUAUUUAUUUAUUUACUUUAUUUGGCUUUAGCUUUGUAUAUUUAUUUUAGUUCAAUUUUGAUCAUUCGAAAGGCACUUGAAUGCCAAAUUUGUAAUAGUUAGGUAUUUAUUUUAAUUAUUUAUUUCCCCUUUUUAGAUUGUAGUAGGCCCCCCUCAAAUGUAAUAGUUAGGGUUUAUAUUCGCUUUAUUGCUUGCUUGUGUGUUUUGCAUGUCUAUGUGCUAUGUGUUACUGCUUUCUUAGGGUCUUGCAUCUAGAUAUCAUGCUUAUGUGUUACGUGCAAUGUGUGUAUUUAUGUGUUUACAUGCUUUUAUUAGGUCUUACAUGAUUUGUUUGAUUGUAACCAAUGUGUGACGUCACCACACUAGUCCAAUGCUAGUUGUGGUCAAUUUCUCGAAUCCACACUAGUCGAACGCUAGUUGUGGCCCUUUGUUCCGACUUUUCUCACUAAUCCAAUGCUAGUGGGAAUUGUAGACAUGGGCUAGUCCAACACUAGCUCCUUAGGAGCCCUUCGCGCAUUAGAUCAUGAUUGUAUGACAAAAACACUUCAUCUCAUGCAUAUCUUUACUUUCUAGGGCCUCUUUCACCAUGUUGCAUGACAAUUUCCUUAUAUAUGUAUACCCUUUCCCUCAUAUUUUCCCUUAUUUGUAUAUUACUUGCCCCUUUUGUAUGAAACAUGACAUUAGACUUGCAUUUCAUAUAAGCAUUUAGAAUUAAAUCAUUUGCUUGAUUAGAUUAGGGACACCCCUUGGAUAUGGGAUAUGGACGAGUUUGGCUUUUCUGGCCUUAGCACGCUCGUAUUCCCUCUAUUAAAGGGAAAAUUGAGUCACGAACAUUAGUCCCCCGUACCCGACAAGAUGCAUUCCCUUAGGUCACAUAUUUUGUGUUUAUAUAAUUAUCUUAUUCCUUUUCCUUUUUUUAGAGUCUCAUAUUUUGGCAUUAUUCGUGACAUCUUCGAAGAAUCUUUAUUGGACGUCACAAUUAAUGUGAUUGGUACCAAUUAACUUCGAAGGGAUAUUUUGACCCCCCGAUGCCCUCCUAGGUCUAGGGUAUGCAUUCAUAUAGUACAUCCAAAUGUGAUGACUCUUAAGUUAAAACGAGAAAAUCUUUGACUAAAUCACGCAACUAGCCGGUUUAGGUCGAAGGGGUGCCUUGGAUUUUUAUCCUUGCCUUCCCCUUCGUCAAAUGUGACUCCCGAACCUUUUUCGUUGGUUUACGUAGACUAGGAGUCGUUUAAAAGGGGUUUCUUUCUACCUUUUCUUUUAAAAAAUUCAUUUUAGGUGACUUGGUACACCUUAACUCUAUACCAAGUGGCGACUCCGAUUUUUAUUUCAAAAACCCUUUUUAAACUAUAAUUUGGGCCCAAAUCGUCGCAUUACAAACCCCAUUUAGGCACAUUUUCUUUAAAUCUGCUGGCCGGAUUCAAGGCAGUGAGUAACCCAAAAUUUUUUUAACAACCCCUGCUAAUCAGGCCAGAUAUCCGGCCAAGAACUGGCCGAUACAUGGCCGGAUUCGGUGAACAGUCCCCACCAGAAAUUUCUUUCCUUGUUCAAACACCGCGCUCGUUCGAUCACCCAAUGGUUACAAGUAGCAACUCAACAGAUCCAAAGGUACCAUCUCAAACGAAUACACUUAAUCUAAAUAAUUAAACACUUAAAUACAUAUAUUGAAGACUUUACAAAUCAAAGCGUGAUACCUGAUUAAAACACUGUGACACCCCCACUUCUCCUAAUGCGAACCAAAGGGUAUCCGCGGGACGCCUGCCCAGCUCUCGCCAGGACUCGAUACAAUUUUCAUUCAAACUUAAUACGAUACUAGCCAUUACCACGAUGUAAAGUAAGCAAUGCGAAACGUUCAAACUUAACAAUAUAUAACAAUCAUCCAAUCCUUAGAUCGGGUUCUCAAAAGAUACAUCAUUUCCCAAAAUAUACAACAGCCAAGAUGUCUAGUCAAUUACAUUGAAACCCUAAUACAAAAGUACAUCCCAAGGGUUUUUUCGAGUCUUACUCCAUGCCCAUUCCUGUUAAGGAAAACAAAUCUACGGCGUGAGCAAUCGCUCGUGAGGCCAAGAACACACAUGCAAGCACAUUGUCCAAGUAACAAUCCCAAUUAACGAGUAAAACAAUAAUAUUCAAGUAAAUGACAAUUCGAGCAAGAAAAGUAAACAGAAACAAUUCAAGGAUAUAGGAGCUCUCAGGAGCUAUUUUCCACCUGCUCGAUCAAGAACCUUCACGAAUUGACACUCCGUCAAUCGGGUAGGUUAUAGUCCGUAGAACCACCCUUAUCAUGUCCCCAUUCACCAUUACAUACCCCUGCAUCAGGCCCGCCUGUCAUUUAUUUGAGACGAUACUGCUCGAGUAUGCCAAGCAAAACCUCUCAAUAGGUCAAGCUUACGUAUUCUCAUGGUUCACCAAGGAGCCCGACUAAGCCUUUGCCGGCUCGAGUCCAAGGUUGGCCAGUGAGAGUUGGGCGUCCCCCAUGUACAAUUGUGAGUCGAGGAGAUUCACUCCAGCAACGUAUGUAGCCAUAGCAUAUCAUUUCAUUUCAUUCAAACAUUCAACAUAUUUCAAUCUUUCAAUUCAUUGAAUCAAGUCAUUCAUGGUUCAUUCAUUUCAAAUGAGAACGAGUCCGGUAAAGUACACACUCGACUCCAUUUUCAAAAUCUCUAAUCAUCUAUAACAGUUAAGCAUGUAUCAAGUACUCAUACACUUGACACUCACCAAUACAAGAAAACAAGGAAGUGUGUCCACUUGAAGGUUCAGGCGUCCAUCGUGGGAUCCUCUUGAAGGUUCUCUUGGGUGCCUGAGUAAUUGAUUAUAAACUAUCACUUAUAAACCUCAAGUAUCACGGAAGAUCGCACACUUGUACAAUCUAGAAAAUAUUGUGAAGACGAGCCUAAAAUUUCUUGUAAAUCAAGGCUUUAAAGUGGGGUUCAAGAACACAAGAAAAUCUGAUUUUCGUUCUUAACAUCAUCGGAUGGAAGUAAGUAGGUAUGAAAUCAUGUAAAUCAUUUUCCAAACGAACGAUCGAAGCCAAACUGGACGUGACACGUCACAAUCCGGCCAGAUUUCUGGCCGGAUUUGUGGCAGAGAGCAUCCCAAUUUUUUUUUUUCAAUUUUGACCACCAAUCCGGCCAACUAUCUGGCCAAGAACUGGCCGGAUAUACGGCUGGAUUCUUUGAAAUUGUUCCCGCGUGAAAAAUUUUCAAAAGGUCAAGAAUUAUCGAAUUUAGAGGCAUUCUUGGAAAAAUCAUAACUCACUCUCUGAAAAUCCAAAAUUAGAAAAUUGGUACCGUUGGAAAGUACUUCCAAAGAACUAAAAGUUCCUAGAAAACACUUUUCCAUGAUUCCAAAUGGAUGACAUUCAAAAUGUGGCUCAAAGUGGCUGUUUUGGAAUGCCAAGACAGAUUUGGGUUGAUUUUCGGCAAAGUUCCAAAAUUCGGCAAAAUUCACACAAUGCAAACUGGCCUCUAAAAUUUGGAACUCAAUUAGAGUUACAAUCAAAGUUUUCAACACAACAAGUGGAACAAGAAUUGGAGUUUUGAGCACCAAGAUAUAGUGGCUCAAAGUCACUGAAAUUUCCUCCUCAAACAGGGGUUUUCCAGGUUUAAAGCUUGAGAUUUGGUGCUUUAGUUGAGCAGCUAAAGGAACUUGGAAUGGCACCAAAGUUAGUAGUAUUACACUACCAUCUAAGGGCUAUUCCUCUGCAAAAACUCACGCGGGAAGUCAGUUAACAAAAUCAUUGAAGUUCCAAGAAUUUCCAAGUCAAAUCUGCCUUGUACUUUAGUUUUCCUUUUCUCAAACAUUUGGCCCAUGAAAGUUCCUUGAACACGAUUCAUUUUAAGGAAAAAGUCUAGGUAAUAUCCAAAAUAUGUUUGAUAGGUGAUUAACACCAAGGAUUUUGAAUAACAGGUCCCAAAUCAAGAUUAGCUAUAGAUCAGUCCAGAAUUAGGGUUUUCUUUAACGAAGACAGUUCUGAAAUUCGGCCACAUCUCACUCAAUUCAACUCGGAAUUGAGAGUGGUCACUGGAGUUGAAUACUACAUUCAUAAGGCUACAAUUUCAUAUAAGGAAUCAUUUUAAAAUUCUGUCCACAACUAGCCCAUAUUUGAGCAUCAAAUCGCGGCUUGGAAUAGGGCUUCCAGUACAGAAGAGAAACAGAACAGAAAACUUUACAAGGUUGGUAUGGAUCACUCAGGUGGAAUCAGGGCAUACAUUUUAUACCAUUGGAAAACUGGAAAUGUCUAGUUUCUAGUGCCACAAAUGGCACUCGAUUUUGACAUCGGAGCAAAACGUUAUGGCCGAAACAAAAACACUGCCAGAGCAUUCUGGACACCCGUUUCCAGCUUUGGCAAAUUUUUGAAAUCUCAACAUUCACUCAUCCAAAUCACGUAAGUUUUUGAGGAAAAUUUAUACACAACCUAUAUUACACAUUUACAUAAAAUACAAGUCAAUUGGACCACAAAAAAGUGCACCAAAGUGCACGGCAAUGGCAAGGGCAGAAACGGUAAAAUUUUCCUUUUCACUUCCUUUGAGCUAUCUUUCACAACACCACUUAUUUUCACUAGAUUAAGCACUAAUCCAACAUAAAUAACAUCAAAUCUCAUCAAAUCAGUUCAUCAAGCCAUUGUGGGAUUUCAUAGAGCCCACUCACAAGAUUUCGAACAAUAUAAAGCUCCCUAUGUGAAUCUAUGAGCUCAUAAGUGCAAUAUAACUUCCAUAAAUCAAGAAUUAAGAAGUUGAUCGUUGUAUACCUUCUUAGAUGAUUAAGGUAGAAAAUUUCGGUCACUUUAAGCUCAAGAAAAACCAUGAGAUGAAGCUCCUUUCCUAGCUUAGGUUGAUCACCAAUUGAUUUGCAAGUUGUGUGUGAAUUUUGAGAUGAUUUGAAUGAGUUUUGAGAGGUGAAAUGAAGAAGAAAUGUUGGUUCUUUUUCUUCCUUGGAUGGCUGGCUGUUUGAGUGAAGAGAGAGAGAGAGUUGUGCUGAAAAUGAAGCUUCCUUGAGAAGCUUAAGUGUGUGGUUCAAAUUGCCUCAAAAGUCAACUCUCUCCUCGCACGCCGCGCGCGUUUCUAGCUUGAUUCCUUUCGAGUUUGUUUCACUUGUGCACUAAACCUCUAAUGCACUUCCAAUCAUAUUAUUAUUAUUCACUCUUAAUGGUCUAAAAAUAAAGGUCUAAAGUCCCUCAAUUAAUCACGCGCGCGAAAACACGUACCUCCGAUUUGUGCGCGAUAAAGUGAAAUUUCCAAGAAAUUCUUAUAAUGAUAGUAUCACUAACUAAUAAUGGAACACUUAAACAUAAAAAUAUCUAUUUCAAGACUAAUGUACAGGUCUCCAAUUUUCCAAGCUUAUUGUAUCAUCGAAUCGAUUAUUGUUUCCAAACGCGUAUCCACUAUUCUCACUUAACGAGCUUUCAAAAAUUAAAUUUUGAAACGAGUCAUUUUAAAAAUUUAAGUAAGCCAUACUUCCAUUUAAUUAGGUCUAAAAAGGUUGAAAUAAAAUAUUCGGAGUAAACGGAUAAUUAAAUAUUUAAAUAAGUUAGCAAUAGGAAUUUAAAAUAAAGAAAAUUUUGUGAGUCCUCAUCUUCUUCCACUUAAGAAAAUUUCGUCCUCGAAAUUUACCUUGAUCUGCGAGCAGGUCUAGAUACUUUUCUCGAAUUGCUUCUUCGACUUCCCAAGUCGCUUCCUCUAGCCGUAGUUCCUCUAAAGAACUUUUACCAAUGGUAUCCGCUUAUUUCUCAAUUCCUUCAUCUUAUGAUCCAGAAGCUUUACCGGUUUCUCCUCGUAGGUCAAUGUCUUAUCAAUUUCAAUACUUUCCGGUUACAAAAUAUGAGAAGGGUCUGGAUGGUAUUUCUUAAGCAUAAAAACAUGGAAAACAUUGUGAAUUUGAGACAAUUUCGGUGGCAACUCCAACUUAUAGGCCACAUUUCCUACACGUUGGAUAAUCUUGUACGGCCCUACAAAUCUCGGUUGUAACUUCUUUCCUUUUCCAGACAUUAAACUUGCUUUCAGAGGUGUAAUCUUAAGAAACACUAGAUCUCCAACCGCAAAUUCUAUGUGCUUCCUCCGAUUAUCUGCAUAACUCUUUUGACGACUUUGUGCGGUCUGAAUCCUCUGGCGUACUAAUUUCACUUUUUCAUUUGCUUCUUCAAUCCAAGGCACUGUAGUCGGGUCUAAGAUUUUGCGUUCACCUACUUCAUCCCAACAAAUCGGGGAUCUACACUUCUGACCAUAAAGUGCUUCAUACGGAGCCAUUUGAAUAGAAGAGUGAAAGCUAUUGUUAUAGGCAAAUUCCACCAGUGUUAAAAAUUUACUCCAACUCUCCCCAAAAUCCAAAACACAAGUCCUCAACAUAUCCUCAAGGGUUUGAAUCGUUCUCUCAGACUGUCCAUCGGUCUGGGGAUGGUAAGUAGUACUAAAAUUCAAUUUAGUCCCAACACUUCCUGCAUCUUUUGCCAAAACCUCGAAACAAAUCUUGGCUCUCUAUCUGACACAAUACUUAUCGGUAUUCCAUGCAACCUGAUAAUCUCAUCCAAAUACAACUUAGCCAACUUCUCCAAUGGGUACUUCGUAUGAAUCGGUAGAAAAUGAGCUGAUUUGGUCAGUCGAUCACUAUUACCCAAAUAGCAUCAUGGCCUCUUUGUGUCCUGGGUAACCCCGAUACAAAAUCCAUAGUGAUGUUCUCCCAUUUUCACUUGGGUAUUUCCAAAGGUUUCAAAAGUCCUGAUGGUUUCUGAUGUUCAACUUUAACCUGUUGACAAAUCAAACAGGUCUGGGCAAAUUGGGCUAUCCCCUUCUUCAUGGUUUCCCACCAGUACAAACUUUUCAAGUCUUGGUAUAUUUUAUUCCCUCCAGGGUGUACCGUAAACUUCAAUCGGUGUGCCUCUUCCAAAAUUUCCUUCUUAAGCUCUUCAUCCUUUGGCACUACUAUCCGAUUCUGAAACCUCAAUAUACCAUUCAAUCUCAAGUUAAAAUCCGACUUUUCUCCCUUUUUGACUUUCUUCAACCACUUUUGCACUUCAGGGUCCUUUUCCUGAGUCUCUUUAAUACGUUCCAUCAAAGUGAAAUUCACUACUAUAUUCCCAAAAAUUACUUUCCUCGACUCAAGUCUAGGGUUCCAAUAACUAACUUCCUCUAACAAGUGCAAUUCCUUAAUCAUCAAUCCGGCCACUUGUACUUGGCGACUUAGAGAUCGGCCACUACAUUGGCCUUCCCUGGAUGGUACUUUAUCGUGCAAUCAUAAUCUUCCAGAAAUUCCAUCCACCUACGUUGCCUUAAAUUCAGCUCCUUUUGAGAAAAUAAGUACUUAAGGCUUUUGUGAUCAGUAAAAACCUCAAAUGUCACUCCAUAUAGGUAAUGCCUUCAUUUCUUUAAAGCAAACACUACAGCUGCCAACUCCAAAUCAUGUGUCGGUAGUUUCUUUCAUGAGGUGUCAACUUCCUAGAGGCAUACGCUAUUACUUUCUCAUUUUGCAUUAAAACACAUCCCAAGCCUUCAUUGGAAGCAUCUGUGUAGACCACAAAGCUAUCUUUUCCAUUCGGUAGAGCUAACACAGGCGCUCUCGUCAAACGUCUUUCUAACUCUUGGAAACUCUCUUCACACUUAGGACUCCAUAUAAACUUUUCACUUUUCUUGGUCAACUCAGUCAUAGGUCCAGCAAUUCUAGAAAAUCUUGGAUAAAUCUCCGAUAAUACCCUGCUAACCCUAUAAAACUUCGAAGCUCAGUAGGGUUUUCUGGUCGUUUCCAUUUUGAAACAGCUUCAACAUUGGCUGGAUCCACUUUUAUCCCAUCCUUAGAAAUUACGUGCCCCAAGAAUGUUACUUCUUUCAACCAAAAUUCACACUUGCUAAACUUAGCAUACAAUUGGUGUCCCCUCAGGGUUUGCAAAACAAUUCUUAGGUGCUUCUCAUGAUCCUCCACAUUCUUAGAGUAUACCAAAAUAUCAUCAAUAAAGACCACCACACAUUGGUCCAGAUAAGCCUUAAAGACCCUGUGCAUCAAAUCCAUAAAAGCAGCAGGUGCAUUUGUUAACCCAAAUGGCAUUACGACAAACUCAAAGUGCCCAUAUCUCGAGUUAAAAGCAGUCUCGGGUAUGUCUUUCUCCAAAAUCCUCAAUUGAUAAUAAUUCUGUCUCAAAUCCAACUUGGAGAAUACCACCGCCCCUUGCAAUUGGUCAAACAAUUCAUCAAUGUGGGGCAACGGGUACUUAUUCUUAAUGGUGACAUCAUUCAAGUCUUGGUAGUCCAUACACAACCUUAGACUCCCAUCUUUCUUUUUAACAAACAGGACCUGGGCUCCCUACGGUGAAUCACUCUCUUUUAUAAAACUCCGUUCCAACAAGUCCUGCAGUUGCAAUUUCAAUUCCUUCAGUUCGGCUGGAGCCAUCCGAUAUGGCGUCUUAGAGAUAGGUGCUACUCCCGGAGUCAAAUCAAUCUUAAAAGCUAUUUCUCUUUCUGGGAUAAGGACUCUAACUCUUCAGGAAAAACAUCCGAGAACUCUUUCACUACAGGCAUAUCCUCCAAUCUCACUUUAUUACUGGGAGUGUUGAUUAGAAAAGCCAAAUAUCCCGGAACUCCCUUACUUAACAUUUUCCUAGCUCAGAUUCCUGAGAUAAGUGCAGAUGAGGCUAAUCUAUCCCUUACAUCCAAUUUCAGGGUUGCCUCUUCCGGAAUACACAAUUCUACUAUCUGCGUCUUACAAUUCAACUAGGCAUUGUAAUGGGCUAACCAGUCCAUUUCUAGGAUCACAUCAUACCCUUUAAUUGCUAAGCCUAUCAAAUCGGCCAGUAAUUUACGUUCUCCAACCCAGAUCUCACAAUUCCUAUAUACCAAAUUAGCAAUUAGAUUUUGGUCCCCAGUAGGCGUUCUAACCUCCAAGUCAUAAGGUAACUUAAUUGGUUUCAAGUCUAUUCCGCUCAUGAAAUUAGGGUUUACAAAAGAAUGUGUCGCACCCGAAUCAAUUAAAAUCUUAGCUAAAAUGUGGAAGACAGGAACUGUACCUUCAACUACCUCAGUCGCAUCAGGUAUCUGUUAAUGAUCCAGUGCAUAAACUCUAGCCGGUAUCUUGGGUCGGUUUCCUCCAGCACUGGUCUGCUUUGAGGUUGACUUUUCUGGCCUUUGAAUAUUACCUCCUAUUUUUGGCGCCUUCGAGCAACACGCGACUUGGUGUUCAGCGCUACCACAAAAUAGACAUUUUCCAGACUUCCUCCAACAGUCAUUCUCAGAAUGGUUGGAUUUACCACAGUACCCAUAAGUAACUUGAGGGGUCACUGCCGAACCACUAGAAGGCACUUCCCUAGCUUGAAGCGGCCCACUGCAACCUCCUCGGAUAAAGCUCCCCUAAAAGCUCCAGCAGUCCUUAUUCCUCCCAUUUCUCUUCCAAUUUUGGAAGGCUAUGAACUCUUACUAGUCUAUCCAGAAGUACGACUAGAAAAGUUCCUCUUCCUAUUAUGAAAGUCCUUAACUUGCAUUCUCGCACUUUCAACCCGUUGCGCUUUCUCUAAAGCCUCAGUAAAUGUAGAGAUUUGGGCUGCGGCCAAGCCCUCCUGGAUUUCCACAUUAAGCUCCUGUACGAACCAUUUUAUCCUCCUCUGUUCAUUAAUCACCAAUUCAGGAGCGUACUUGGAAAACUUAGUAAAUUUCCCCUCAUACUCCGUGCUACACUAAGGGUUCCUUGUUUUAACUUGAUAAACUCGUCCUCCCUCUUUUCUUGGAUUAAGGGCGGAAGAAACUUUUCAUUAAAUUCGCUCCUAAAAUUCUCCCAAGUCCAAGGGGUUUGGGCUCUCUCCCACUUUCCCCUUAUCAUAUCCCACUAAGCAUGUGCCACUCCAUCAAAUUGGAAUGCAGCAAUAUCCUCGGUAUAGUCUAAGGCGGCGAAUAUAUUGGUCAUUCUCUCCAACCAAUUCUCGCUACCUCAGGAUCGGGUUCACUAAUAAAUUUAGGUGGAUUAAACUUAAAAAACCUUUCUAAGGCUUUAUCCUCUCCUCUAUCCUGUCCCCCAGGUUGGUUAAGUGGUCCAGGACCUUUGUCUAUCAGCCAAACGUUCUAGGAUAUCAGUCAUCCUAUUAAUGGUAGUAGCCACUUGAUUAUCCUCAAUAUUUUCUUGUCCCUGGGUCGGUCCAGUUGCUGAUCCCUGGUCAUCCCCAUGAGGUUGGGCCUGUCUAGUCCCUCGCUCACGGUCUCGACCACUCAUUCACCCUUCCAUUAUCCUUGGUAUGCCUAGGUCAAGAAAUGAAUCAAUUACGCGAGAAAAUACUUAAAACAAGAACCAAUCACGAAAGCAUUGAAAAUAACAAUAAUUUACAUUCAUUAGCAUGUCAAGAUCCAUACAAUUAGCAAGUCAUGGGGGAAAUCACAAAAAUAUAGCACACAGGUGCCACAAGAAUACUUUCAGUCAUGUAAGACUAAAGCAGAAUCAAGUGCGUCAAAAGUGGGCCACACAGUCAUGCAAAAAACAAUGGCCACACAGGCCAAUCACGGAUCUCCUCACCUAACCUAGUGAGUUGAGCCCUAGUGUGAGGACCCGAAUUUUUCUUAUUUUAUUUUAGUUUACUGGCUUAAUCAAUUAUUUACUCACCCGCUUUCUCCUAAUAUUUUAUUCCAACCUUUUUAGAUCCAAAUACAUGAAAUUAUGGCUUACAUGUAUUUUGAAAAUGACUUGUUACAAAAAUUAAUUUUUGGUAAGCUCGUUUAGUGAGAAUAGUGAAUACGCGUUUGGAGACAAUAAUCGGAUCGAGAAUACAAUAAGAUUGAAAAAUUGAGACUUAUACAUUAGUUUUAAAAUAGGUAUUUUUAUGUUUAAGUACUCAAGUAUUAGUUAGUUAUACUAUCGUUAUAAGACAUUCUUAGAAAUUUCAUUUUAUCGUGCACAAAUUAGAAGUUCGCUUUUCGCUGCCGCGCAGGAUUAUUUGAGGAUAAGACCUUUAUUUUAGACUAUUAAGAUGAAUAAUAAUAGUGAUAAAGGAAGGUGCAUUAGAGGUUUAGUGCACAAGUGAAACGAACCCGAGAGAAAUCGGACAUGAAACCCGCGCGCGACUAGUAAGAGUUGACUUUUGCACACCACCUAAAGCUACUAUUCCAUUCUUUCUCCCCAAGUUUUAGCACACAAAACCCUCCUCUCUCUCACCUUGCAUCAGCCGACCAGCCACAAGAAAGAAAAGAAGAGAAGAAAGCUCUCCAUCCAUCUUGCUCAUUCUUGCUCCAAAUCAUCUCCCACUUUGCAACUAACCACAAAACCACUUGGAGAUUCACUUGAGCUUGGAAGGAAGCUUCAUCUUGGUGUUUUUUCUUGGGGGUUUAGUGGUAAAAAUUUCUGGUUUGUCUCAAAGCUUGGAGGUAAUCAUCCUACACCAUCCAAUCUUUUAUUCUUGGCUUUGAAGCUUGUAGCUUCAUUAUUGUUGAUAUUACUUGAUUGGAAUGGUUGAAUUGGCUCUAUGAAUUUCCACUUUGGAUAUAAGGAUUGAUAUGAUGAUUUUAGAUGUUAUAUGUGUUGUUUUAGUGCUAAACUAGUGGAUCUAAGUUGAGGAAGUGGAAAGAAAUCAAGGGAAACUUGAAAGAGGAAAGGGCCGAAUCUGCCCUGUUUGUGCAGAGGCUUUAAUUCGAAAUUUUUGUGGUUAAAUUGACUGUUUAUGAUGUAUACAUGUUUUGUGGGUUGUGUGGAAGGUUUCCACAAAAAAUUACGUGAUUUGGAUGGUUAAAUGUUGAGUUUCGAAAAUCUGUCAAAACUGGAAUUUUUCCCGAAACUGCUCUGGCAUUGUUUUCAAACAGCUAUAAUUUUUGCUCCGAUGUCAAAAUCGAGUGCUGUUUGUGGCAAUGGAAACUAGACAUUCCCAUCUUUUCAACGGUAUAAAAUGCACAUUCUGAUUCCACCUGAGUAGUCCAUACCAAUUGUUUGAACAUGACUAUUCUGUUUCGCAUCUACACUGGGAGCUCUGUUUUGAGCAUCGAAUUUGAUGCUCAAAUAUGAGCUAGCUGUGGACAGAUUUUGAAAAUGAUUUCUUCUAAGACAUUGUAACCUUAUGAAUGUAGUUUUCAACGCUACCAAUCACGCUCAAUUCUAAGUUGAAUUGAGUGAAUUAUGGCCAAAUUACAGACCUACAUCAUUGCUUGAAAACCCUCAUUUUGGACUGAUCAAUGGCCUAUGUCGUUUGGGACUUGUUAUUUUGAAAAUUUUGGUGUCAAACACUUAUCAAAUGUAUAUUAGAUGUUUCUCAGAAUUUUUUUUGAUAAAUGGACCAGAUUUUAAUCAUUUUCGUUGAGCAAAAUGUUUGAAAGAGUAGAAGAAAGCAAAAGACAGAUUGGUCUUAAGAUUUUCUUGAACUUUGGUAGUUUAGUAAACUACCUUCCCAUGUGAAUUUUAAAGUGAAAUUUGAUAGAGAAGUAGUCCUCAUAUGGAAGUAGAAUUGUACCAAUUUUGGUGUCCAUCAAAGACCAUUCCGAUAUACAAAUGAUGUGCCAAAGUUUGCUAUUCAAAUCUGGAAAACUCUUCCUUUCUCUCGGCUGAAUGGUCCAACUUGUUUGGAAUGUUUUGUUUCAAAAACUUUGAUGUCAAUUGCCUCUAAAUUUCUCAUUGGAUGUUUAUGGAACAUUGGUUUCAACAUUUGAGUUAAUUAAGGUUGAUUUGUGUGAGACAAAACUUUUAAAAGGAAAGAGAAACUUGAGUUGGCAGAAUUGCUUUGAAAGUUUCACAAACUUCAGUAGUUUUGUUAACUGCCUUUCCACGUGAAUUUUUGCGUGAAAUUUGGUAGAGAUAUAUUUAACAUAUGGAAGAUUUAGUGUACCAAAUUUGGUGUAUUUUCAAUGCCAACUCAAUGACCAAAUAAUGCCCCAAAUCUGCUCUUCAAAUCUGGAAACUUGGCCAACAGUCUUCAUUUUUAACCAACUUUGAGCUGCUAUUUCUUGACGCUCAAAACUCCGAUUUUAGUUCUGUUUCUUGUGUUUUAAACUUUGAUUGUACCUCCAAUUUAAUUCCAAAUUUCAGAGGCUAGUUCAGAUUGUGUGAAUUUUUCCGAAUUUCCAAACUUUGCCGAAAAUCAACCCAAAUCUGUCUUGGUAUUCCAAGACAACAUCUUGGACCCAAAAUUUGAAUGUCUUCCAAUUGGAAUCAUGGAAAAGUGUCUUCUAGGAACUUUUAGUAAUUUGGAAGAAGUUUCCAACGGUCCAAGUUUUCCAAUUUUGGACCUACGGACUACAAGAUAUGAUUUUUCUAAGUUUGACACACAAAGCUGAAAUUUGCCAAUUUCUUAGAAAAUGAAAAUUUGGAAACUUGACUUCUUUUCUCGAUAUCGACUGAACGUUUUUGAACUCGAUUUCAUGGAAAUACUAGUCUCCCUCUUUGGACUUUAAAACUUCACUCGUGAACCUCAAGUUAAGGGAAUUGAAGCUCUCUUUUAGGACUUUGACUUAGUCUAGAUGAGUGUACAUCCCUUCUUGGUAAAUGCAUGAUUGUGAGUGAAGUUGAUUAUUGUUUGCUCAGGUGCUCAAGGGGACCUUUAAGAGGAACUCGGAGCGGACGCCUAAACACUUGUUUGAGCACUUACUCACUUGUUUUGACUAGGUGAGUGUUCCAUAUAGGAGUACGUAAUUUGAAUAAGUCUAUGACAUGCUUAUUCCAUGAUCAUUAAGUGUUAAGUGCUACAUGUUAAGUAUUUACCACACUCAUGCAUAUUUAAGUAAGGUAUACUUGAAUUACUCGACAUGAAAUACUUGAAUUGCAUAUUUACGUGAAGUGUUUACAUGAUUAAUUAUGCUAUCGCUGCAUAAGUCGGCUGGAGUGAAUCUCCUCAACUCUUAAGUGGUAAAAGUGGGAAAUGGCCAAUGGCGGCCUAUUAAAAUGGCAAAUAUCUGCCAAUUAACCGUAAUUACUUACCGUUAACCGUUAACCGUAAUUACUUACCGUUUACCAACCUACUUGAUUACCUACCUACGUGAUUACCUGCUUACUUGAUUAUCUGCUUACUUGAUUACUUGACUAUUUGAUUACUUGAUUAUCGUAAAUUACAUGUUCAUAUGAAAUUAGCCACCGUUUUAAGGCGAGUGCGUACUUUAUCUCACUCGACCUACUAAAAUGAUAAAUUUUUACAGUACACCAAUUUACUUGAUUACUUGUGCAUGUUGUAAGCUCUAAGCUGAACUGGGCUCUGCCCUUGGUUACUGACCUACUCGAGCCAAGACUGGGCUCGGUCGGGUAGGUUGGAACCCUGGGACACCGUUUCGGUAUGCUCGAGUACUAACACUGGAGGGAUAAGGUGAUGGCCAGACAAACCGAGGGGUUCUGAAGUUAUAUGGUACAGUUGACCGAAAUGGUUCCACUAGAACACCGUAUCCUUCAAUGUGUAUUUAUUUUGCAUAAUGAUAACUGUUUCAUGCUAAUGUGCCAACGUGCAACCUAUGAGCCAUACCUGUGAUAUGCUCAAAUUACUCGUAACAUGAUAACUUUAUCAUGUUAAUGUGUCAAUGUGCAAUCGUGAACCAUAUAUGUAUCAUGCCUAACUUGUUUGAUUUAUUAGAACUGCUAGAGUGUCUUGGAACCUCACUGGGCUGUGUAGCUCAUUCCACGUUUUGUUUUCCUUAACAGGGUUCGAGACCAAGAGUGAUCAUGAAUAGUAUUUGAUUGUUUUCUUUUGAAGACUUUAAGUUGUAUUAUAGCUGAUGGCUAUAAUACAUAUUCUGUUGGAUUGUAUUUAUGCUUGAAAGCUAACUAAUUGUAAGUGUGAGAUAUUUUUGAGUACUUUAAUUAUGUAUUGAAGUUAUUUGAAGCAUUCCGAACUUUUGAAUUGUGGAUUGUAGUGAGUCCUGGCGAGAGUUGGGCAGGCGUCCCGCGGAUACCCUUUGGUUCGCCUUAGGGAGAAGUGGGGGCGUCACAGUUGGUAUCAGAGCUUAGGCUUCAGAUCUUUGUAGUGUAUUCUAGACUUAAAAGUUUAGAAUGCCGGACUGUGGAACUAGUUUGAAACUUAAGUGCCCGCUAAUAGGGAUAAAAAUUAGAGCCGCUUCGCGUGGUCUCUGCAGGGGGUGAGUUUGGGCCAAGUGGUGUUAUGGUCCUUAUUAUGUGAAUGAGUAAAGGUUUAAGUACUCUUCUUGAGCAUAAGCUGUGAAUCAUGAAUGUGAUAGGUACAAAACCUUUAUCUUGAUACUUAGAGAAAAAUUAGAUAUGUAUGUUGGUAGGAAUCUCAAAUGUGAUGAUUUACUCUUGGGACUGACCAGCUCGAGUUGUGAAUUACCUUUUUUCGGAUUCUUGUACCCGAGUACUCAAGCGUUGAGGGCAAUCCUGAGGACUUGAGAUCUCCAUUUGUGGGGAAUAAGAACGAAUUGAUAUUUCACGUGAAUAGUUACAGGAAACCAAUAAUCAUUUGGCUAAGAUGGCACAAUAAUUAAGAGCGGGAGGUGGAGAAGAACGUAGCCCAGAAGAUCCUGGUGUUGGGAUUAAAGUUGAACGUGUUAGGGAAUGGGAAUCAUCUAGUUCCAAUUAAUCCCGUGAAGCUUUACUUUUGAUCUUUUUUAAUGGGACGACGGAAAUAGGACUUAAGAGUUUGUACCUUGAAGAUGCAUGUACUUUUGUUAAUCACUUGUUUACUUUUGUUUACUAACCUUGACUUGGUAUGUACUUUACUUCACUGUAACUUGUGUUAUUGUGACAGCCCCACCUCACCCUAAGGCAAACCAAAGGGUUCGACGGACCGCCUGCCCAGCUCUCGCCAAGACUACGGAGUCGAUUCACACAAAUCCAACAUAGUACGCGCGAUAGGACCCAAAGAAAAUGAAUAAUCGGAAACUACUAAGGUGAGAACAUGCCUACCAAACCAUAAAAUCAUAGUCUCAACGAAAUACAUUUAAUAGACAAGGUUAAACACUUAUACAUAUAUUUACAUUGAAGUCUUGAACAAAUUAACCUACAGUGCGAUCCGAGGUACUCAUACUACAGAAAAAACAAUUAGGGCUUCGUUUUCAAAAGAGUUUAACAACAUGACAUAUAUAUUAGCUUGACCCUUUUCCUCCAAAACCAUGAUUCCCAAGUUUGUCCCCUGUAAGGAAAACAAAGGCAACAGAAAAGGGUGAGCUUACGCUCAAUGAGGUACCAAACAUAUAGGGGUAAAAUCAUGGCCUUUCACGUUUAAUCAAUCAAAUACAUAUACUAGAUAUAAAGGAAAGCAUUUAGACAUAGUGAUUCAAAGAAAAGGAUACAAGUGGCUCUCAGGAGCCAGAUUUCCAUUUGCAGUACUUGAUCCGAACCCGUUGACUCUCCGUCAACGUAAAUAGAACCAACAUAUCCGUAGACCCCACUUUACACCAAUUUCCGUCCACCAAACAUACCCCUACCGUGUGACAGCCCCACCUUCCCCUAAGACGAACCAAAGGGGUUAGCGGACUGCCUGCCCAGCUCUCGCCAGGACUAACGGUGCAGUUAGAGCGAUCUUGUGACAGCCCCACCUUCCCCUAAGGCGAACCAAAGGGGUUAGCGAACUGCCUGCCCAGCUCUCGCCAGGACUAACGGAUCGGUAUAGAACGAGCUAAUACAUUCCGGAUCUUACCAACGCGGGUAAAUAAAUCAAAAUGUUAAAAUAAAAAAAAAUGAAACCGAAGUCGGCUAUGAAUAGUAAUCGACCCGUCAGAACCCAACCAAAUAUCAAGCAAACAUUCACAUCUUGAAACUUAGCAUUUACAAGCCAAAGUGGCAUACAAAAGUAUUCAAAAGUGGAUACAUGUCUGGUUUGCCAAAUCAAAAGGAAAAUGGUCCCAAAAGUACAUUUAGAGUUUUAAUACAUGAGCUAUACAAAAGAUAUGUUAAACUAGCUCAAUUUGGCAGCCAAUUGUCAAAUCCAGUCCAAAAGUAUUUAUUUUCCUGUAAGGAAAACAAAAAGGAACAGAAAGGGGUGAGCUUGCGCUCAAUGAGGUACCAGACAUAUAGCAGUAAAAUCAUGGCAUUUCACAUUUAACAAAUCAGGUACACAUGCCAGAUGUAAAGUAAAUGAACUAAUGAUUCAAAUCAGAAGGAUAUAGGUGGCUCUCAGGAGCCAAAUUCCCAUUAGCAUCAUCGGAGCUUGAUCGAAAUAAAAUUUGACACUCCGUCAAUGCUAAAGGAGUAACCAAUACCGUAGACUCCACUUUCUUCGAUUCCUUCCACCUCACAUACCCCACCGGGCCUGAAAUCCAAUCAAAUCAGAAAUGGUAAUACUCGAGUAUACCCGGAAUCAAGGGGUCUCAAUACCCAAAGAUCCCAAAACAGACUAUCGUGGUUCGUUAUCUAAUCGACCAGGCCCUUGCCGGCCCGACUCGAGUAACUGGCCACAGGUGUUGAGCUCAGAGGUCACAGAAAGGUCGUUGGAUACAAGCUUCCAAACGACGUCAGAACAGAUACAGAUCCAGAUACAGAUAACAGAUACAGAUACAUAUAGCAGAUUCAGAUACGCGUUCAAAAUUGGCAUAUGAACAGACAAGAGAACGAGUGUGAUAAAGUACACCCUCGCCUCCCUUUUAUCAAAAUGGUAUUUGGCUCCAACAGCCAUAAAUCAAGUAUUUCAAAUAUUCAGAUAUUUCACAUAACGGGUAGCAGGUAGUGGAACACUCACCGGGGUCAGUACAGAUACCUCCAAAAGAGAGCUUUAAUCACCAAGAAACCCUAAGAUAAUCCAAAGAAAACAAUUGAAGGUUCCACUUUCAAAAUCGAGUAUACAGAAUGCACAUGUGAGUCUCGACUACCAGUCGUAUGCCUCGCCAAAUAAUGAUUAAAGCAAGGGUGCAAAACAUGAAUUUUUGGAAACGAAAAGGUAAAAUGAAGACCUAGGCUCAAACAACCCAAAAGUCCUUCGCUCAAAUCACAAGUAAAUCCAACUAGCCUUCAAGUAAAAUUUCGGCAGCAUAUCCCUUGUGUUUACCUAUUUUCCAGCCAUCAUGGCUUCAUUAUUUCCUCAAAACAGUCCCAACAUCUCGUACAAAAAUAAUCUCAUUCCCAAAAGCCAUUCACUAGGCUUAAUGGCAUUCAAGUACAACAUUUAGCUAGAAAAUGACCGGAUAUGAAAGUCAAGCCCUAAACUAUUCAAAUAAACACAAUAAGACUCGAUUACAAGUCAUAAACCAAUUCUACAUACUACCAAAACAGGGUUCCCUAAGCAUACACAACAAUAGAGGAAACCAGAAAAAUCCGGAAAUGAUUUAGCUUUAGCCCUGAAAAAAAUAGUUUUUGUCCUUAUUUUACGGUAAUGGUGUCAAAGGCACUACGGUUAUCGGAUGAAGGUACAAGACCCACCGUUUCGAAGCUAAGAGAGAGGGCUACAACAUUACAGAAGGUCACUCAACCCAGUUUCCAGUGUAACCAGGUCAAAAAUGCAAGAUACCAUACCAGAAUCACAAAAACAGAUUCACAGAACGCAUUCUAGCGGAAACAUCACAACUCAGGCUCUCCAAGUCCAAAUCCAGCUGAAAGCUAAGAAACAGGGCUAAAUUUCAUCAGAAGGCCUCAACAACCAAUUCAGAAGCAAUUCCAGCCAAAACAACCAAUUACAGGCGCAAUUCUUGCAUUCGGGUAAAACCAGAAUAGCAAUAGUACUUUCGACUUUUCUCACUCUACGCUACUCCGAUUGACCUGAAAUUUUGUAGACACCUCUAAAAUGUCAUUCCCUACAACUUUAAUGUUUUAAUCCAAGACCAAUUCGGCCUCUAACUAGGAGCUAAAAAUUCGGGCAGAAUGUUCCUUCACAAAACCUAAUUUUCUGAAAUUUCUUCCAAAACAGAAAUUGAUUGCAAUUGUCCACUUUUUCCACCUUCUAGAAUCAUUAUAUACCAUUUCCAAUCAUCAUAGAUAGCCACACAACCAUACUUAUAUUAAAACAGAAAAAUCCCCAAAAAUAAUAAAACUUCAUCACUUCAACCACAAAUCAAGAAAUAAUCCAUAAACUUGCAUCUCAUACUACCACUAAUCAUGAUUUAAGCAUCAAUAAAGGGAGGAGAGUGGUUCUUCACAACUCACCUUAGAAACAAGAGAGAGAGAGCAACAAAGUAUUUAUGAAUAGUAACCGACCCGUCAGAACCCAACCAAAUAUCCAGUAAACAUUCACAUCUUGAAACUUAGCAUUUACAAGCCAAAGUGGCAUACAAAAGUAUUCAAAAGUGGAUACAUGUCUGGUUUGCCAAAUCAAAAGAGAAACGUCCCAAAAGUACAUUUAGGGUUUCAAUAAAUGAGUUAUACAAAAGAUAUGUCCAACUAGCUCAUUUCGGCAACCAAUUAUCAAUUGCAGUCCAAACGUAUUUAUUUUCCUGUAAGGAAAACAAAAGGAAUAGAGUGAGCUAAUUGCCCAGUGAGAAUACUACCCAAGCAACAAAGUUCACAUAGGCAUAAAGUUUUUCAUUUCAAUUCAUCAAAAGUAAGCCAAGGCACACGUCAAUAUUGAGGAUAAAAGGAUACGGGUGGCUCUCAAGAGCCCUUUUCCUCGUUUGCAUUCUUGAUCGGAUCUCAUUGACUCUCUGUCAAUGUUCAAAAGUAACCAACCGUAGACUCCACUUUACUUCCAUUCCAUCCACCUAACAUUCCCCUACCGGGCCCGAACUCCAAACACUUGCACUGUGGUAUUACUCGAGUAUACCGGAAUCGAGAGUCUCUCUUACUACAAGAUUCCAUAUAACACUUUCCCCAAGGAUCAUUAAUUGGCACGACCAAGCCCUCGCCGGCUCGAUUCAAUCGACUACCAAUGGGGUUGAGCUCAAAAAUAACAAUUGUAGUCGUUAGAUACUCGUCCAAUCGACACCAAAUCAAGUACUUUCAUUUCAUGUAACAUUUCAUAUAACAUUCCAAUAACAUGAUAAACAAUAAGUGAGAGUGAUAAAGUACGCUCUCACUUCAAUCAAUUAACAUUCAACUCAUCAAGUUAAAGUAUCAAAGCUAUAUAGUAACACAAGUGAGAAGUAGACUCACCAAACUUGCAAAUGGUGUUUCAUGCACUUCCAUCAAAAGAACGUCGUGAACCACCGUCACGCCCUAAAACAUGCAAACAAGUACAAUGAGACUUGAUAACGAGUCAUAAACCAAUGCCAAACAUGGCCCCAGUAGGGUUCCAUAAGCAUAUACAAGCAUUAGGGAAAACCAGAAAAUCCGGAAAUGAAACUAGUUGUAACCCUGAAAAAAAAAGUUUUCGACCUCAUUUUGCGGUAAUGGUACCAAAGACACUACGAUUAUCGGAUGAAGGUGCAAGACCCACUGUUUCGAAGCUAAGAGAUAGGGGUACAUAUUACAGAAGGUCACUCAACCCAGUUUCGAGUGUAACCAGGUCAAAAAUGCAAGAUACUACACCAGAAUCACAAAAACAGAUUCACAGAACGCAUUCUAGCGGAAACAUCAUAAAUCAGGCUAUCAAGUCCAAAUCCAGAAAUUCAAAACCAUCUGAAAGCUAAGAACAGGGUUACAUUUCAUCAGAAGGCCUCAACAACCAAUUCGGAAGCAUUCCUAACCAAAAUAACCAAUUACAGAAGCAAUUCUCCAAUUCGGGUAAAACCAGAACAGCAAGGGUAAUUUCGACUUUUCUCAAGUACGCUACUCCGAUUGACCUGAAAUUUUGUAGGCACCUCUAAAAUAUCAUUCCUACAACUUUCAUGUUUUAAGCCAAGGCCAAUUCGGCCUCUAACUAGGAGCUACAAAACCGGGCAGAAUGUUAUCAUCAUAAACCCUAACUUUCCAAGAUUUCUUCCAAAACAGAAAUUGUUUGCAAUUAACCACUUUUUCCACCUCAUAGAGUCCUUAAACAUCAUUUCCAAUCAUCAUAUAUAGCCACACAAUCAUGUUCAUAUUAAAACGGAAAAAUCCCCAAAAAUUAUAAAAUUCAUCAAUUCAACCACAAAUCAAGAAAUAAUCCAUAAUAUUGCAUCUCAUACUACCACUAAGCAUGAUUUAAGCAUCAAUAAAGGGAGAGAGUGGUUCUUCACAACUCACCUUAGAAACAAGAGAGAGAGAGCAACAAGUCCUCUUAGCUUUCCAAAUAACUCCACACAACACUUCACUAUCACUCCCUUAAGUGGUUUUAUGGAGCAAAAUCAAGGUUGGAUGGUUGAGUAAGUUGAUUGAAGCAAGAUUGAAGCCAAAAUCUUGAAGAGUUUUCUUUCUUUUGUUACUCAAGGAGCUCGGCCAAGAUGAAGAGAAAAUGGUGAAUUUUUGGUUAUUUUUUGAUUUAUUUGGUCAAUGGUAAGAAAAGGAAUAGUAGUCUUACUUAAGGACCAAUCCAAUGGUGACACUUGUCACCUCCAUUAAUGCAAGUCUAUCACUUUAUUUCCUCUCACACCAAUCCAAAUUGCAACCUCUACUUAUCUCUUAACACCCGGUAAAUUAAUUCAGUAUCCAAAACUUAACCUAGUUGGCCGAAUUUUUCCGAACUUUUCGCACUAGUGGGUCCCACGUCCGGUAUACACUCUUAAUUUCUCAAAACCUAUUCGAUACUAGAAAAAUCAUCUAAAAACUAUAUCUGCUCCUUAAAAGAUCUAGAAUUUUUCCUACUCACGAAAAUGCAGAAAACAAGCCAUGAAAGAUAAUAAAACCUAGAAAAUGGGAAAAAUUACGGGUUCUCACACUCUCUCCCCCUUAAAAGAAUUUCGCCCUCGAAAUUUCUCACCUUAACUCACGAAAAGUUCAGGGUAUUUCUUUCGCAUCUCCUCUUCCACUUCCCAGGUAGCUUCCUCUACCCCAUGGUUUCUCCAUAGUAUCUUCACUAACGGAAUCUGCUUGUUUCUGAGCUCUUUGACUUUCCGGUCAAGCACUUGGACAGGUUUUUCUUCGUAAGCAAGCGAUUCGUCCAGUCGAUCUCUUCGGGUUGUAAGAUAUGGGAUGGGUCGGGAUAGUAUUCUUGAGCAUCGAGACGUGGAAGACGUCAUGAAUUCUCGAGAGACUUGACGGCAGCUCUAGUCUAUAUGCCACCGCACCUAUCCUCUGUAGAUCUUGUAAGGUCCGACGAACCUCGGUUACAAUUUCUUUCCUCUACCCGCCGUGACACUCCGUAACGGUGUAACCUUGAGGAAAACACGGUCUCCAACUUCGAACUCCAAGUCUUUUCUUUGAUUGUCGGCGUAACUCUUUUGUCGGCUUUGAGCAGUUUGGAGUCGUUGCCGUAUCAACUUGACCUUUUCUCAAGCUCUUCCAUCCAGGAAUAGUGGUUGGAUCCAGUGCCUUCCUCUCGCCAACUUCGUCCCAGUAAAUUGGUGAUCGGCAUUUUUGUCCAUAUAGUGCUUCAUAUGGAGCCAUUUGAAUCGAUGAAUGGUAGCGUUGUUGUACGCAAACUCCACUAAGGUCAUGUGUUGACCCCAGUUGCCUCCAAAAUCGAGAAUGCAAGUCGUAGCAUGUCCUCGAGAGUUUGUAUUGUCCGCUCCGAUUGUCCAUCCGUCUGAGGGUGAUAGGUUGUGCUCAAGUUGAGUUUCGUUCCUAGAGUCUCCUGGAACUUUUGCCAAAAUCGAGAUACGAAACGUGGAUCUCGAUCGGAGACGAUGCUCACCGGAACACCGUGCAGCUUUACAAUCUCGUCCAUGUAUAGUUGAGCCAACUUGUCCUGGAAUACUUCAUGUUCACCGGCAAGAAAUGGGCCGACUUGGUUAAUCAUCGACGAUCACCCAAACGGCAUCGUGUCCUCGUUGCGUUCGCGGCAAACCUGAAACGAAGUCCAUGGUGAUGUUUUCCCACUUCCAUUAGGUAUCUCAAGGGGUUGUAACAAGCCCGACGGUUUUUGAUGCUCCACUUUAACCGUUGGAAACAAGACAUUUUUGCACGUACAACGCAAUUUCCUUCUUCAUAUUGUCCCACCAAUAGGUUCCUUUCAGGUCUUGAUACAUCUUGCUACUACCCGGAUGGAUUGUAUACUUGGACGAUGAGCUUCCUCUAGAAUUCUGUUUUUAACGACAUCUUUCGGCACCACUAUUCGGUUUCGGUAUUUUAAAAUACCCUCAGGACUAAAAUGGAAGUCAGUGGUUUCUCCUUUUCCCAUUUCUCUCCCCAUUUCUGCACCAGUGCAUCUUUCUUUUGAGCUUCUUUAAUCCUUUUCAGAAGGUGGAAGUCACUUUAAUAUUGCCAAAAAUCACCUUAUGGCUCCCAAGGCAGGGUUUCCACUCGCAAACCGACUCGAGCAAAUUCCACUCUUUAAUCAUUAAUCCUGCUACUUGCGCCUUGCGACUCAAAGCAUCAGCUACUACGUUCACCUUUCCUGGAUGGUAGUUGAUAGUACAAUCGUAAUCCUCCAGAAAUUCCAUCCACGCGCCGUUGCCUCAUGUUCAAUUCCUUCUGUGAGAAAAGGCACCUCAGGCUUUUGUGAUCGGAGUAAACCUCGAAGGUUACCCCAUAUAGGUAGUGUCUCCCACUUUUUAAGAGCGAAAACAACGGCAGCUAACUCCAGAUCGUGGGUCGGGUAGUUCUGCUCGUGAGGUUUUAACUUUCUCGAGGCAAAAGAUAUCACAUUUCGGUUUUGCAUUAACACACAACCCAACCCUUCUCGUGACGCGUCCGUAUACACGGCAAAUCCGUUACCUCCAUUUGGCAAGACGAGAACUGGAGCCAUGGUCAAUCUUUUCUUUAACUCUUGAAAACUUGUCUCGCUUCGGGCAUUCCAAAUGAAUCGCCCAUGUUUCUUCGUCAAGUCGGUUAAAGGACCGGCUAGUUUAGAAAAAUCCUUGAUGAAACGCCAGUAAUAGCCAGCCAGUCCUAGAAAGCUGCGGACCUCGGUGGGAUUUUCUGGCCUCUUCCAAUUAGUCACAGCCUCUACUUUUGCAGGGUCAACUGAAAUACCCUCUUGAGAAAUUACGUGUCCAGAAAAGCAAUUUUCUCCAGCCAAAAUUCGCACUUGCUGAACUUGGAGUACAGUUAAUGGUCUCUUAGGGUUUGUAAGACAAUCCUCAAGUGCUGCUCAUGCUCUUCACGAGUCUUGGAAUAGACCAGGAUGUCAUCGAUGAAGACUACUACAAAUCGAUCCAGGUAGGGCUUAAACACCCUAUGCAUUAAAUCCAUGAAGGCGGCAGGAGCAUUAGUUAGUCCAAAGGGCAUAACUGCGAACUCGCAAUGCCCAUAUCUCGAGUUGAAGGCAGUUUUCGGAAUAUCCUCCUUCCUGAUUAAUAACUGGUAAUACCCUUGUCGGAGGUCAAAUUCAAAUUUCAAAAAGACCACUGGGAUACUUAUUUUUCACCGUAAUAUUAUUCAGGCCCCGAUAAUCGAUACACAUCCACAACCGACCAUCCUUUUUUUCACAAAAAGUAGAGGAGCUCCCCAAGGAGACCCACUCUCUUGAAUAAAUCUCCGCUCCAGAAGGUCUUGCAAUUGCAACUUUAGCUCCUUGAGCUCAGCAGGAGCCAUUCGGUAUGGUGUUUUUGAGAUAGGUGAGGAUCCUGGUAGCAGGUCUAUUUUGAAUUCAAUCUCUCUUUCCGGAGGUAAGGCUACUAACUCAUCAGGAAACACGUCCGAAAAUUCCUUCACUAUGUGCACAUCCUCUACCUUUACUUUAUCCGAAGGGGUAUUGAUCAGAAAGGCCAAAAAUCCUUGCGCCCCUCUACUUAGCAAUUUUCUAGACCGAAUGCCCGAAAUCAAAGCAGAUGAGGCUAACCGACCCCUUAUAUGCAACCUUAAGGUCGCCUCACCAGGAAUGCGGAAUUCUACCACUUUUGUUUUACAAUCCAGUUGGGCGUUAUACUUGGCUAGCCAGUCCAUACCCAAAAUCACAUCAUACCCUCAAUGACCAGACUUAUCAAAUCCCCUAACAAUCUUUUCUCUCCUACCCACACUUCACAAUCCCUAUAAACCAUACUAGUAACCAAGCGUUGAUUCCCCGUAGGUGUACUAACUUCUAGGUCGUAUGGUAAACUAGCAGGUUUUAUAUCGAUGUCACACAUGAAAUCAGGGUUAACAAAGGAAUGAGUGGCACCAGGAUCAAUUAAAACCUUGGCAAAACGGUGGAAAAUAGGGAUCGCACCUUCUACGACCUCUGAGGAAUCUGGGACCUGUUGAGGUUCUAACGAAUAUACUCGAGCUGGCACUUUAGGUUUCGCCUCAUUCCCCUUAUUCUGUCCCGUAUUGGUCUUUGACGUGGUUUGAGUUCCCUUUCCGUCUUGCUUUAAGAGUGGGCAGGUAGCAAGCUGGUGGUCUGAGCUUCCACAUCCCAGACAUUUGCCUCCUUCUUCCAGCAAUUAUCUUCGGAAUGAUUCGGCUUUCCACAGUACCCACAAGGCCCGCGGGACGCCGAACCUGAACCCUUUUGGAAGUUUCCGCCUUGGCCUCUCCCGGCUGGGCCACCCCUAGACUGAGCCCCUCUACCGGAACCUGACUGUCGUCCACCUCCAGCUCCGCGUCCGAACUUGGAGGGGGUAUCUUUAUCCCCUUGUCCAGAGCUGCUUCCAGGAAAGCCCCGCUUUUUCGCCUGGAAGUUCCGCACUUGCAUCCUCGCGCUUUCUACCCGUUGGGCCUUCUCAACGGCCUCGCUAAAAGCAGUGAUUUGAGCCACUGCGAGGUCCUUUUGAAUUUCCACGUUUAGGCCGGAUAAAACGCCUAAUUCACCGUUGCUCUGUCACAAUCAACUCAGGGGCAAAUUUGGACAGACAGGUGAAUUGGCUUUCGUACUCCGCUACCGAUUGAUGAGCCCCUUGGCGGAGUCGGAUGAACUCGUCUUCCUUCCUCUCCUGAACUAGAGGAGAGAAAAAUUUCGCAUUAAACUCUCUCAUAAAAUUUACCCAAGUCCUGGGCGUUUGCUCCCGCUCCCAUUUUUGCUGAACGACGUUCCACCAAGAGCGGGCCGCCCCUUCCAGCUGGAAAACGGCAAAAGUCACCUGCCGUUCUUCAGUAUAGUGCAGGGCAGCGAAAAUAUCGACCAUCUUUUCAAGCCACCUCUCGGCGACAUCCGGAUCGGGUCCCCCAAUGAACUUGGGUGGAGCAAACUUUUGAAAUCGUUCGAGAGCUCUGUCUUCGCUCUCGACAUGAUUGCCAGGGUUUCCAGGAUGAGGGUUUGGGUUCUGGCCUUGUUGCUGCACCACUUGUGCUAGCAGGUUAGUCAUUUGCUGCAUAGCGGCAGCAAUUUGAACAUUGGGGUCAGAGUUAGGUCCAGAAGAGGUUUCCCCAGUACCCCUAUCCAGUGUGGGUUGUCUAUUACCGCGGCCACGCCCCUGUCCACUACGUGUGCCUUCCAUGAACUUUACUUGGUCUAGACAAAUGUACUAAACCAAUAUAAGAACAAUGCAUGUAAGUAAAAACAAAAAUUUUCCAAGCAGAUAUAUACAUUCCAAACAAGGCAAACAACACACAUAGCAACAAGCAGUCAAGUCAAAUACAAACAUGGACAAUCCCCAAGGGAAUGGCCUCAUCAAAAGAAAUAUACACAUAGCUAAUCUAGCCGUACAAAACGAUUAGCUAAGGCACUUUCCCUAUUCGCCCUAUGUACAGAAACAAAACUAUCCAAAACAAAUCCUAGGAGUCGUGACCUAGUCCGACGACGAGCUAGUAGACCCACCCGACGGGGUGGAUCCAACCCCAGCCUCGGCGAAUGAAAUGUCCAGGAAAGGGUGAAUGAAAUGAACAAAUGAAUGAACAAACGAGGGUUUAUUCACGAAAUGAAAUUUUCAAAUAAUUGGAGGAAUAAGGGGAAAUGGCAGGAGAACGAGCGAGCGCGCGAAUAUUUGGCUCCAUGUGGGCCCGUAUCCUUUUAAUGAAUGUUGCUAUCGCUUUCAUUGUAAAUGUUUCUUGAAUUAUUGAUACUCCAUCAUUGAUUUAUGACAUCAUUGAAAUGAACUAUUGUUAAACCGAUUUGAUUACUGAUUUUACUGGUUACUCGCUGAGCUUCUAGCUCACCCCAAAACUAUUUUAUUCCCCUCCACAGGGCUCGUGGCGAAGGAAGGCUUGUUGUGAUUUUAUUGUUGUGGAAUUCCUCUUGUGUAAUAAUUGGGAUCAUGGAUCAGAGUGGCGCAGCGGAAGCAUGGACUCUUCGCUUUUGGAUAGGUAUUAGUGGAGAAUUUGAUGUAAUAUUUGAGAUUUAUCUUGUAAUUCAUUUGAGUUAUAUUGAGAUUUAUCUUAUAUUUGUUUGAGGACUGUAGUGAGCGACUGAGUCCCGGCGAGAGCUGGGCAGGCGGCCCGCCGAACCCUCUGGUUCGCCUUAGGGGGAGGUGGGGCUGUCACAGAAUCUCUCAUAAAUUCUCUAACCUCUUAUGAGCUGAAACUCAAGUCCAAGGUGCAGGAGGAAGAAGAUGCAAAGUUGAGAAAGAGCAUUGCUCUAAAAGCCUCGCAAGAGGAAGAUGACUCAGUCUCCUUGGAUAGAAACGAUAUGGAAGUUGAUGACAGUGAUAUUGCACUCAUCACAAGAGGCUUCAAGAGGAUUCUCAACAAAAAGAAAUUCAGAAAAGAAGGAUCUAGCAAUUCAUUUCCAAAUCAGUUCAACAACUCACGAAACAAAGGGAAGCAAGAGUUCAACAAGAAGUAAACUGACAAAUGCUUCGAAUGUGGCCAACCUGGACACUAUGCGAAUGAGUGUCCAAUGAAGAAAAAGAAAGAAGGAAAAUUUGAACGAAAACCAAAGUUAACAACUUCCAGAUUACUUGGAAUGACUGCAACUCAGAAGGUGAAGUCGAAGAAGAAGAGGAAUCUGCCCAAAUGGCUUUCAUGGCCAUUGGUGAUAAAGAGAUAACAACAUGUAACUCUCAAACUAGUAGUGAUAAUGAAUCUGAUGAUGAUGUUAAUUCUUUUAUGGAAAGAAUGCACAACAACUUGAAAGAAUCCUAUGUUAGAAACAAGGAGCUAAAGCAAAAGAUCAACUUUCUGUUUCAAGAUAGUGCAAACCUGUUUCAACAAAACAAGAAACUGAAAAAUGAAAUGAAAACCUGAAUAGGACUAAAAUUGAGUUAUGUGCUGAACUCGAUAGAAAAAUAAACUUCUGUGACAUGCUCAAAAAUGAACAUGGAAGUUUGAAAAAAAAAUGGAAGAUCUUGAUCAGUUACUUCAGCAUAAGAAACAAAACUCUUUCAAAGGAAUGACACAAAGCCUCAUUUUGGCAUUCAUGGGAAAGGCUGAAUUCUAGUGCAAAUGAGUUUACUAUUUAUAAGAGAAGGUAAAUCAAUUUAUUAAACCUGUCCAUGCAAGUAACUCACUGACUAUGUGCAGUUUUUGUUGUCAGAUUGGUCAUAUGAAGAGUAAUUGUUAUGUGAGGAAGAAUAUGAGAAAUGGUAUGAAAUGCAUGUGGAUAGUUAAGUAUAAUGUAACUCUCAAGACCCAAAAAGUAAAGGGUACCAAAUAUUAUCAUGUGAACUUUUUUGUAGGCGAACUUGGUGAAUAUUAUCAAGGAAUCAAAAUGGUUCAUAGAUAGUGGAUGCUCAAGGCAUAUGACUGGUGAUCCAUCACAAUUCAUCAAGCUCAAACCAAAAGCAAGUGGAAAGGUAACUUUUGGAGAUGAUAACAAAGUCAAAACUGUUGGAGUUGGUGAUAUUGGUAAGAAUGGUCAAAUCUUUGUUCACAAUGUUCUUUUAGUUGACAAUCUGAACUAUAACUUGUUAAGUGUUAGUCAAUUGUGUGAUAGAAAUCUGUUGUGUGUUAUUUAAAAAGCAUGAAUGUCUUGUUCUUGAUUCAAAGUUCAAUACUAUCUUCAAGGGAAGUUAAUGACAUUUAUGUUGUAAUUUUGAAAAAUGUUGAUUCUUCUAGUUUUAAAUGUCUUAAAGUUGCAAAUGAAAACCCUUGGUUGUGACAUAGAAGGUUUUGUCAUUUCAACAUGGAUUUACUAAAAGAGAUUUUCAAAAGGAACUUGUUAGAGGAUUGCCAAAAUCAAAUUUGAAAAGGAUAAAAUCUGCGAUGCUUGUCAAUUUGGAAAACAAGUCAAGGUUUCUUUUAAACCCAAGAAAUGUAUUUCUACCACAAAACCUUUGGAACUUUUACAUCUUGACUUAUUCGGUCCCACACAAACCACUAGUUUAGGUGGUAAAAGAUAUUGCCUUGUUGUUGUUGAUGAUUAUUCUAGAUACACUUGGGUUGUUUCUUGCACACAAAGAUGAUACUUUCAAAAAAUUUGUUUCAUUAUUUGCUAAGGUUCAAAAUCUGAUUGAGUUAAAAAUCAUCAAAAUCAGAAGUGACAAUGGCACAGAAUUUUUUUUUGUGGCUUUCCAGAAUUUUGCAAUAACAAUGGCAUUACACAUGAAUUUUCAAUUGCAAGAGUUCCCCAACAAAUGGGGUUGUUGAGAGGAAGAAUAGAACACUUCAAGAGGCUGCUAAGACCAUGUUAAGUGAGUGCAACUUACCAAAAUAUUUUUGGGUUAAAACCAUAAAUACAGCCUGCUACACUAUGAAUAGAAUUCUUUUUAGACCAAUCUUGAACAAAACCUCUUAUGAGUUGAUAUUUGAUAAAAAGCCUGUUGUUGGAUACUUCAAAGUUUUUUGUUGCAAAUGUUUCAUUUUGAACAUCAAGGAACAUCUGGUAAGUUUGAUAAAAAAUCUGAUGAAGGAAUUUUUUGAGGUAUUGUGAAAAUAAGAGAGAUUUUAGAGUUUACAAUCGAAUGAUGCUGAUUAUUGAAGAAGCUAUACACAUUACUUUUGAUGAAUCUAAUGGUGAUAUUUUCAAAAGUAGUGGUGAAGAUGAUGAUGCAGGUGUUCAAGAAGAACUAAAGAAGCUCUCAAUCAAUGACCAAGACAUUGCUUCACCAGAAAAUGACUCAAAGGAAGAUGAUUCUCAAGACAUUCCAGCACCGGAAGACAGUGACAGAGAUGUGAGUACAUCUAACGAUCUUUCAAGAGUUUGAAAAUUUGCUCAAAACCAUCCUAAAGAGCUCAUCAUUGGUGAUCCAUCAGAAAAGUUCAGAACUCGUUCCUCCUCUAAACAAUUGAUGGAUAAUUUUGCAUUAGUCUCACAUUUCGAACCCAAGAAUGUUGUUGAUGCCUUGAAAGAUGAGAACUAGAUUUUAGCUAUGGAAGAUGAGCUAAAUCAAUUUGAAAGGAACAAGGUUUGGACAUUGGUUGAAAGACCUCAAAAUCAUCCUAUUAUUGGAACGAAAUGGGUUUUUAGAAAUAAAAUGAAUGACAAAGGUAAGGUUGUUAGAAAUAAGGCCAGACUUGUAGCCAAGGGAUAUGCUCAAGAAAAAGGAAUAGACUUUGAUGAAACAUUUGCACCCGUGGCUAGGUUAGAAUCAAUUAGAAUGUUUUUGGCCUUUGCAUGUUUCAAGAAUUUCAAACUAUUUCAAAUGGAUGUAAAGGCUUUAUUGAUCAAGAAGUAUAUGUUGAUCAACCUCCUGGUUUUGAAAAUGAGAUUUUUCAUAAUCAUGUGUUUAAACUCUCAAAAGCUUUUGUAUGGAUUAAAACAAGCUCCAAGGGCUUGGUAUGAACGUCUAAGUGAUUUUUUGAUUGAAAAUGGUUUUAAAAGAGGAAUUAUAGAUACCACUCUUUCCACUAAACAAAGUACGCAUGAUCUGUUAAUUGUGUAAAUAUAUGUGGAUGACAUUAUAUUUAGUGCUACUAAUGAGAGUUUGUGCAAGGUUUUCUCCACAAUAAUGCAAAAAAAGUUUGAGAUGAGUAUGAUGGGAGAAUUAAAUUUCUUCCUUGGACUCCAAGUGGUUCAAACCCGAGAAGGAACAUUCAUUAAUCAAGCAAAAUAUACCAAGGAGUUGCUCAAAAGAUUUAGAAUGGAAGAUUCAAAGCAAGUUGGAACACCCAUGUGCACCUCUACUAAGUUUGACAAGGAUGAAGAAGGUACAAAGGUUAAUGAAAAGAAUUAUAGAGGUAUAAUUGGUAGCUUGCUUUACUUAACUGCUAGUAGACCUGAUAUCAUGUUUGCUGUAUGUUUCUGUGCUCGCUUUCUGUCCUGUCCAAAGAAAUCUCACUUAAAUGCGGUAAAAAGAAUUCUUAGAUACCUAAAAGGAACUAUGAAAUUUGGCUUAUGGUAUCCUAAGUGUCUUGAAUUUCCUUUAUGUGGAUUCUCGGAUGCUAACUUCGGUGGGUGUAGGGUAGAUAGAAAAAGUACAACGGAUAUAUGUAACUUUCUUGGAAAAUGCUUAGUAUCUUGGUGUAGUAAGAAGCAAAAUGCCAUUUUCCUAUCUACAACUGAAGCAGAAUAUGUUACUGCCGGUGCUUAUUGUGCUCAAUUAUUGUGGAUGAAAAACACAUUGAAUGAUUUUGGAUUGAUGUAUGAUUGUGUGCCUAUGUAUUGUGAUAACACUAGUGCAAUAAAUUUAACAAAAAAUUCCAUCCAACAUUUUAGGACAAAGCACAUAGACAUAAAGCAUCAUUUCAUUCGCGAUCUUGUCCAUAAGGGUGAAAUUUGUGUUCAAUAUGUCUGUUCAAAAGAUCAAAUUGCUAAUAUACUCACAAAAACCUUACCACUGGAUCAAUUUGUGUCCUUGAGAACAAAAUUGGGCGUUUCAGAAAAAAUACUCUAAAAAUUCUCUGGUCACUCUUUAUCGGACGUCCGAUGUGUUAGAACGAACCGUCCGACAGUGUUCUUGAUCAUUUUUUCCAGAAUGUUCUGGUUUGAACGGCCAUGUCGGACGCUUUACUUCGUUCGGCCGUCCGACACUCAAAAAUUGCGUCUUAUAAGGAAGUCCUCUGUGCCAUUCAGUUCAUUCUCACUCCUCGUCUCGGACGUAACCCUUCAUAUUCUCUCAAUUUCACAAAAUUCAAAUUCAUCUCUCUUCGGAACAAUUUUCAAGUAAUCACUCUGACCGUCACCAUUACAUACCUAUUCCGAGUUAAUUGCACAUCAUAACUUCUCCCAACUUUCAACUGCACUAUAAAUCCCAAUUCUAACCGAAACCCUAACCACCCAAAUUUACUCUCUGUGGACGAAUUCUAACAUCCAUUGUAGUUCAUACUGCACUUUCAAAUUCUUUGACACUUAUUUGCAUUACACACCACAUCAAAAACACACUGCAUUGCAAUCAUGGUGAGGAUUAGAUGAGGGUCUGCGAGUGCCGGACGCACCUUCAGGCUUAGAGAUGAAGAGGAUGAAGAUGUUCAAGUUGUUGAACCUUCCAUCAAGUCACCCAAAAAGAACUGGAAAUCGUGGUGGAAAAACAAAGCAGUCUGCAAAGAAAAUGCAGACUGUUCAAACCACAGAACCAUCUGUUGAACCAACUAAUGAGCAGAUGGAGGAGCAACAAUCUGAAGAGCAUCCAGUCAGUGGCAAUGAAAAGGAACUGGAGCAACCCACCAGUGAAGAUGUAACCAUCACGAAAUCACCCAGAAAAGGAAAAAGGACCACCAAAAGGGAGAGCAUUGCUCAACCCAAGGAAAGGGAAACUAUUGAUCCUUCAGGGGAAUAGCAGGAUGCAGAAAAAAAUGCUGAGGAAUAGCAAACUGCUGAACCAUCUACCAGGAAGUCACCAAGGACGAGGUCUGGUGUCCAGAGUACUGUGCCAACUACUCAUCGCACUGAAAAAGAAAGCGUCCUGCAAAUGAGCAACCUGAGGCUCAAAUUGUAGAGGAAACCACUCCCUUGCCCAAGUUCAUUAAUGAUGAUGCCAGGGAGAGGUUCGAAUGGAUCUCACAGAAAGGCUUCAUCACUCAAAGGACCAUUAUCCCCUACGAAUUCCGUAAGAUUGACCUUGAACCUGUUCUCAACCUUUUGAAUUCCAAAAAUGGACCCAUCUUCUGACCAUUCCAAACACAUACUAUCCUGACAUACUUCAUCAAUUUUUGCCAAACCUUAGGAAGGGCAAGUCAUACACUGAUCUCAUCUCACGUGUCAACUGUGUUAACAUAGAACUGAAUCCUGACAUUGUUAACACUGUUUUGGAAACCAAAAUUGGAAGAUGAUUUUAAAGGAAAAAUUACAACUUCUUUUCAUACGAAAAAUUUCCUUCUGCCUACCAUGCUUUCAUGUUGCAAAAUUGAUGACCUAUUUUCAAACUCGUUUCAAUACUCCUUCUGAGGCGAGAUUGGAGGAUCUCAGUCCUCACAAAUCUGAUCAUUUUUUCAUAAUUUCAAAUCUGUUGGUGCCCACUGAUGGUCACAGGACCGACGCCAAAAAAAUGUAACUUUAUCUGUUCUACUGCUUUUUGAAAAAAUCAGAAUUGAUUUUGGCUUUGUCAUGUGCCAGUUUUUGCUCAAAAUAAGCACUGAUAGUCAUAGAAACUUUCCUAUGGAAAAUUUCUGACUAUUUUUGUUCACUUUCAAAUCCCUUUACUGGAAAAUCUCCAAAACAGGGUGCAUCAACUAUUUUCUCCAAGAUUUAUUUUGAAAGGAAAAAUCUGAAAUUUUUUUAGGAGAUUGGUGUUACAAGGAAACUGUUUCAAAGUCUAGGGGAAAGAGCCUUCAUGAAACUCCUGUUACCCCUAGGAUCCCUCGUGAUCAGUCUAUGUAUGUGUCACCCUUCACCAUCUAUCCUAGAAAGUCAGCCACCUAGUCAUCUUCAUCCAACCUUGAAGUCAUCUCUCUGCUUGGGGACCUCAAACAACACGUCCUACUCCUUGAAGAUGGUCUGAUGAUGACCAUACAUCGAUCAACAAGCCACCUUCAUUGCUAAAAGGAAUCUGCUUGUGCCUCCAAUUUCUCAAGAAAAUGAAAAUGCACACCAAAAAGAGCUCAGAACUGAGCCCACUAUUGAAACUACCCAGAGUAUCGUGCCUCCAGUUCUCAGCCAUUGAAUAAAGGAAAAGCUCAGCAACUAAAACAAAGACUGAAGAGGAUGAUGAUGAUGAUGAUGAUGACGAGGACAUUGAAGAGGAAGAAGAUCCUGCUCAGUUCGCCUAGCAAGGAGAAGACCUGGAUCCUCCAAGAUCACCUUUUAGGCACCUCUAGGCAAAUGCACUUCAUUUAGGCACUUCUAAGCUUUUGGCAUCUUUUACAUUAUAAACAAUUUGUGUUCUGUACUAAGGAUUCUACCUUGGCAUCGUUUGUGUUAUCUCUCUGUUUUGGAUGAAUGUUGCUUAACUCUGUUUAGCCUUAAAAUUCUGAUAAUGACUGCUGUUGUUAAUUACUGACUAUUGCCAAUAUUGCUGCUGUUGAUAGCAUUGCUGAUAGUAUUGACUGGAUGAGUGAUUGCUAAUUUCUGUUGUUAACAAUUGCCAAAAAAUUGUUGAUGCUGUGUUUUUGGCUUAGUAGUUUUGAAUUCUAAUAUUGAAUACUGGACUCUAAUAUUGAUGAUCAGAUUCUGGUUGUUUUAAAUGAUGACAAAAAGGGGAGAAAUGGUUGUAUAAGUAAGGGGGUCAUUCUAAGGGGGAUUGUGCCAAAUUAUUCUAAGGGGUUUUGUGUCCAUUAAUCUUAUGUGAGAGGACUGCAUCAAGUAGGGGAGAGUUGUGUCCUGAUUUUUUUUCCAUUGUUUUGUCAUCAUCAAAGAGGGAGAUUUUUAUCUCAGUUCGUAGCUUUUGAUGAUUACAAAACAAAAGGAUGAUUACUAAUGUUCUCUCAAAAGACUCUUUCAGAAAUGGAGCAAAACAGGUUCAAAAAUUAAAGCACAAAGGAUGCUAAGCUGCUAUCAGACGCGCAAGAAGACUGGAUCGGACGUCCGACAACUUUUGCAAACUUCGGACAAAUGAAGAACCUCACCCUGACAUCCGAAAAUAUUAAGUCAUUCCCUCUAAACUCACUGACCUCGAUCAGACGCAAUCCUCAAAGCACCGGACGUCCGACAAGAGUUGCGACACUUCGGACGCAAAGCCUUGAAGGGAUUGGACGUCCGAAAAGAAUUAAAGAAGAACUCCCAGUUUCACCUCCUACCGUCGGACGCAUAUAUUGAAGGUACUGGACGUCCAAUAUAAUUCAAGAGGAUUUCUUGAACUCACUGCCUACGUUCGGACGCAAGAAGUUGAUCUACCGGACGUCUGACACUACCAACGGCUAGUUCACUCUUCAACUACCUUCUAUCCGUUGGAAGUAUUAAUUGAGGAACUUUUUGGUCCCAUAUAAAUAGAACAAAGUCAACCACUUCAAAGGAACUUUCCACAUUGAGACUACAUCAAUCAAGAGUGAUUCAAGUGUGAGAAUACUCUUCAAAAAGAAGAUUUGUACUCUUAGUUGUGUAACUUUCAAUAAGUUUUUCUAGUGUGAGUCAACUACUUCAAUAGUGUAGCUUUGUGAGGGUUAUCCGAGUGAUUGUAAAACUUCAUUGCUUGACCAAGUGUGGCUUGGGGCAAGGAGGAAGUGAUCCUUCCCUUAUACACAAAAGAUUGGUUGUAAGUUGAUCAACUUGAAAAAGCUUGCUCUAUAAAGUGAUAUCCAAAUUCAAGAGGAGUUUGACAUUUGGUUUGGUAUUCUAUCCCCUUUUACUUAUUGUUUUGAUAUAUAAACUGUUCAUCUCUUCUACUCACAAGCACUUGCGCUUUCUCUUCUAUUGCUUGAUUGUGUGGUCGUUUAGAAAAAAAGAACAAGUACUAAAAAAGGUGUCUCAUAUCUUGGCAAGUUUUUUAAACCACCUAAUUCACCCCCCCUCUUAGGUUGUCUUCGAUUCUUACAGAAUCAAACUCUAAUUUUUACACCGUAGGAAGAUCUAUGAGUGUAGUUUCAAAUGCAACAAACGGAACUCAAUUCCAACUUUUCUAUACGAAGUUAUAGCCAAUUUUUCAAAGCUACACAGAGCCUCCUGCGAAAAUUUCUAGAUUUUCUAACAAUUUGAGAUUAUGAAACAUUUCUUAACAAAAUUUACUCCCUUGACUCAAAUUCAACCAUUAAAGCAACCAAGAAUCAAAGGUAAGUGAGUUCACAUAAGGAUUAUAAAGACAAGUAAAAUUUCGGAGUCUCACACUCUCUCCCCCUUAAAAGAAUUUCGUCUCGAAAUUCGAACCUUUGCUCGCACAAAACUUGAUGUUACAGGAUUUUCCUCCAAUUCCUAAGUGGCUUUCUCUUACUCACAGUACUGCCACAAACUUACCUAGAGGAAAAAUCACGCCGACGUAAUGGCUAAGUUGCAUGCUAAGGAAGUUCAAUGAAGGCGUCAAAUUGUGCAAAAUGAUAUAAAUUUAAGAACUCGAUGAAAAGGAAAAUUCGUAACUUAUGAACUUGAUUACCACUCUCGCCUACCAUUCACACCUCUUUUGAAAAUAGACUUAAAGGUACAAUAAAAAUGAAGUAGCUAUAAAGUUCGAUAAAUCAUUUUCAAAUCAUAAAUACUUAUGAGUUUCAAAAACUCUCAAUCUCGGCACGAUAAUAAUCAAAAUCAAAUUUCUAUGCGGUAUCGGAGAAGGGUAGAAAAUAGAAAAUAAAUAGUCAAGCAAGAGUUAAAAUGAGUUUAAAAGAAAUAAAUGUGUAACCAUAAUCAAAUCAUAGCAAAAUCAUAGAGACAUGGAACAAGGAUACACAUGUACGGGAGAAAUGAAACAUGCUACAAUACUAGCGCCUUAACGUUCACGACGUCUACAAACUAGCUAUCAUCCCUAGAAACCCUAGCCAGACAUGCACGAAGACAUCCAUGACGACACUCAUUGCUCCACUCUCCUUGAUCAGUUCAAUCUCAAGUCCAAUACUAGAAUCUUUCACGCCUUGACGUUUACCAUCCAAAUUUAUCUCAAGUUCAAUCGAGAUAUAGACUCUUAUUCUAGUGCUCUCCACUUUUGGUACUCAAGUACAAGAAUCCAUAAUAAGAUAAUUCAUAACUCGAGCCAGCCAGUCCCAAGAGUAAAUCACCCCUACUAGAGAUUCCUACUUGACGUACAUAUCUAUCAUCCCCAAAUACCAUGAUAAGCGAUUUUCACUUAUAACAGGCACGAUUCAUAGCUUACGUCCAAGAAGAGCACUUAGUCCUUUACCCUUAUUCACAUAAUCGGGACCAUAUCACCACUUGGCUCAAUCUCACUACGCGCAAAGACCACGCGAAGCAGCUCUGAUACCAUCUGUGAUGACUGUGACGACCCACUUUCCCCUAAGGCGAACCAGAGGGUUGGCGGGCCGUCUGCCUAGCUCUCGCCAGGACUCACGCAAGCAAGCUAGCAAAAAUCCUUCCGAAGUAUAACCUAAUCUAUUACAACAUCGUUUCCCUCCAAAUAAGCCGGUUUCUAGAAUCACAUUAACUUCAGAGAUAACAGUGCCUUAAGAUAGCCAACGUCAAUUCUUAAAAUACCUUCCCGAAUACAACCCAAGAACAAAACAUCAAUUCAAAUACAUCCUUACAAGCCAAGUAACAAAUUCAUACAAGCCACAUACAAAUCCAGGGUUUACACUUUUCCAGCUUCAAGUGGCAACCUAAGGCAAACUACAAUGUUUAACUCGAAUUACAUUCAUGAAAGUAAACAAUCUAGUACUACUUCCGAGCACCUUUGGUCUCAAAUCCUGUAAAUGAAAAUCACAACGUGGAAUGAGCUACACAACCCAGUGAGCUUCCAAGACACUCUAACAGUUCAAACAAAUCAAGAAAGUUGUGCAUGUCAUAUGCAUGGUUCGAGGUUACACAAUGGCAGUUUAUCAUGAGGUGAUAAUCAUUACUCGGGUAAUUGCUACUUUGAAAACACAUGUAGUAGUAGUACUUUUGCUGGUAACUUUACUAUGAGUACAACUCAUAAAUUAUCUAAAAUCACUAACGUAUUUUUGGAAUGAAUGACCAUAUAAAUAUAUUUUCAUGAAUUUUUAGUCAAACAAAUAGUGGCUCGUCUGACUAGAAGAACAUUACAAGGAUUGCUUCAUCUCAGAGAUUAAUGCUCAUGAGGAGUCUUACCCGAGAAAUGUCAACUAGGAGAGCAAUAACAGUAUUAAUAGUAAAGCAAACACAAAAGGAUUCAGUACUCGGUCCACUUCCCGUCCUUAUAACUCCCAUCGGUAACUCCUUCGGUUGACUGGCCAUCACCUUAUCCCUCCAGUGGUAGUACUCGAGUAUACCGGAACGGUUGUCCAGGGUUCCAACCUACCCGACCGAGCCCAGUCCUGGCUCGAGUAGGUCAGUAACCGAGGCAGGGCCCAAGUUCAGCUUAUAGCUUACAACAUGCACAGGUAACCAAGUAAUUCGACAAAAAGUAAAAUUCAUCAUUUGAAUAGGUCGAGUGAGGUAAAGUACACACUCGCCUAACAAUGAUGGACAACUUCAUAUAACAUGUGAUUCAUGAUAAUCAAGUAAUCAAGUGGAUACUUAGCACGUAAGCACGUAAGCAAUACAAGUUGAUUUCAUGGGAGCAUGUAAUUCACGGAUAUCGAAUAAUCAUAUAGAUUAGAAAUCAUGUGAGCAAAUAGUCAAGUAAUCAGGUAGUCAUGUGGGUUGGUAAACGGUUCACGGUUAACGGUUAACGGUUGACGGUUAAUGGUUGAGUAAUGACGGUUAUUUGGCAGGCAUUUGCCAUAUUAAUAGGCCAUCAUUGGCCGUUAUCCCAUUUUUACCAUGUGAGAGUCGAGGAGAUUCACUCCAACGACGUAUGCAACCAUAGCAUACCAAGUCAUGUUAUUCGAGCAUUUUCAAGCAUGGUAUGGUAAAUAUUUAACACAUAGUACUUAACACUUAGAAAUCAUGAAAUGAGCAUGUCCUAGACUUAUUCCAUUACGUAUUCCUAUAUGGAACACUCACCUAGUCAAACAAGCGCAAUAGGUCUCAAACAAGCGUUUUAGGCGUCCGCUCCGAAUUCCUCUUGGAGAUCUCCUUGAUUGCCUGAGCAAACAAUAAUUCAAGUACCACUCAAUAUCGCUACGAAUUCUCUAGUUUUCGAUGAAGAUUGUACGCUAGUGCAAUCUAAGAAAUUAACGCGGAGACGAGCCUAAGAAUUCGUGUAACUCGAGGUUCAAAAGUGGGGUUUUAAAACACAAGACAAAUCUGAUUUCCAUCUCUGGAUUCAAAUGUAAAACAAUCAAAUGAUAUUGACAGAAAUGAAGAGUUCGAAACCCCUUAGUUUCCUUUAAGUUAGAAAAUUCCAGAUUUAACAAGUAAUCUUUGAAAAAUCAUAUCUUACUCUCUACAGCCCAAAAUUGGAAAACUUGGUACUAUUGGAAACCUCUUUGAAAGUACUAAAAGUUCCUAGAAUACACUUUUCUAAGAUUCCACAUAGAAAACAUUCAAAAAUAAGCUCAAAGUCUCUGUUUUGGUUCAUAAGGCAGAUUUAAGUUGGUUUUUGGCCAACUUUGAAAACUCGGCAAAAUUCACUUGAUUGAAACUAGCCUUUGAAAUUUGUAACUCAAUUAGUGUUGUAAACCAAGAGUAUAACAAAAUAGACAGAAUGAGAAACAGAGUUUUGAGCACCAAGAUACGGUAGCUCAAAGUUACUAAAAUUUUCUUGUUAAACAAGGGUUUUCAAACUCAAGUCAUAAACUUUGGUAAUUUAUUUGAGUCAUGAAACGGUCUCGGAAUAACACCAUAACUAGCAGUAUAAUACUACCAUAUAAGGGUUGUCCUUAUACCAAAUUUCAUGGAAAAUAACUUCGGAAAGGUGGUCAAUCAAACACCUAAAAUUUCGCAAAUAGUAAGACAAAACUGCCUUGAACCUUUUGUUUUUCCAUUUCAGACAUUUGGUCAAAGAAAAAUCCCUCCAAACCUGGUUCAUUUGUUUAGGCAAAAUUUAAAGAACGUUCAUGGUACAUUUGGUAAGUGUUUAGCAUCAAAAUAUUCAUUUAGCAAGUCUUUGCCAAACCUUGCAUCAAAUCUGUCUAAAAAUCAGGGUUUUCAAGGACAGAGCAGGUUUCAUAUUUUGAUCACAGAUCACUCAAAUUAACUCAGAAUUUGGCAUGGUUUAAGGCGUUGGAAAGCACAUUCAUAGAGCUAUAAUUUCACAGAAGAAAUCAUUUUGAAAUUCAGCAUACAACUAGCUCUAAUUCGAGCCACAAGUUGCAGCCUCAGCAUUUUGUUCUUGUAAAACAGAGAAACAGAACAGCCGACUUAAAAUGGUUGGUUUGGCUCACAUACAUGGAACCAGAAUGUGCAUUUUAUAUCGUCGGAAAGGUUGGAAUGUCUAGUUUCAAAUGCCACUGACGGCACUCGAUUUUGACAUCGGAGCUCAAAAUUAUGGCUGAAAUACGAAAGCUGGUCAAAGCAUUUCGGAAAUAGUUCCAGAUUUACUAGCUUUGUGAAAUCAAUUUAUUUGACCAACCAAACCUCAAUAUUUUUCAAUGAAACUUUGUACACCAUAUAUUCAACAUAUCAACGUGAUAUACAAGUCAUGAAACCCUCAAAAUUUUGCAAAAAGGGGUGCGAUUAAAACAGGGCAAAUCUGAACAUUUUUGAACUAUGCAUCUCUUGGAGUCUAGACUAGCUAGGUAUCAUUAAUCUACCUAUUUAAACACUAACUAGCAUUAUAUCCAUCAUCAAUCCAAGGGUGGGAGUUCAUAGAGCCCACCAUCAAAAUUUUCCGACAUGAAAUAAAACAAAUAGCAUGUGAUUUUGGCAAAUAAUUCCACCACAAUAAAUCUGUCCUCGGCUAAACAGAAUUUCCAGCAGCUAGUUGGUCAUAAAUCCAACUUUUUACUCGGCUAAAACAUGAUAUUAAGUACUCAAUUUCGACAUGCAAAUACUUGACUAGCUAAUCAGAUCAUCCAAGUCAUUGUGGGAAUUCAUAGAGCCCACUCACCAAGUUUCCAUUAAAACUCAAAAGAGCCACCAUCGGCUAAGCUGGAAAAAAAAUUGCAGCAGCUAUGUUUCAACAUUUUUGGUCAAUUCAUCCAACGGAUCAAGUACUUUACAACUGAAUAUCUUACAAGACUUAAGACACAUAUAUUUCAUGCAUUUCUAAACAUUGUUUGCUAAUGAAAAAAAAUUCCAGAAACGACUGCAAAUUCUGGUUUCACUCCCUUGGCAAGUCACGUAAAUUUUCCAGCAUUUACUCAGUCACGAUCCAAUUUUUUUCUUCAGCUAAAACCUUGUAUUUUGCACUCAAAUCUCACAUGCACAACUACUGCACUAAUUAGCUAUCAAUUCCAGUCCAGAAAUCAGUUCGACAACAACAAGUUUCAUCCAUAAUUCCAGAAAUUUAUUCGGCUAGCCCCAGAUGAGGUUGCAUGCAUUAGAUUUCUGUUUCAUUAUCCAUUUCCUUGCUUAACCGAGCCAUUGAGUUGCAUGCAAAGCUUAAACACUUAGUUUUUAGUUGGUUAAUCACAAAUGCAAGCCCAGAUCAUCACAUUGGAGCAAAUUAAAAACUGCAUUUCCUAAUUAACUCACGGCAGUUUCCAUUUUCUUUCGAACCCAAAUUCUGGUAUCUUAAUUUUCAUCCAAACGUACAACUCUCACAUACAUGCCUUUAAACAGCUUCAUCUACCUAUAAACAACUCAUCUAAGUCCAGAAAUUACCUCAGCUUGAAGCUUAAUACACACGGCUAGUAGCUGCAACAAUCCUCCACCUUCGGCUGUCCAGAAUUGCAGUCCGCAACACUCCCUCUCCCCGACUCAAACUUGCGGCUGGAUUGGAGAAAGUUUGGCUCUCGGCUCUCUCUCUCUCUCUCUCUCUCUCUCUCUCUCUCUCCACCAGCUCACGGUAGAAUGAAGAAUGAACAGCAGGUCUUGCUCUUUUUUUUUAGCUUACGGCAGAAUGAAAAACAAAGCAAAGAAUCCGGCUCCCUCUUCCUCACUGUUGUCGAUGAUACCGAGGCAGAGAAAUGGAAGUGAAAUGGGGUUGUUGUGUUAGUGGAAUGUAUAUGUAUAUAUUGCGGUGUUUUAGUGAAGUUGAGUCAACAAUAAGAAUGGAGGGUGCUGGAAUAAGAAAUGGAAAUGGAACCGGCAGAAAUUGGAAAUGUUUGGAAUGAAGAUUGUUUAAUGUUUCCGUGGCUGCAUGGUAAGUCCAAGAUAAUGGAGGCCAAUUUGGUCUUUUCACUUUUCAUCCGAAUUCCACUUAAGCCCUCGAUUCUAAUCUAACUCCAAACAUUUACCCCGAAUGCAAUUUGAAUGCCUACUAGUAUACUCGUCUCGCAAAAAUUAAACUAUCGAGAUUUUAACGUCCUAAGUAUACUUAGUGUUCUUGUAACGAUUUUGUCUAAAAUUUAUCGACUGCAUUUUAAUACCAAGGUUCCUAUUAACCGUUAACAUUAUUAACGAUUGAACUUAGCUAUCGGAAUUUAAAGAAUUUAUUUUAAGGCAAUAAUAUUAAUCUAACUCUAGAAAUAUUAAUUUAGUGUAACAAAACCAAUUAAUUUAAUAUUUGGCACAAUUAUAUUAUUUUUCACAUAAAUUAUUAUUAUUAUUAUUAUUUUGUUUUAAUAACUCAAGAAAAUAAAAUAAAUUCAAAAUGUAUGUAAUUUCUCGAAUCGAUUAUUUAUUCCAGUCGCGUAUUUACUAUUUUCACCUAACGAGCCUUCAGAAAUUAAAUUUCGAAACGAAUCGCUUUAAAAAUAUAACUAAGCUAUGGAUACAUUUAAUUAGGCCUAAAAAGGUUAGAAAAUAAUAAUCGGAGAAAUCGGAUGGGUAAAUACUUAUUUGAGCCAAUAAAAUAAAUAAACUAAGCAAAAUUUUCGAGUCCUCACAAUGACCCCACCUCCCUUAGGGCGUACCCAGGGUUUGGCGGACCGCCUGCCCAACUCUCACCAGGACUCGUUCACUCUUAACAAAUAAAAUAAAAUAUAACCUCAAGAAUAAGUGAAAUAAUAAUUUUCAAACUUGGAACGUGUACUUACAUUCAUAUCUUUGCUAAACAUUCAGACAAUCCCAACUAUAACAAAAGUUGUGAAUUUCAGAUACAUUCAACCCUAACCGAGAACUAGCACGAGUGCUGUGACGCCCCACUUUUGCCAAGGGCGAACCCGAGGGUAUCGGCGGGACGCCUGCCUAACUCGCGCUAGGACUCAAAACACAAAGCUAAUAAAACUAUAUAAACCAAAAGAGUACUAUUCAUAAUAUAUUCAAUCCCAAAAGGGUAUUUACAUCCUCAAAAGGAGUUAUCGAGACUAUUACAGAACCAAGAGCAAAAGUAGACCCGAAGAUGGUUUCUUUAUACAGAUCACCAAAGUAAAAGAAAUAUCUUAGUUGUCCAACCAUUACAAACCAAACCUAACUACACUAGUGAUAGUGCAAAAGGGUUUCCCCGCGUCGUCCCCUGUUAAGGAAAACAAAGGAAAAGGGGUAAGCUAAAUGCUUAGUAAGUAAACGGGGAUAAAAGCGUAAAUAUCACAUUAAGAUAAACAACUAUUUCACAAAAUAACAAGUCAAGUGCAACAGUAACAAUACAAAUGAAGGAUACAGGUUGGCUCCAAAGCCACGUCAUUUGCCAUGUGUGACCUCCUGCCGACCCUCCGUCGACCACACUUAAGGUCCGUAAAACUCCACUUGUACACCCACCUAACACCUUAUCACCCUCACUGGCCAGUCGCCUCACAAAAUUCCUCGAGCGAACGAAAUUGAGCUUGGUUCACAAACUUGGUUCACAUUCUCGGUGAACCGGAUUCACAAACUUGGUGACCUCAGACUAGGUUGGACUGGUUUCGACCAAGCCGCGACUGACUCGAAUAGUCCAUCUAGGUCAGAAGAUCAACCCCAACUUACAAACGUCACCCCGAGCUACAAGCUCAAGGGGUUCAAACCCAAAAUAAUUCAUUUAGACAUAUCAUGUAUAAAUAUGCAUGAAAAUUAGGGUUUAGGUCGAGUGCGAUGAAGUACACCCUCGCCUAGGUACCCUUUCAUUUACCUCAAAACACAUAAGCAAGUUAUAUACAAAAACGGCCCGAAUACUUACUCAAAAAACAAAGAUAGCAAAAGUACGAAAAUCGCGUCGCAAAGGAUAGCUAGUAGGCCCCACCGGCUCCGUCUAGCUCACCACCAUCUGAAAUAAAAGAUUGCAUCACAUUAUAUCACAAACGGCUACUAACAUGCCUAAAACAAGCAAAACGGCAAAAUUGGCACAUGCAUGUGCGGAAACGGAAAUGGCAGCAUAACCGUUUUGGCGUCAAAACUGUUUUGAACACAAUCGAAGCUACGAGUGUCGGAUCAAUGUGCACAAGGUACCGUUGCGAAGCUAAUAGAAAGGGCUACAAUUUUUGUGAAGAUCAUUCAACCUAGAUCCCAAUGGAGCUAGAGUAAAAGAGCACAAAAUAGACCCAGCAGUUUGCACUCGGGUUACUAAACAGGCCUUGUUUGGAUGACCAUAACUCAUUGUUCACAAAUGAAAAUCAGGAAAUUCAAAAGGUAGUAGACAGCUAGAACAUAAGGGUCCAACUUUUAUGUUUUAGACAAAGUUUGAAUCAGUGUGGAUCAUAGAGAAAAACGAGUCCAAAGUUUAUGUCAGAAUUGGUCAACUUUAAAGGCAGUUCUGACGCCCGAUUUUGUUUUAGGUAUAACUGGAGCUACGGAACUCGGAUUUGGAUGCACUUUAUACCGUUUCGAAGCUGAAACUAAGAUCUACAUUUAUUAUGAAGGGGUCAACACUCAGUUCGCACGUUAUUCAGGCGAACCGAGCAUGGUCAGAGGCUAAAACCAAAAGCGUGACACAAUCCAGUGUUCAAAACAGGUACAAGUAUUUUGGCUAUAACUCGGGCUACACUGAUCCGUUUGACCUGAAAUUUUGUAAGCACAUUAAGAACUUAAGAAGCUACAACUUUCAUGUUUUGAGAAACCUCUGAAUCGCACGCAGCAUAAAGAAAAACAGAACCCAAGUUCGGAUUUGUGGACUGCCCUUUUUCCAGUUUUGCCGGUUUCGAACGUCGCAACUGCACAGUCCGUUUCUAUGGUUCUAAUACAAGCUUUCUAGCCAAACUCAUACCAAACACUACUACCUAUACCAGAUUCUAAAUGACCUACCAAUGGUCCGAAAUUUCUUCCCCAAAAUACCACAAAAAUUACCAAACACCAACCACAAUCUAGAAUCCAAUUUCACUAGUUUUUCACUCACUUCAAAAACCCUAACCAACUAAACCCUAACCAAGCUAAACUAACUUCCAUUUAUAUUAGGGUUUCAUAACCAAACCUGAUUUUAUUAAGAAUUCACCAUUCAAAUGAGAUAAUCACACCUAAAGUCCCAUUAUCAAGUUUAAUCACCAACCCAAUCAACUAAGAAAACCUAUAACAAGAAGCCCAAAUUUCUCUUGGUUUGACCGAAAUUUCAGCAGCAAAAUAUCACCAAGAUGAACCAUUAAACUCUAUAUAAUCACCAUCUAUAUCAUAUAAGAUCAUAAAAACAACAAAAGCAUCACUUUUCAUGGAUUCAAGACUUAAGCACCAAACUUUAACUUCCAAGAGAGAUGACUUACCUUCUAGUUGCAAGUUUCUUAGGUUGAUCUUCCAAAACUCAAGCCCCAAGUUGUUCUUCCAAGAUCCAAACUCAAGGUUGACGAACACAAAUGCAAGAAACAAAAGCUUUUCUCUUUUUUUCUUUCUCUCCCUCUCGGCUCUCUCUCUCUUUCUUUUCCUUUGGUUUGUUUUGUUUUUUGCCUUAUGAUUAUCUUACAAAUCCUGUGGUAUAAUAUAGUCAAAGCUUAUGGAAGAUAUUUUCUACUACCACCAAUCACAUAAAAGCUCCCAAUUUGCUCUCAAGCCCUUACACCUUCAACUUUGCAUUUGAUCCACUCUUGCCCUUAAACAUUUGAAACUCUUUCAAUUUACUCCAUAGGUUAUAACCUUAAUCUAGUCCAAAACAUGUAAUCACACUUAAUUGCUUCACUAAUCACUUUCCUUUCUUAAUCACCUAUACUUAAUCAUACCUUAACUCACAGAAAAGCAACUAAACAACAAUAUUUUUGUCAUAGGCAAAAUUAGGGUUUUAACCCAACUUAGAAUUCUAACAAAUCAUAUCACUAGAAAUUUUUCUAGUUUAAGGUUUUCCUAACUUCCAAACUCACUUAACCUAUAUAAAAUGGAUCAAAUCCUAUACUUACCCGCAAGAAAACACACACUAGUAUAACUAACUUUAACUACCACUCGAACUUAGGAUUAGUACAAAAACUAGGGUUUCAAUCCUAAUCCCAACUCAGGGUUUUCUAAUUAACCCUAAAACCCCAAAUUUUACCGCACAAAUAAUGAAUAUCACCUAAUAUCAAACUUGAUAACUGAUCGGGGUCUCACAACCUCCCCUACUUAGAAUAAUUUCAUCCUCGAAAUUAAUGCCUUUAUUCGUGAACCAUAAUUGCAGUGUUUACAAAAGUACGUGUCAUCAGGGUCUGUUAAACACUUGCGGUGCGCCGAUAAGAGAGAGCGUACCUUCGAUGACUGCCGAAGGGUCAGUCACCUCUUGUUGACCCAUUGCAUACACUCUAACUGGUCCUUUGGGUCAAUUUUCCCCUGUAUUUGUCGGCUUACGUCCCUCUUUCUGCAUCUUGGGGCAUUGGGCAAUCAGAUGUUCUGUACUACCACAUUUAUAGCAUUUUCGGAUGGAACUGUUCUUCCAACAGUUUUCCUCGGUGUGAUUGGCCCCGCAGAAACCACAGGUUGGCCUAGUUCCUGCAGUUAAUACUCCACGCUGAGCACCCUUCUGGGGCCCUUGCCCUACUUGAGCUCUCCCAAAAUUACCCUGGUUUAGGGUUCCUGCGGGUCGGGGACCAUCUGUUUCUCGACCCCUCUUAAAAGGUGGCUCACUUCUCGAACUCUGUCAGGUCGCAAAAUGGCUCGAAUCGGGUUGCCUCCUUUUCCGAUCAUGAAAGGCUUUUACUUGUCCCCUAACAGUCUCAAUCCGCCGUACUUUUUCUAGCGCUUGGCUAAACGUGUCCAACUAUGCAGCUGCUAGUGCCUCCUGGAUCUCCACAUUCAAGCCUUGGAUAAAACGGCGAAUUCGCUUUUGCUCCGUUAGCACCAAUUCCGGAGCGAAGCGAGAGAGUUUUGUAAACUGGGUUUCAUACUCCGUCACACUAGAUGCCCCUUGGCGCAGGCGGAUAAAAUCAUCCUCACGUCUCUCUUGCACGAUAGGAGGUAAAUAUUUUUCAUUAAAUUCUCGUGUAAAAUUGACCCAUGUCCAUGGGGUCUGUUCCCGCUCCCACUUGGCUCUAAUCACAUUUCACCAGGCUCGGGCGGCCCCCUCAAACUGAAAGACAGCAAAAGAUAUCUGCCGCUCCUCUGAAUACCUAAGCACGGCAAAUAUAUCUAACAUACGAUCCAACCAACCUUCCGCUAAGUCAGGGUUGGGUCCACCUAUAAAUUUUGGGGGUAUAAACUUUUGGAACCGUUCUAAGGCACGGUCCUCUCCCUCGUGAUUACCCAUAUUAUUUCCAGGGUUUCCGGCAUUACCUCCCUGGCCCUGAGCCUGUUAGUUAACCAUUCGUUCUAGCAGGUCAGCCAUUCGUUGGAUGGCUGUAGCUACCUGAUCUGGUUCAUUCUGUGACGCCCCACAUCUCCCUAAGGCGGACCAAAGGGUAUCCGCGGACGCCUGCCCAGCUCUCGCCAGGACUCAAGCAAUUCCAUUCAAUUUAAAACCGAAUUAAGCACUUCGAUGAGAGCAACAUGAAUACAAUAAUGCGGAAGCGUUCAAGCUUAAUAAGUCACUUAAUGUAUAACCAGUACAUCGGUAAUCAUAAAACGACUUAAAUUCAAAGUACACAUCAGGGCCCAAACCUUUCAAGUUUUCAAUUUCCAAAAGCACAACCCAAACCAGGGCCUAGUCAAAAUAUAUAACAGGAGUCUUAACAAAAUUACAACGGAUGGUUUCUCCAUAUUUCUCCAAGAGUCGGUCCUGUUAAGGAAAACAAAACUAUAGGGUGAGCUAACGCUCGUGAGGCCAAGAACACACAUGCAAUCACUUAGUCAAAUAACAAUCCCAAUUUAAUAAAUAAAACCAUGUCUUUUCAAUAAUCAAUUAUUCAAACAGGAAAAGUAAUCAGAAACAAUUCAAGGAUAUAGUAGCUCUCAGGAGCUAAAUUCCACUCGAUCUGUCGAUGUCAUUCGUAUACUUUCCCGCAUUGACCCUCCUGUCAACCGGGUCGGUAUUUCCAUUUCCGUAGAUCACCACUUUCUUCCCUCCGUCCACCGUACACCCCAAGGGCCCACAAUGACCAUAAUUGGGCGAUACUCAACGAGUAUGCCAAGCAAGACCUCUUAUUAGGUCGAGCUUAUGUGUAUCUCAUGGCUCGUCCAAAUCCCCGACCAAGCCCAUUGCUGGCUCGAGUCUAAGGACGGCCUAUGAGUUUGGGCGUCCCCCAUUCAUUUGGUAGUCGAGGAGAUUCACUCCAACGACACAAGCAUUCAUGACAUGACAUUGCAUUUCAUUCAUUCAUUCAAUACAUUUCAUUCAUUCAUUCAUUCAUUCAUUUGAAAUUAGAACGAGUGCGAUAAAGUACGCACCCGCCCUUAUUUUUAAAACUCCCAACAAGUAUCACAAUAAGCAAGUAUCAAAUUCAUACACUUGACACUCACCGAGCAAUUCAAUAAGAAUUAUUUUCUGGGAGUUCAAGUGUCCGCGGUGAGAUCCUCUUGAAGGUCUCCUUGCGCGCCUGGCAAUUUAAUAGUGGAUAAUCACACAAUUAACCCACUUAUCAAGAAAGAUUGUACACUAGUACAAUCUAAGAAUUAUUUCGAAAAAGGGAACCUCAAUUACACGUAAAUCGAGGUUCAACUUGCCUUUUAUCAUGUACAAUAUUAUUUGAGUUUUUAUCAUGAAAAUCGUAAACAAAACGUUUAAGAACAUCAAAAGAAUAAAGAGUUUUUGAAAAACUCUAUUUCUUUGAAAUUGGAAAAUUUUCCACUUUUACGAUAAUCUUUGAAAAAUCAUAACUCGCUCGGUAUAAGUCGAGAAUUGGAAAACUUUAUACCGUUGGAAACCUCUUAGAGAGUACUAUAAGUUCCUAGAAGACACUUUUCCAUGAAUCGAAGUGGAAAGUGGUCAAAAAUGGGCUUGAAGACGCAGCUUCAGUUUACAAGGCAGAAUGAAGUUGGUUUUUGGCCAACUUUGAAAAUUCGGCACGAUUCGCACGUUGCAAACCGGCCUCUGAAAUUUUCAGCUCAAUUAGUGUUGCAAGUGAAGUGUAUGACAAAACAAGCGGAUCAAGAAUCGGAGUUUCGAGUACCGAGAUACGGUAGCCCGAAGUUGGGGAAAUUCAAGACUGGAUGAGAAUUUUCCAGAUUUGAACCUCUAACUUUAGUAAUUCAAUUGGGUAUCGAAACGAACUUGAAUCGGCACCAAAAUUGGCAGUAUUUCAAUACUAUAUGGAAAGUAUCUCUCUAUCGAAUUUCGGGGAAAAAUACCUUCGGCAAGGUAGUUAAUGAGCCAACCGCAGUUCAAGAAAAUUCCUAAGGCAUUCUGCCUUUGACUUUCAUUUCCCAAAUUUCCAAUCGUUCAACCAAGAAGGUUAUCCAACCAUGGUUCAUUUGUAAAUAAUAGGGUCUAAGAUACACCCAUAAUAUCUUUGGUAUGUUUAAUAUCAAAAACAUCAACUAACAAGUUCACUACAAGAUUUGGUUCCAAACCAGUCCAAACAUUAGGGUUUUCCAAACAGAGCAGUCCACUUGCUUCAGUCACAAAUCAGUCAAUAUAGCUCGAAAUCGAGCAUAGCUUACGCCGUUGGAAAAUACAUUCAUAGGACUAAAAUAUCACAGAAGAAAUCAUUUCCAAAUUCGGCACCCAUCUGGUUCAAAUUCGGGCAUCAAGUUGCUGCCUGAACACUUCAUUCCAGAUGAACAGAGUGGCAGGACAGCGAACUUAAACAUUUGGUUCGACUUGGUCACAAAGAAUCAGAACGUGCAUUUUAUACCAAAUUAAAGCUAGGAAUGUCUAGUUUCAAACGCCACCAACGGCACAUGAUUUCGACAUCCGAGGACAGAGUUAUAGAAAAUACUACUGCUGGUCAGAGACAUACGCGAAUCAGUUUCCAGAUUUGCUGGUUUCGAAAAAAAAUUCAUUUGCUCCAUCAACCCUCAAUAUUUUCCAAUGAAAUUUUUCACACAUCUAAUACAUCCUAUAAACAUCCAAUUCAAGCCAUUAAACCAUUAAAAUUUGGCCUGGAAAUGGCCGAACAUAGCAGGGGCAAAAUCGGAAGUUUUAGCCUCUUACACCCAAUGAGUUUCCACUAAUUACCCAUCACUAAUGCAUCAUUAUAAUCACUAAACCAACAAUAUAAUCACCAUUAAUCAUCACAUCAGCAACAACAACCCAAGUGUGGGAAUUCCAAGAGCCCACAAUCACAUUUUUACACCAUAAACAAGUAACUAAGUGCAUGUAUGAGCUUAAUCUUGUCAUAUAAUCUCCAAAAGAUAAGAAUCCAAGAGUUGAUCAUUACCUACUCCUUUGGUUUGCAAGGUCAGAAUUUUCGGCCCUCUUGAAGCUCCAAGAAACCGUGAGAGUUCCCUUCCUCCUUAGCUAGAUGUAGUCUCCAAGUGGUUUGCUAAGAGAUCUCCAAGUUUGGUGUGAUUUGUGUGGAUUUUAGUGCAUGGAUUGAAGAUGAAAAAUGAAGACAAUGGAGAGCUCUUCUCCUUCUUGUUGUUCGGCCAAGUGAGGUGAAGAGAGAGAGAGUGCUGAUGCAAUUGGCUUCCAAAGGAAGAUUCUUUGUGUGGUGCAAAAUGCACCUCAAAGUCAACUGGAAAUAGUGCAAUUUAGGGUGCGUUUGGACUCGAUUUUUUUCUCGCGCGUUUGGUUCACUAGUGCACUAAACCUCCAAGGCAUAUAUAUUCUUGUAAAUAUUAUUCACUCUUAAUUGUCCCGGAAUAAGGUCUAAAGUCCCUCAAAUGAAGUCGCGCGUGUGAAAACGCGUACCGUCAAUUUUACCGCUAUAACGCGAAACUUUCGAAAAAUUCUUAUAACGAUUGCACCACUAACUAUCACUUGAAUAUUUAUACUUAAGAUUACCUAUUUUAGUACCAUAGUACAAGUCUCUAAUAUUCCAAACUUAUCGGGCUACUACGCGGAUAAAAUCUCCAAGUACUAUUCACUAUUUUUACUAAACGCGCUCUAGGAAAUUAAUUUUCGAAACGAAUCAUUUUAAAAAUAUAACGAGGUUAUAUUAUCAUGCGUUUAGGUCUCAUAAGACUAGAAAAUAUUCCUUGGAAAUAAAAUCCAAUUAAAUAAUUUAUUAAGCCAUAAAUUAGGCAUAAAAUAAUAGUUUUUGCGAGUCCUCACACAUUCUCAUUUCCUCCUUCGGGGCCUCUUCCUCGCCCUCUACCUCUACCACCCGAGUCCAUUACGGUUCAAAAGUCUAUAAAUUGAAACAUAACGUGUACUUAUUAUUCAAGCCAUGAACGAAAUAAAGAAUACAAAGCAUAUACACAAAGACACGCAAAAGAUAAGUGCAAAAGAUUAUGCUCAAAUAUAUACAUAUAUUUACAAAGUCACGCCAAAAGAUAUACAAGUUAUCCGACAUCCGGUUGGAACAAAACCCUUUAAAUACAUGAGCAUUCGGCUCCAAAAAUCUAGUUAGCCAGCAGAUAACCAAGGAACCAGCUAUACUGGUUAGAACAAAAACAUGUCAAAUGACCACAAGAGAAUCCAAACAAUGGCCCUACGCGCCUCCUCUAGGGCCCCAAUCCCUAACGGAACCUAGAGUAUCUACCUCGUCCAUCCACUCCGGGCCGGUAGCUCGUGGUGGUGCCUCCGCGGCCACAUCUAAUAGGACCUCACAGUCUAGCAUAAUACCUAUAGCCCUCUCCCUCAGCUGCCUCUUCAUUGCGAAGAGGUGCUGGUGUGUGUCAUGAAGCUGACGACGUAAAGCGUCCGUCCUCUCCACCUCAUCUCGGAGACCCUGCUCCAAGUCCCUAAUGCGCAAUGCCUGCCCGUGGCCAACCUCUCUAGCCUCCUCUAACUGUCUAGUCAAACGAUCGCAAGCCUUCUCCAAGCUGCGUCGCUCGUCGUCCACUGCCAGGAUGACCUCGUCAGGGUAGCCAUACGUAUAGCAACACUCACAGGGUCGACGCAACACCUGACCGAAGGGGAAUACAAAGUGUAGGGCUCUCCAGGACUCUGCCGAUAUCGGAUCACCCGUCUACGCAACACCCGGUCCUCCGGGCCCCUCGCACUCGGAGGUCUCAGUCCUGGUCCCACGCCACUAUGUCCAGCACCACUAGAACUGCCCGGAUCCAUACCUACAAAACAUUAAGUUGUCAGUUCACCGGCAUUUCAGCUUAAAAUAUAUCAUUCAACUUAAAGAGAAUCACGUAUUCCUAAUGCCUAUCACGUAUGUCCCACAAUUGCCCAAGUCCUCUAACCUAGCGCUCUGAUACCACCUAUGACGCCCCACUUCUCCAAGGGCGAACCGAGGGUAUCGGCGGGACGCCUGCCUAGCUCGCGCCAGGACUCAAAACACAAAGCUAAUAAAACUAUAUAAACUAAAAGAGUACUAUUCACAAUAUAUUCAAUCCCAAAAAGGUAUUUACAUCCUCAAAAGGAGUUAUCGAGAUUAUUACAGAACCAAGAGCAAAAGUAGACCGAAGACGGGUUCUUUAUACAGAUCACCAAAGUAAAAGUAAUAUCUUAGUUGUCCAACCAUUACAAACCAAACCUAACUACACUAGUGAUAGUGCAAAAGGGUUUCCCCGCGUCAUCCCCUAUUAAGGAAAAUAAAGGAAAAGGGGUAAGCUAAAUGCUUAGUAAGUAAACGAGGAUAAAAGCGUAAAUAUCACAUUAAGAUAAACAACUAUUUCACAAAAUGACAAGUCAAGUGCAACAGUAACAAUACAAAUGAAGGAUACAGGUUGGCUCCAAAGCCACGUCAUUUGCCAUGUGUGACCUCCUGCCGACCCUCCGUCGACCACACUUAAGGUCCGUAAAACUCCACUUGUACACCCACCUAACACCUUAUCACCCUCACUGGCCAGUCGCCUCAUAAAAUUGCUCGAGCGAACGAAAUUGAGCUUGGUUCACAAGUUCGGUUCACAAACUUGGUUCACAUUCUCGGUGAACCGGAUUCACAAACUUAGUGACCUCAGACUAGGUUGGACUGGCUUCGACCAAUCCCGAUUGGCUCGAAUAGUCCAUCUAGGUCAGAAGAUCAACCCCAACUUACAAACGUCACCCCGAGCUACAAGCUCAAGGGGUUCAAACCCAAAAUAAUUCAUUUAGACAUAUCAUGUAUAAAUAUGCAUGUAAAUUAGGGUUUAGGUCGAGUGCGAUGAAGUACACCCUCGCCUAGGUACCCUUUCAUUCACCUCAAAACACAUAAGCAAGUCAUAUACAAAAACGGCCCGAAUACUUACUCAAAGAACAAAGAUAGCAAAAGUACGAAAAUCGCGUCGCAAAGGAUAGCUAGUAGGCCCCACCGGCUCCGUCUAACUCACCACCAUCUGAAAUAAAAGAUUGCAUCACAUUAUAUCACAAAAGGCUACUAACAUGCCUAAAACAAGCAAAACGGCAAAAUUGGCACAUGCAUGUGCGGAAACGGAAAUGGCAGCAUAACCGUUUUGGCGUCAAAACUGUUUUGAACACAAUCGAAGCUAUGAGUGUCGGAUCAACGUGCACGAGGUACAAUUGCGAAGCUAAUAGAAAGGGCUACAAUUUUUGUGAAGACCUUUAAACCUAGAUCCCAAUGGAACUAGAGUAAAAUAGUACAAAACAGACCCAGUAGUUUGCACUCGGGUUACUAAACAGGCCUUGUUUGGAUGACCAUAACUCAUUGCUCACAAAUGCAAAUCAGGAAAUUCCAAAGGCAGCAGACAGCUAGAACAUAAGGCUCCAACUUUUAUGUUUUAGCCAAAGUUUGAAUCAGUGUGGAUCAUAGAGAAAAAUGAGUCCAAAGUUCAUGUCAGAACUGGUCAACUUUAAAGGCAGUUCUGACGCCCGAUUUUGUUUUAGGUAUAACUGGAGCUACGGAACUCGGAUUUGGAUACAAUUUAUACCGCUUCGAAGCUGAAACUAAGAUCUACAUUUAUUAUGAAGGGCUCAACACCUAGUUCGCACGUUAUCCAGGCGAACCGAGCAUGGUCAGAGGCUAAAACCAAAAGCGUGACACAAUCCAGUGUUCAAAACAGGUACAAGUAUUUUGGCUAUAACUCGGUUUACACUGAUUUGUUUGACCUGAAAUUUUGUAAGCACAUUAAGGACUUAAGAAGCUAAAAUUUCAUGUUUUGAGAAACCUCUGAAUCCGCACGCAUCAUAAAGAAAAAUAGAACCCAAGUUCGGAUUUGUGGACUGCCCUGUUUCCAGUUUUGCCGGUUUCAAACAUCACAACCGCACAGUCCGUUUCUAUGGUUCUAAUACAAGCUUUCUAGCCAAACUCAUACCAAACAAUACUACCUAUACCAGAUUCUAAAAGACCUACCAAUGGUCCGAAAUUUCUUCCCCAAAUUACCACAAAAAUUACCAAACACCAACCACAAUCUAGAAUCCAAUUUCACUAGUUUUUCACUCACUUCAAAAACCCUAACCAACUAAACCCUAACCAAGCUAAACUAACUUCCAUUUAUAUUAGGGUUUCAUAACCAAACCUGAUUUUAUUAAGAAUUCACCAUUCAAAUGAGAUAAUCACACCAAAAGUCCCAUUAUCAAGUUUAAUCACCAACCCAAUCAACUAAGAAAACCUAUAACAAGAAGCCCAAAUUUCUCUUGGUUUGACCGAAAUUUCAGCAGCAAAAUAUCACCAAGAUGAACCAUUAAACUCUAUAUAAUCACCAUCUAUAUCAUAUAAGAUCAUAAAAACAACAAAAGCAUCACUUUUCAUGGAUUCAAGACUUAAGCACCAAACUUUAACUUCCAAGAGAGAUGACUUACCUUCUAGUUGCAAGUUUCUUAGGUUGAUCUUCCAAAACUCAAGCCCCAAGUUGUUCUUCCAAGAUCCAAACUCAAGGUUGAUGAACACAAAUGCAAGAAACAAAAGCUUUUCUCUCUUUUUUUCUUUCUCUCCCUCUCGGCUCUUUCUCUCUUUCUUUUCCUUUGGUUUGUUUUGUUUUUUUGCCUUAUUAUUAUCUUACAAAUCCUAUGGUAUAAUAUAGUCAAAGCUUGUGGAAGAUAUUUUCUACUACCACCAAUCACAUAAAAGCUCCCAAUUUGCUCUCAAGCCCUUACACCUUCAACUUUGCAUUUGAUCCACUCUUACCCGUAAACAUUUGGAACUCUUUCAAUUUACUCCAUAGGUUAUAACCUUAAUCUAGUCCAAAACAUGUAAUCACACUUAAUUGCUUCACUAAUCACUUUCCUUUCUUAAUCACCUAUACUUAAUCAUACCUUAACUCACAUAAAAGCAACUAAACAAUAAUAUUUUUGUCAUAGGCAAAAUUAGGGUUUUAACCCAACUUAGAAUUCUAACAAAUCAUAUCACUAGAAAUUUUUCUAGUUUAGGGUUUUCCUAACUUCCAAACUCACUUAACCUAUAUAAAAUGGAUCAAAUCCUAUACUUACCCGCACGAAAACACACACUAGCAUAACUAACUUUAACCACCACUCGAACUUAGGAUUAGUACAAAAACUAGGGUUUCAAUCCUAACCCCAACUCAGGGUUUUCUAAUUAACCCUAAAACCCCAAAUUUUACCGCACAAAUAAUGAAUAUCACCUAAUAUCAAACUUGAUAACUGACCGGGGUCUCACAAGUACAAUCGCAAAAUUUCCAAAAAUUAGACUAUGCUAACCUGUACCAGUCUCACGCCUCGCUCGUACCCCUAUAAGGAAAACAAAUGGCGUGGAAUGAGUUAAAAGCCCAGUGAGAUUCCCAAACAAGUAAUCAGGUAUAGAAAUCUUGGAAAUGUUACAUUUAACAAUUUGUACAUUUUGCACUGUAAUAUCCAGUCAUUCAAGAAAUAAACACUCAAUCAUUGGAAGGAUACGUGCUCACUUGGUGCCAUUCAUUCAAGUCAUUCAUUCAUUUGCCAAUCAUUUUCCUCAUCCCUCCGACAUUAGAAAACAUUUGCAAGCGAAAACUCCUCCAGUGUUCUUGACAUUCAUUCAUUUAUUUCAUUUCCCGCCACUAGCCAAUUCACUGGCCAGUCUCCACCAAUUUUUGUGGUCAUACUCGAGUAUACCAAAACACUAUCCCAGGGUCACCAACCGCCCGACCGACUCCGCUUCUGGCUCGAGUCGGCUGGCAACGAAGGGCAAGGGCCCAAUUCAGCCAAAAGGCUUACAUUCAUGCACAAGUAGCAUUCAAUCAUUGAAAAUUCACUUUGGCUUGGGUCAAGUGCGAUAAAGUACACACUCGCCCAUCGAAAAUCCAUUUAGUAAUCCUUAGAAAGCAGUUAACAUUCAAGCAACAUUCACAAAUAGUCACAUAGUCACUUAUUGUACAGACACACAAGGAACACUCACCAAAGAUUUUGUGCUUGUCAAAAUCACAUUCAGGUGUAACUCCUUGGUUGGAGUUCAAAUCUGCGAUACAAUAUCAUUUAAAAGCUUGAAAUCAACUAGGGUUCGAAACUUAAGGGUUUCGCUUUAAACAGAUCAAGUAAAUGAAACUCAUUUAGAUAGAAUUCAUGUUACGUAUCAAACUCUAGAAAAUUCAAACUCGCUUUUUGCGUGUUGCUAAAGAAGCAACUAAAACUUUGGAAUUCGCAUUUAAGUCCAAAAGACAAGAAAAACAUAUUGCGAGUGGUCACUACUUUCCAAGGGUACGAGUUUCGGCCAAAUUUCAGCUUAUAUACCUUUACGAAAGAAGACUCGAAUACCAUAGACAAUCCAAGUUCAAUUCGACCUCAAAUCUUUGUUCAAGUUGCGAGUACACAUUCCUAACCCUCGAGUGAAAAUUUGGGCGGCAUGCCCUUUGUAUUUAGCUAUUUUCCAACCAUUUAUGGUUUCAUUAUUUUUUUCAACUCAGCCCAAAUUCACACAUAAACAAUCUUAACAUAAUAGCACUUCAAUAGGCUCAAUGUCAUCCCAAUACAAGGCAAUUCUAGCAAUGCAACUAUCAAAAUCAAAGCUGGAACUAGUACUAAAGAAGAAUAACUAAGUAAUAGGUUUUACAUCUUCCGGUGUUUUGGUCACAGUUGAAGCUACGCUUAUCGGAUUGGGUUACAUUUUAUGGCGUUUCGAACCUAAGAUAGAGAGCUACAUUUCUUAUGAAGACAUCAACACCCAGUUCAUGCAUUUUCAAGGUCAAAAUGUGGAAUCUCAGAGAAAUCAGAAAGCUGCCUGUGAAAUAGGGCUUUUGGCAGUCAGGGGUAUUAUAGUCAUUUCACAUGUUACAGUACUUCGAUUGAGCUGAAAUUUUACAAGUCAUUCCCUACAACUUUUAUGUUUUGAGCAGGACCUGAUUCAAUCUCUAUCAUGGACGAAUAUGUAGGUCAGAAACAGGGAAGAUUCAUCCUCAAAGCUGGAAUUUCACUUCUACUCUAAUAAUUUAUAUUCUAGCUCAAUACUAUCAAGUCCUAUAUCAUCAAAACCAUCAAUUACUAGCUCAAUACCAUUAAUUACUAGGUAAACAACUAUAAUCAAGGCUAAAAAUGCAAACCCUAGCUAACCCUUCCAUUAUACCAUCCAAAACUGAAUCAUUAACCAUAAUAAGCCAAGAACAUAAGCUUCUAUCCAAAUUUAAACAAGAUUAAGGAAGAGAAAAGGAAAGGCAGCCAUGAUACCUUCCAAUAAUUGCUUGUAAUGAAAACCACACCCCUUUCUUUCAAAACUUUUACCACACAAAGCUUUCCAACCACCAAAAAAGAAGUUUAAUCGGUUUAGAUUUUUGGUUCCAACUCAAACAAGUAAGAUCAAGGUGGACAUGGAAGGUUUCUCCUCUCUUGUUUUUCUCUCAAGAAUUUUGGCCAACAUGAAGGAAAAUGAAGAAAAAUGAUCCAAGAAGAAAGAUAAGAAGGAAGGAAAAUCAAUUGGUCAAAGUUUCAUGGAUUGCCAACAAGUGUCAACUCAAGAUGGCUUCUUAUUUUUUUCCUUUUCUCCCUUUUCUUUGGUCCAAAAUUUUGGCUGAUUUAGGAGAUAUUUUAGGGUUGAUUUUACUCAAUUCAUAAAAAGGAGAUUAAGGUAAUAAAGUAGUGUUCAAGUGGUGCACUCAAUCAGUAGUAAACGGUGUACGUCGGUUCAAACCGUUUUCCCUUAACUCGCGCGUACUUGUGUUUUUAUUUAUGGUUCACUCAUUUAUUAUUAUCACUUCUAAUCACACACUUUUUCUUAUCCAAAACUCACUCUUAACCAUGAAAUUUAGUACACACACCUCACCAAAUGAUCACACGACCAAAAUGCACCAAAAACACACCAAAAACCCUAGUAUGCACAAAAACCCCCUAACUUAUGCCCUUACUUUAGAAAAAUCAUAACUUGAGUUAUAAAUAUCAAAAAUUCAUACAACUUGGCUUGUUAAAAACUAGACUUCAAAUACUGAUAAUCUUUAGAAGACACCUCAAAGAAAUUCAUCUCAUAAGUUGGUCCAAAUUGAGGCAUAAGCUACUACAACAUUCCUAUGUUUACUUGUGCAGGGCAGAAUUUUCAGUCAACUUUACCAAUUUUUUGGAAUUUAUAGAGAUUGAAUCAAACUCUAAAUUUUACAUAGUAGGAAGAUCUAUGAGUGUAGUUUCAAACGCAACAAACAGAACUCAAUUCCAACUUUUCUAUACGAAGUUAUAGCCAAUUUUGCAAAGCUGCGCAGAGCCUCCUGUGAAAAUUUAUAGAUUUUCUAACAACUUGAGAUUAUGAAACUUUUCGUAACAAAAUUCAUUCCCUUGACUCAAAUUCAACCAUUAAAGCAACCAAGAAUCAAAGGUAAGUGAGUUCACAUAAGGGUUAUAAAGACAAGUAAAAUUUCGGGGUCUCACACUCUCUCCCCCUUAAAAGAAUUUCAUCCUCGAAAUUCGAACCUUUGCUCGCACAAAACUUGAUGUUACAGGAUUUUCCUCCAAUUCCUAAGUGGCUUUCUCUUACUCAUAGUACUGCCACAAACUUAACUAGAGGGAAAAUCGCACCAACGUAAUGGCCAAGUUGCAUGCUAAGGAAGUUCAAUGAAGGCGUCAAAUUGUGCAAAGUGAUAUAAAUUUAAGAACUCGAUGAAAAGGAAAAUUCGUAACUAUGAAACUUGCUUACCACUCUUGCCUACCAUCCAUACCUCUUUUGAAAAUAGAUUUAUAGGUAUAAGCAAAAUAAAGUAGUCAUAAAGUUCUAUAAAGUAUUUCCAAAUCAUAAAUACCUAUGAGUUUCAAAAACUCUCAAUCUCGGCACGAUAAUAAUCAAAAUCAAAUUUCUAUGCGGUAUCGUAGAAGGGUAGAAAAUAGAAAAUAAAUAGUCAAUCAAGACUUAAAAUGAGUUUAAAAGAAAUACAUGUGUAACCAUAAUCAAAUCGUAGCAAAAUCAUAGAGACAUGGAACAAGGAUACACAUGUACGGGAGAAAUGAAACAAGUUACAAUACUAGCGCCUUAACGUUCACGACGUCCACAAACUAGCCAUCAUCCCUAGAAACCCUAACCAAACAUACACGAAACCAAUCCAUGACAACACUCAUUGCUCCACUCUCCUUGAUCAGUUCAAUCUCAAGUCCACUACUAGAAUCUUUCACACCUUGACGUUUACCAUCCAAAUUUAUCUCAAGUUCAAUCGAGAUAUAGACCCUUAUUCUAGUGCUAUCCACUUUUGGUACUCAAGUACGAGAAUCCAUAAUAAGAUAAUUCACAACUCGAGUCGGCCUGUCCCAGGAGUAAAUCACCCCUACUAGAUAUUCCUACCUGACGUACAUAUAUAUCUUCCCCAAAUACCAUGAUAAGGGAUUUUCACUUAUAACAGGCACGAUUCAUAGCUUACGUCCAAGAAGAGCACUUAGUCCUUUACCCUUAUUCACAUAAUCGGGACCAUAUCACCACUUGGCCCGAGCUCACUCCACGCAGAGACCAUGCGAAACAGCUCUGAUACCAUCUAUGACGACCCCACCACCCCAUAGGGCGUACCCCAGGGUUUGGCGGAUCGCCUGCCCAACUCUCGCCAGGACUCGUUCACUCUUAACAAAUAAAAUAAGAUAUAACCUCAAGAAUAAGUGAAAUAACAGUUCUCAAACUUGGAACGUGUACUUACAUUCAUAUCUUUCCCAAACAUUCAAACAAUCCCAAAUAUAACAAAAGUUGUGAAUUUCAAAUACAUUUAACCCUAACCGAGCACUAGUGCGAGUACAAUUGCCAAAUGUUCAAAAACUAGACUAUGCUAACCUGUACCAGUCUCACGCCUCACUCGUACCCCCUGUAAGAAAAACAAAUGGCAUGGAAUGAGCUAAAAGCCCAGUGAGGUUCCCAAACAAGUAAUCAGGUAUACAAAUUAGGGAAACGUUACAUUUAACAAUUUGCACAGUAGCUAAGUCUAAUAUUUUGGGCUUGUAGGGGGUUUGGAUGGUGGACGGAGAUUGUAGCUAAGUGGUGCUCUAUUGGACUGGUUACUUUGCUUGAAAGUUGACGGAGUGUCAACUACUACUUGAUCAAGCUCUGGUGAAGCAAUGGGAACUUGGCUCCUGAGAGCUUUCCGUAUCCUUAUACUUUGAAUGAUUAUUGUUUAUUAGAUUAUUGUUUCUUUUGAAAAAAAAACACUUUACACUCGAUCAUUUUGAGAUUUGCUACUUGAAAUAUUAUUGCUCACUUUUAUGGACUCGUUAUGCUCGUUAUUUUCCUAUUCUGAUACUUUCACUUCUAAAUAAAGGUCGACUUGCUAUUUGAAAUCUCACUGGGCUUUUAGCUCAUUCCACGCCAUUUAUUUUCCUUACAGGAGGUACGGACGAGGCGUGAGACUUGUACAGACUAGCGUAGUCUAGUUUUUCUGAAUUUUGUAAUUGUACUCGCACUAGUUGCUCGAUUAGGAUUGAAUGUAUUUAGAACUCCAAUCUUUUGAUGUAUUUGGAGUUGUAUGGAUGUUUGAGACAAAAAUGAAUGUAAUUGUACUUUCCUAAGUCGGUAACUAUUAUUUCCUUUAUUAUUGAGGUUGUACCCUAUUUGAGUUGGAGUGAGUGAGUGAGUUCUGGCAAGAACUGGGCAGGCGGUCCACUAAACCCUAGGGUACGCCCUAGGGGGAAGUGGGGUCGUCACAGAUGGUAUCAGAGCUCUUAUCGAGCUCGUGCCGGGAGAGGGUUCUCGGACUAUGGGGAUUGGCUUAUUAAGUGUGGAACAAUUGUCUAUUGUUGGGAACAUUAGAUAUGUAUGUUGGGUAGGAAUCUCAAAAGUGGUUGAUUUCCCUUGAGCCUGGCCAGCUCGAGUGGCGAAUUAUCAUAUUUUCGAAUUCUUAUACCCGAGUACCAAAGAGUAAUCCCAUUAUGAUAAGUUAAUAUCUCGAGUAAUAUUAGGAUAAGUUUAGAUGGCAAAUCCAAAGCACGGGGAAUGCGAAUAGUUUGAACUUGGGAUAUAUUGAAGAUAUUAAUGAGAAUUGGGACCCUUAGUAUGCAAGUUUACAUACCUGGUUGUACUUUUUCAAGUUUUGAUUAUGUAUAGUGCCUGAGCAAUACCUAGGGUUAAUGUCCCAUUGGCUAUGUGACUAUAUAUAUAAGGAGAGUGUUUAUUUUAAAUGUGCUCUAUUGUUUUCACUUUAGAAUUUAGAAAUGUUUUUAUCGAACUUUAUAGCUACUUUAUUUUGCAUAUACCUCUAUAGUCUAUUUUUGUUUUUUUUUUUCAAAAGAGGCAUGGAGGGUAGUAUGUGUCUAGAGAUUUAAUUGUAGUCAUGAGAGGAGAUGUACUUUGAAGAUUAUUUGCCAAUGCAUAGUGUUUUAUUUCACGAUUUAGCAAGAGUAGUAACCAAGUUUCAUAGUUAUGAAUUUUCCUUUUCAUCAAGUUCCUAAAUUUAUAUCGCUUUGCACAAUUUGACGCCUUCAUUGAACUUCCUCAGCAUAUCAACUUAGCUAUUACGUCGGUGAGAUUUUCCCUCUAGAUAAGUUUGUGGCAGUACUAUGAGUCAGAGAAAGCCACUUAGGAAUUAGAGAAAAAUCUUGUAACGUCAAGUUUUGUGCGAACAAAGGUUCGAAUUUCGAGGACGAAAUUCUUUUAAGGGGGAGAGAGUGUGAGACCCAGAAAUUUUACUUGUCUUUUAUAACCCUUAGGUGAACUCACUUACCUUUGAUUCUUGGUUGCUUUAAUGGUUGAAUUUGAGUCAAGGGAGUGAAUUUUGUUAAGAAAAAUUUCAUAAUCUCAAGUUGUUAGAAAAUCUAGAAAUUUUCGCAGGAGGCUCUACACAGCUUUGGGAAAUUGGCUAUAACUUUGUAUAGGAAAGUUGGAAUUGAGUUCCGUUUAUUGCGUUUGAAACUACACUCAUAGGGCUUCCUACGAUAUAAAAUUCAGAGUUUGAUUCAAUCUCUAUAAAUUCCAGAAAAUUGGCAAAGUUGACUGAAAUUCUGCCCUGCACAAGUAAACAUAGGAAUGUUGUACUAGCUUAUGCCUCAAUUUGGACCAACUUAUGAGCUGAAUUUCUUUGAGGUGUCUUCUAAAGAUUAUCAAUAUUUGCAGUCUAGUUUUUAACAGGCCAAGUUGUGUGAAUUUUUUAUAUUUAUAACUCAAGUUAUGAUUUUUGUAAAGGAAGGGCAUAAGUUAGGGGGUUUUUGUGCAUACUAGGGUUUAUUGUGUGUUUUUGGUGCAUUUUGGCCGUGUGAUCACUUGGUGAGGUGUGUGUACUAAAUUUCAUGGUUAAAAGUGAGUUUUAGAUAAGAAAAAGUGUGUGAUUAGAAGUGAUAAUAAUAAGUGAGUGAACCAUAAGUAAAAACACAAGUACGUGUGAGUUAAGGAAAAUAGGCUUGAACCGACGUGCACCGUUUGCUACCGAGUGAGUACACUACUUGAACAUUACUUUAUUACCUUAAUCUUCUUGUUUUUAAUUGAGCUAAUUAGCCCUUAAUUAUUCCAUAAGUCAGCCACCAUUAUUGACUAAGGAAAAGGAAGAAAAGAAAACAAAAACAAAGAAAGAUCUUGAGCGACAAGUGUCGGCAAUCCAACGGUUGUUUGACUAAGACAAGUUUCUUUCUUCUUGGCCAAUUUUACUUCAUUUCUUACUAGCAUGGCCGAAAUUUUGGAGAGGGAAAGAGAGAAAACAAACUUCAACUCCAACCUUAGAUUUUACCUUGUUUGAGUGAAAUCAACCGAACUAAACCGAUUAUACUUCUCUUUUGGUGGUUGGAAAGCUUUGUGUGGUAAAGUUUUGGAAGGAAAGGUUGUGGUUUUCACUUGCAAGCAUCCUUGUGAGGUAUUAUGGCUGUCUUUUCUAUUUCUCUCCCUUAAUCUUGUUUAAGUUUGGCUAGCAACUCAUACUCUUGGCUAAGGAUGAUUAUUUAAGUAGUUUUGAUGAAUGUGGUGGAUUUUUGAGCUAGGGUUUAAGUUGUUCAGUUGUAUUUCUUGUUGUUUAUAUAGCAUAUGAUGUUUAUAAACUUGGAUAGGGAGUUGGGAUAGUGGUUCAAGACAUGAAUGAGAAUUUUAAACUUCGAAUUCAUCAAAUUUCCAGCUUUAAGAUUGACACUGUCCUGCUUCUGACCUGUUUAAUUCGUCCAUGUUAGAGGUCGAAUCAGGCUUAGGUCAAAACAUGAAAAUUGUAGAAAUGCUGCCUGUAAAAUUUCAGCUCAAUCGGAGCACUGUAGCAUGGAUAUGACAAAAAUACCCUUGACUGCCAAAUGUACUGUUUUGCGGAUAGUUUUGAGAUUUCACAUUUUUUGCUUCAUUUUUCACUUUGAUCCGUAUCAAAUCAGCCUUUGGUUAAAACAUGAAAAUUUUACCACUAUUUUUCAGCUUUCCAACGCAUCUGAAAAUGCCUCAAUCGAAAAUUUGUAGUUUGAGUUAUUGUCGUUCAAAUCCAAUGCUGACAUUGAAAUUCUGGUUCUGUAAUCUACAAAUUUGACCUAGAUCAAAUGUGAACUGGGUUGACAUGUCUCCAUAAAAGUUGUAACCCUUUAUCUUAUCUUCGAAACAAUAUAAAGUAUACCCCAAUCCGAUAAAUGUAGCUCCAGUUGUGACCAAAAUGCUAUAUGAUGUCAAAUCUGCUGUUUAGCCUUUUGUCUUCAAAACUGAUUUCCGAUUGUAUUAUUAGACUUGUGUUAUAAUUGGAUGAUUUUGGAGCCUAAUUGAAGGACUAUGAUGGUAACAUUGCUUGUGUGUGACUUUGGGGCUGAUCUGAGAAAAAUAAUGAAGCCAUAAAUAGUUGAAAAAUAGGUAAAUACAAAGGGCGUGCUGCCCAAAUUUUCAUUCGAGGACUAGACGUGUGUACUUGUAGUUUGAGCGAGGAGUUGGGGUUGAAUUGAGUUUGAAUUGUCUAGGUUAUUCAAGUCCUCUUUCAUGGAGGUAUGUAAGCUAGAAUUCGGCCGAAACUUGUACCCUUGGAAAAAUGAAAGUAACGACUAAUAGAAAUACGUUUUCCUUGUCUCUUCGACUCAAAUGGUGAUUUCAAAGUUUAAUCGCUUCAAAGUUUCAAAGUUUUAAGAGCGAGCAUGAGUUUUACGAAUAUUCUCCAAAUGAGUUUCAAUCACUUGAUUCUCGUUAAACGAAACGUUUAAGUUUCGAACCUUAGUGAUUUCAAAGCUCUUAAACAAUGUUUUAUCGCAGAUUUGGACUCCCAACAAGGAGUAAUACCUGAACGUGAUCCGUAGAAACACUACAUCUUUGGUGAGUGCUUCCAAAUACCUGAUUGAACUUGACACUUGUUUUCAAUACUUGACUAAUGUGAUCGAAUGAUAUUUGAUUGGUAUGAUCGGGUAAGGGUAUACUUUAUCGCACUUGCUCUAAUGUGAUAUGUAUGUGUUUAUUGAUGCAAUUGACUUGAUAUACUUGUACUUGAUUUGUAAGUGCUGGAGCGGCAGCAUGUACCACACUCAAUCAGAGUAGGAGGUGCCUCUCAUUCCCAUCUCCGUACUUUUACCUUGAUUCAGUCGAUCGAAGAUGAUAUCUCAUCGAAUUCUUGGGGACCCAAACCCCAUUGGCUAGUUAAUCGAGUCGAGUCGGCAAGGGUUUGGUUGAUUAGAUAACGAACCAUGGGUAUCUAGUGUUAUCGAGUGGAGUGUUAUCUCCUUAACUAAUCGGUAUGCUCGAGUAUUACCACCAAUGUUUAUUGAGGAUUUUGGGCCCAGUAGGGGGUUUGGAUGGUGGACGGAGAUUGUAGCUAAGUGGUGUUCUACUGGACUGGUUACUUUGCUUGAAAGUUGACGGAGUGUCAACUACUACUUGAUCAAGCUCUGGUGAAGCAAUAGGAACUUGGCUCCUAAGAGCCAUCCGUAUCCUUCUACUUUGAAAUGAUUAUUGUUUAUUGGAUUAUUGUUUCUUUUGAAAAAAAAACACUUUACACUCGCUCAUUUUGAGAUUUGCUACUUGAAGUGUUAUUGCUUACUUUUAUGGAUUCGUUAUGCUCGCUAUUUUCCUAUUCUAAUACUUUCACUUCUACAUAAUGGUCGACUUGCUAUUUGGAACCUCACGAGCUUUUAGCUCAUUCCACGCCAUUUGUUUUCCUUACAGGGGGUACGGGCGAGGCGUGAGACUUGUACAGACUAGCGUAGUCUAGUUUUUCUGAAUUUUGUAAUUGUACUUGCACUAGUCUCUCGAUUAGGGUUGAAUGUAUUUAGAAACUCCAAUCUUUUGAUGUAUUUGGGGUUGUAUGGAUGUUUGUGACAGAAAUGAAUGUAAUUGUACUUUCCUAAGUCGGUAACUGUUAUUUCCUUUAUUAUUGAGGUUGUACCCUAUUUGAGUUGGAGUGAGUGAGUGAGUCCUGGCGAGAACUAGGCAGGCGGUCCACUAAACCCUAGGAUACGCCCUAGGGGAGGUGGGGUCAUCAUAAAGAUUAUCAUCUUGCUACUCGUGAAAAGAUUAAGGAUACACGAUUUACGUGAUAUCUAUUGUGAAAAAGGUUUUACAAUUCUUAAAAGCGGGAUGCAGAAGAGAUUUCUGGAGUUUUCGAACUAAGGUGAGAAUUUCGAGGAUGAAAUUCUUUUAAAGGGGGAACGAUGUGAGGGCUCUACAAAUUUUUACUAUUUUUAAAAGGUAAAUAAUAAUGAUGAAAAUAUUUAAAUUAUGUGAUUUUUCCAAAUUUUUGGUAUUCUCAUCUAUUAAAAUGUCAUUUUACAACUUGGUUGAAUUUUUAUUAUUAAUUGCCAAUUAUCAUUUGGCUAGCAUUAAGUGUGAAACUUUGGAGUGGUGACAUGGAACUUAGUCUUAAGAUGAAAUCUAGAGCAUGUAAAGGCUUUAAAGAAAUAGAAAAAUGAUAGGAUAAUGUUAGAUGAGAAAAAUCUAGUUAAGGACAAGAUGAUGCACGAGGACAAGACACAUAAGCGAGUAGGUGAGGUGGCCCACCUACCACACUUUAAAAGAAGAAACUAGACUUGAGAGCUCAUUCUCUUUCCUCCUCCAUUUUGUUUUUGAAGAUCACUUGGGGAAAACCAUCAACCAUCACAAUUUCUCUUCUCCUUCUUUUCCUUUUCUUUUAGAGCCAAGAGAGAGAGAGAGAGAGAGAGAGAGAGAGAUCAACCAAGAGAGAAGGGACACCAUCCAUCUUGCUCCUUGUAGAUUUGUGGAAGAAAUCACUAAAUAACCUGGAAGGUUUGACCUUUCUUGAGCAAACUUGAAGGGGUGAAUCUUGGAAAGAAGUUUUGAGGUUGAAUCACACUAGAUCUAGUAAGAUCCUGAGAUAAGAAUAAAAAAUCACCCUUAAUCUUUAAUUUCUAGCCAUGAAAAUGUUAGAUUCACUUGAUUUAAGUAAGAUCUAUGCUAGAUCUAGUAAAUUUCUUGAAACUAUACCACUAGAUGUUCUAGUAGUUAAAAUACUUGCAUAGCUCUUGAUUUGAUUGGUUGGAUUUAUUUGGAAAUUUUCCAUUGAUAACCAAGGGUUAAUAAUUGAUGAAACCCUUGAGGAUUUGAGUUAUAUUUCUAGUGAUUUAUUGGGGAAAAUGGAAGAAAUCACUAUGUCCACUAAGUGUUUGAUCUUUAGUUGAGGGUUAUGUAUGUGCAAAUUUUCAUGAUUUUUCUUGCUAAGAAUCUCGGCAAUAUAUUGUUUGAUGUGUUCAUGGAUUUGUUAUGGGAAAAUUAGAAAGAUUUGAUGGAGAAAUAUUUGGAAAAUUCUGCCUUUACUGUCCAAAACAGGGGAAGAUAUUCCAGCCUUGAUUUCCACUUUUUCUUAAUAAUUUUGGGCAAGUUCUUGUUCAAGAAACUUGUUAACACAUCACUCUUUACUUGUAUGUUGAAUUUGAACCAAAACUAUGAAUUUCUUCCUUGUUUUAUUGUUGGAAAGUUUGCAAAAUAAACUAAAACUCAGAGAGCAUUUUCAGUCAAAUUUUCAGAUUUUCUGGUAUUAAUUGAAAACGAAUUAGAGUCUAAAUUUUAUACCGUUGGAAAGCCCUUUGAGUCUAGUUUCAAGCGCAACCAAAGGCAUUCGAUUUCGAUUUUUCUACAUUGAGUUAUAGCCGUUUUCCCAAGACUGCUCAAAUGCCCUGAUAUGACGCGACAGUUUUCUUGUGCCUCUGUGAUCUCUAUUUUUUACCACGAAAAUGCAUGAACAGAAUUUAGAUGUCUUCAUAAAAACUAUAGAUCUAUGUCUUAGUUUCGAAACUCCAUCAAAUUCAUCUGAAUCUAAUAAGUGUACCUCCAGUUAUGAUCAAAAUGCCGAGAGGUGUCAAAGUUGUCACUUUGAUUUUUCUCCUUUGCACUCUUUCCUUCACUUUUCUUGGUUCAAUUUAACAUUUUUCACUCCAUAUUAUACCUGAACCAUUGACCUAACAAUGUACAUGGAUUUUUCCUUUGGAUUUAGCUUGAAAAAUAUUAUUAUUUUCAUAACUCGAGCUUACUGUUUAUAGGAGUGAUUGAAGACUGUGUUACCGAUCCUAACUUGGAUUCGGAGCUUUGAUAUAUUGGUGAGUUUCCAUGCAUGUUAUCUGACUUGAAUUUGCAAAUGUGACAUAGAUGUGAACUUGAUAUUGUGACUAAGAUGUAUAGUGUUUUGAAUUGUUGAAGUGUUGUGAUGUCGCUUGGGUUGUUAUCCCAUCGACGAUCAGUGAUUGAGUGUGCAUGUUAAUUCUUGGAAAUUCAUUAGUCCUAUAGGUAAGUCUAUCGAUUCAAACUAGUCAUGGGACUUGGUCGAGGAGAUUUGACGAGGCAUAGGAGAGUGUUAUAUAUUCACUGGACUUGGCGUAUGGACUUGUCUCUUGUGAAGUGAAAACUAUGGUAUGCUCGACCAAUACCUAUUUUAAGUGUUUUGGAGUGCGGGCCCGGUAGGAGGGAGUCGUUGGAAGGAGAAUGAAGUAAGUGGAGCUCUACAUGGUGUGAAACUUGAAAGUUGACGGAGUGUCGACUACGUGAAAUAAGAUCAAGAUUCGUGGAAAUUGGCUUCUGAGAGCCACCCGUAUCCUACCCCUUGAUAUUGUUAAUCGCUUUAUUUACUUGUUUUGACUUGUGAACUUGAAGUGUAAUUUGAACUGCUCUAUGUGACUAUAUGCCUUUUUGGACCUCACUGGAUGUUAGCUCAUUCCUUUAAUUUUUUUUUCCUAAACAAGAAUUGAGAACCCGAGUCUAGCCGCUGUCAGUUAGGGUGUGACCCUGUUUCUUUUGUAUCUUGUUUUGGGUUGUUAAACUUUGAAUUAGAUAUUUUGGAAGCUUGUAAGACGAACUCUGAUUGUAUCUUAAGUACGUUGGAUCGUAUCUUAUUAGUCGGGUUUUAAGUUGAACUUAAUUAUGUUAUAAGUUGUGGAAUUGUUAUUUAAGUACUUUAGAAGUUUUUUAUUCUAUUGUAUGAGUGAGUCCUGACAUAAGUUAGGCAGGUAGCCCGCUGAACCCUUUGAUUCGCCCUAGGGGAAGGUGGGACUGUCACACUAACCAACUUGGACAAGGGAAGGUUCACUCCUUCCUUACCCUAAAAUCCUUUAGUUGAGCUAAGAAGUUUUACAAUUGUCCUAGUUACAAUUGAAAGUUCACUCAACUAAUUAAGAACUACUUAUAAGUGAGGCUCACCUUAUUCAAGGUUUUACUUCUCCUCAAUGAGAAAUCUCACAAACCCAAGAACUUUCUCCACACUUGUACAAUAUUUAAAGUAUUUUUCUAUCCAAAAAUUACUUUUAAAAACUUGUGUCUUAUGUAGGCAAAAGUCUUGCUUUUUAUCAAACUUGGGGAUAAAUUAUAGAUGGUGAAACUUUGCCCUAAAAGCGUCUCCAACAGUAAAAAAAUUAACUGUUAGAAAACUAGCCAUUAGGAGAAUCAGACAUCCGAAGCCAGGGAUGUGCCCGAAGCAUGCGUUUGAUUGCUGAGUGAAAAGCUUCUUUCCACUCCCAGCUCCUGUCGGAUGGCCAAAGAUUUCUUCUGUGUCCGAUCCUCUUCAUCCGAUAGCAGACAAAAUGUAGACAAAUUCUUCUCAAAUUCUUCGAACGAUUGAUGCUAUUGUUGUGCAUCCAAUCAAUGUGUUUGAUAGUAGCAAAUGUCCUAAAUGUCCGUCCAACAUUUGAAACAUUCCAUUUGAGAGUGUGAUCGUUAUCUAUCGGACAUUCGAAUGAUUGAGUAGCGUCCGAGCAGCGUAAGCGUCCAAUCCUUUGAAUUCACUUUUUGUGCAUUUGAAUGCUUUCAAUUUUGAUUGUUUUGAUUGUAUAUAUGUAUUCUCACAAAGCAUUGGGAAAGAUAUUAGUAAGAAUCAUCAUUUUGGUUUGUUACCCACCAAAGAAAGGAUUGAUAAAUCUAAAGUUUCAAGUUUUAAAUAAAAGUAUAUAAAUGAAGAGCUUAAACUAUAGGCAAAUAAAUGAACUGCCUUCAAAAGUAAAGAAGUAAUUUUGUAAAGUAGAGUCAGCUCACAUUGCUUCACAUAGCAAAUUUUGUACUGCAUUCAGUUUUCCCUUUCUUUUUUGAUUCCGCACCUCAUUAAACCAACAAAUGAAAUGAGACAUAACAAUGUGGCUCACUUCUACUCCUUUCUCUCCAUUCAAAUAGACAUUCAUCUUCCAAACAGGACUAAGAGAACUAAAAAUCAAUUCAUUGUAUAUCAUAUUUCAUUCAUGUACAAAAAUACAGGACACAUGUUCUUAAGACUCUUAAUCCACUUUCAAUUUCUUAUUACCAUGCAUUGAAGUUCCAUUUGAUAGUAAUACCUGGCAAUAAGAAAAGCAAGGAAAACUGAAAACAUGAAAAAAAACUAAAGGGCUUAAACUGUAGACAAAUAAAUGAACUACCUUGAAAAGAAAUAGAAAAUGAGUGUGUUUUUUUUGUUUUAUAAUAUUUUUGCUUUCUUUGAGCAUAUUAUUAAUUAAAAAUCAAAGCCAUAUUUUGUUUACAAGGAUAACUCAUCAAAUCUGAAAAUUGUCUUUAUUGAUUUGCAACUACUAUCAAAUUCUUGGCUUGCAAUCACUUGUUUAUGUCAAGUUUCAAAUAAUUAUAUACAAAUGAAGAGUUUAAAAUGUGGGCAAAAAGAUAAAUUGGUUCAAAGAGGAAAUAGAAAACAAAUGGACGCCUUUGUUUUGUAAUAAUUUUACUCCAUCUAGGCAUAUUACAUGCGCAUAUUAAUUAAAAUAAAAAAUGAUAUUUUUUUUUGUUUGUCUUUUGUUGAUACAUUUUGUUUUCUUAAUUUUUAAAAAAGGCUAAAUUAGGUAGACUUUGAUUUAUAUCGUGUGCUAUGGUAUCUACCAUACCAUAAAAGUGUGAUUUAUAAACCCUCAUGAUGAAAAUAAUUUCUUUCUUUAUUACUAACUAUAAUGGUUAAAGAAAGGGAUAAUUUCGCAAACCUCCCCUGAGGUUUGUAACACUUGCACUGAGACCCCUCCAGGUUUUAAAAAUUUCACCUAGCUCCCUUGCUUUUCAAAUUUUGGCAACAAUUCAGUCCAAUUAGGAUUAAAAUAUUACUAUCAUGAUAGAGAUGACAUUUUUAUUCCAUGAAUACCCUCUUCCUCUCUAUAUUAGUACAAGAUUGCAAGUUAUUAAAAAGGUUGAGAUGAUUAUCAAAGUUGAGGGGAUAUAAAUGCAAUUCAGGAAUUUUGAUGCAGUACAUGGAGACAUCUUCAGUAUGUUAACAGGAAUAGCCAAUGACAACUUGCAAUCUUCCAACGGCCAGAUUUUGUAUACCUCCAACUGUAUAUAAACAUCAGAAGUGCAAAGUAUAUCCUCAAGCCAAAAGAUUGUGAGGAGGAAGAGUUUAGGUAGAUUAAUCCUCAUUGUUUUGCAGGAGCAUUAACAGAAGGCUAUAGUGAAAACAUUUAGCAGAUCUUAUGCAUGGCCCCUUGAUCCACCAUCGACUGCUUGAACCAAUGCAAACCGCGGAGUUUAAGCACUUUUAGCUGAGGAAGUCCAUUGCAGCAUUCUUAACUGACAGAAUUUUCAGAAAUUUCUGGUUAGUAAUCAAAAGUUGCUGUGGCACUGGUUAGGCAUUGAAGUAAGGGAUGCAAUGGGGCUUGCCAUCCCCAUUUGGUGUCCAACGUACCAUAAAAGAGUAGGACACAAGCACCCAAAACAUCAUUGGAGGCACCAUUUUGAAGCUGUUUAGAGAUGAACUAGCAUUUUUAGCAUGAUUUUAUUUAUUAUUGUGAAUUUGUGCAAUGACUCUUACGGAUUGCUACAAGGAUUCGGUGACGGAUAAAGUAUCAACAAAUAAUUUUUAUUUUAAAAGGAAUUAAAAAACUUGAAAAAAAUUUGCUGGCCAAAAUUUGUAGUAAAAACUUAAAAAUUAUUCACAUGACCAUCAUAUGAGUAAUUAGUCAUAAUUUAUUAUAGUUACUGCUAGAAGUAUUUUUUAAAAUUUUUAAAAAUAACUAGUUGUUGGCACAUGACUCGAUUUUGACAAUAGCAUUCGAUAAAAAUCAGUUAUUAGAACUAAAUAUGCAUGAAACUAAAAUAUUUGGAACUAUAUUUAUUUUCCCAAAUUUUAGUAACUAAAAGCCUUCAAUUCCAAAUAUUUGGAGCCAAAAUUGUAAUUCUCCCAAAGCAGUAUUUAUCUAUCAAAUUCGGCUUUGCUUCUGACCUUAUAUAUUGGGUCAAGAAUGUAGUGCCAACUUGGUAGCGUUAAUAAAAAUCCCCUGCUUCAAUGAUGCGAAUAAAUUAGCUGAAAAAAAGAAAAAUCAAAGUCAAUCAUCAAAGCUUGCACGAGCUCAACCCAUCAAAUUUUGCUUUGUGCUACUGGGUGAGAGAUUUGGAUUGGAUAAAAAUCAUAAAAUAAAGGACGGCACAACAACUUUGAUCCGAACGCCAGACUGAAGAUGGCUGGACAUUUGAAGAUGUAAAUACCAAUGUGAAAAUGCAUUUGUCAUCCAAGUUAGUCAUCUAAACCAACCUCUAAGGACAAAUUGGUAAUUUCAGCACUCUUCAUGUCAGCAAUGACCCCAAUACUCUGCCAGGGGAGCUAGGUGAAAAUUUUAAAACCUAGAGGGGUCUCAGUGCAAGUGUCAGAAACCUCAGGGGAGGUUUGUGAAAUUAUCCCUUAAAGAAAUGACUACUCAAGAGGUUCCCCAAUACCAGAAGGAAGACCAUUGUGUCAUGUUUUGUUUGCUCAAACGGAGAAAAGCAGGUUAGUUGUUCAAAUCACUAAUAUAUAUUCUCCAAAAACAAUAAAUUGACAUUAGCUUUUCUUCCUAUAGGGAAUUUUUGCGUCUAUUUUUCAUUCCCUUGGUCUUCAAAAUGGUCAAACUAUUACAAUCUACCAGGCAUACAGCACUGGGAAAUCAACCUCAAAGAUAGAUGUUUUGAACAGGGAUAGGACUCCUUCUGCAGAGAAAAUCUUAUUCAUGAAAAUAAUAUGGUUUUUCUUCACAAAGGGAAAUCUUACCUACAAUGUUUUAGCUUUCUCUAAGACACAAACUCAUAUUUGGAUGCCUUGGACUCUUCCAUUACCAAUGCUCUCAAACAAAGGCAGCUGCUUAUUUCCUUAGUCUUUUUUUGUUAUUGAUGUACCCUUUUUUUUGUUUCCAUAGUAUUUAGUAUUGUUGACAUGUUAUCCUUUGUUAAUUUAUAAAAGAUCAUGAAGUCCAGGAAUCUGUCCUCCAUCUCAUUGUCUCGUCUAUAAAUCCAUUACUAAAACAUGACUGGAUGGCAUUCAGUUGCUUCUAUCAAUUCUAUCUAUCAAAGUACAGUACAAGUUGGCAUUGUUUUGCGUUUCCUCACUUUAUUAACUCUCUUUGUUUUUUUUUUUUAAUUUGUGUGCACUUCCUGAUCACUUUUUUUUGUGCAUUUAUAGGAUCUACCAGAAUUUACAGAUCUAAGGCUAAAUGAAGAUAGGAUGCCAAUUUAUAACUCUCACAAAUAGUCAUAAAUAUUAUCACACUGGUAUGACUGGCAGAUGUUUUGAUCAAAACUGGAACUAUUUUGUUAUUGAUCAUGAUUUACGAAUGAUCAAAUACUAUUUUUAUUCUAUAGUCGAAUACUUCCUUUGCCAUACUGGUGUUUGACCGAAAGAGAUAGAAAAAUUGUAUCCAUGGCACUUUGCGUUUUGCAUUUGAUCAGGCAUUUGGUUUACGUGAUUUUGUUACAGCAAAAUGCACUUCAUUUGCUGCAUUUCUGUUCUUAAUACAACAUAAGUUCUGAUUAGAAAAAUGUUUCCAAUGCACUAGAAGUUUAAUGUUUAGCAAGUUGUUGCAGUUGUUUAUAGAUUCAAGCAUUGAUAAUGGAUGUUUAGCCACAAAAUUGAUGUAAAGCUACUGACUGCACUUAUCAAGUUUUGAAAGUAAAUGUUUGAAGUGUUUCUUUGGUUUUUUUCCUUUUUAACUAAUAAUUAGCCAUUGCAAUUUCUUUUGCAAAAUGUUUCCAUAAAACAAAUUAUUGAAGAGGUUUAUCUCCAUAAACUACAUGUUUAAGAAUUGAUCUGUUUCGGACUUUAUUAAUUCAAUAUACUUUUUUGGCAAAAAUUAUUAUUUAUUAUUUUAAGAUUGGAUAGGGUAUUCAUUCCAUUGCGAAGCGGGUUUAUGCCUCCUAGUUCGAAGGAUAUCAUACUUUUUGCCACCUGACUCAUUAAUAGUUCUUUGGUACUUAUAUGGAGGUGAGUUGUAUCUUCUCCUAGUUUCGAGUAACACAUUACGGAGCCCCCACGGGGUAGCUCGGACGGUGUGCUCCCCCUCUUUAGGGUAUGACCACUUACCUGGCAACCAGGGUUUGAGUUCCGUGGCUUACGUCUUCGGUGUGGAGUGGGGCCUCCUCUCCCGGAGCGCAGGGGAUUAGUCGAGCCCCGUAAGAAUUGACCCGGACACCCUCUGUGUCGACAAAAAAAAAAAAAAAAAGAGUAACACAUUACCGCUUGUCCGACUAAUAAAACGUUACAGUGCUGGAACAAUAGGAAUCACAAAUAAUUGAUACCAUCUCUUCCUCUGUCACUAAAGAAAUCUUUGAAAUCCCCACUAUUACUUAAUCUCUCUUCUGCCUUUCUCUCCAACCAAAAGGAAUGCACAAUAACAAGUCCGUAGUCCACCCUAGGAAAGACAGAACCCUCGUCUCUCUCCCUUGGAAAACGCCUUCAAUUUUCAAACAUCAACCCAACGACCUCACUGUUUACUCUCUCUCUUCUUCCUUUAAAAGUUUACAAAGCAAAGUGUCUAACUUUCCCUAGGGUUCAACUGAUAGCCCUUGUUCCAAGAAUCCAUUUUUAUUCUUUGAUUCUUCAAUUUCUUGAUCAAUUUUUUUCAUGGGUUUGAUCCGAUUUCAGUCUUUCGCAAAUCCCAUCAGAAUUACACUGAAAAAAAGUUACUGAUAUAUUUUUAUUUCGGUUUCUGGAUCAACAAUCCUGUUGAUCCAUCAAUGGAAUUGUUAUCUGAUGAAAUCAAAUCAAUCCCCAAGUUUUUGAAUCCAUAAAUGAAACCCAGAUCGUCAUUAAUCCGCAGCUCGUCGAUUUCAGAUAGCGCUGGGGGAUUAUCGUGCGUGCCAUUAUCAGCAGCAUCAUCAUCAAUGGCGGCGCCGAGGAGUGUGGUGGUUGAUGCUGGCAGUGUCGGCGUUGGAGUCGGAGGAGGGAGGGUGAGGGAUGAGGAGAAGAGUUUUGGGAUUAUACUGCAGCGAUGGCGGGGGAUUCGCCCACCGGCAAGAAGGGUAAAAUAGGGAAGGGGUGAUUUUUCCGUUAUCCCGGUGGGAAGUCAUGGCAGGGUUGGGUGUAUUUCUGUUGUUUUCCGUUGGAUUGGGUUGUAUUUACCUGACAAUGCCAGUUGCCGACUAUAGUAAGCUCAAGCUGCCUCGGACCCUUUCUGAUCUUCGGAUGCUCAAGUAAGUUGCUUGUUUUCUAUUACUUUUCUUUUAUAAAUGUAAUUUAUUUGGUUGGAUUUGUUUUUAAUUAUCGAUUGCUUUAUGAUAUGGGAGGACCCUUGUAUAUUGAAGUUUUUGUUUAACUGCUAUUUUAAGUAGUAGUGCUUGGAGUUAAUUGGUUAGGUUUAUAGGGGUGUUUUAGCAGUGUAAUGUGGAUAGCUAAAGUACAAUGUGCCUAUGGACACAGGAGGAACGGGUGAGACUUGAAUGGUAUUGCGACUUGAAUGGUAGAAGACUUGAUAGAUGGAAAUGGUAAUUUUUUGCACUUGCAUAGAAGUUCCAAGAUCCCAAAGUGUACUAUUGGUUUGGCCCUCCAAGAUCCUACGGUUUUUAAGAGCACAAGAUCCUGCGGUUUCUAAGAGCACAAUGUAUUGGCGUAUUGCUUCAGUUGGAGAAAGCUAUGCUAGAACUGAAGUAGGCUUUGGGCCUGAUGUGGAGAAGUGUAAUAUGUGGCAUCAUAUCAUCAAUUUGAAGAUAAUAAAUGUGAAAUGGGUAGGAAUGUACUGGUAUAUGAUUUAAUCAUUUGUCGUGUUUGAAUUUGAGACCUAGGUUCUUUCAUUAUCUUUGAGAAUAGGAAAUAUGGUAUGCAACUAGUUAAUAGUGGUUUAGAAUUCAGGACAUAUGAUUGAAAUAAAGACUUUUAUGGUCCUAGUGAUCUGUACUCCAAACCAAAGAAAUGCAAGAUAAGAAGGAGAGCUCUUCAGGUAAGGUUUCAAUGAAUGCAUGUGGUAAGAGUAAAAUGGACCUUAUGGUCGAUCCAAGGUCCUGUCCACCUGGACUCAAAUCUAGCUGAUCUUUAAUCUAUUUCUUCCAGCCAACUCAUGAACAAAUGUUGGACCAAUUUCACAGCUGGCGCAACUGAAUUGGUUGAUUGAAGACUGAAGAAAUGCCAAGUUGUCAAGGACAUGUAUGAAGAGGAGGCAGAUCCUCUAAAUUUACCAGAAAUAUGGGCAUAGUAAUUUAAAUUAUUUACCAAGUUGCCAAGUUAGUAGGUCCUUUAUUGUUUAUGAUUAUUCGGGAUGAUUAUUUGGGGAUGGCAGACAGUGAUUUAUAUAGUGGUUGUCAGGUAUUCACAGCUUUCUUCUUUGGCUUGUAACACAGUGAAAUGAGAAAUUGCAGAACAUAGUAAUCGAGGGCUUGUGUAAAGUAUGUAGUGUUGUGUUGUGGCUUUCUUGCGAUGUAGUUUGGGUCUUCUACAAUUAACUUCCAGGAGUUCAUUAGCAUUUAAAUUGUAACUACUGCACUCUGUCCAAAAUGGAAACAUAUUUCCUUAAUAUUGCCAAAGGAAUGUUAUAAUUGUCUUAUUCAUUUUGCCAAUUGCGCAGAACUUGUUCUGAGAGUUGAAACAGGUAUGUUGUGCUUGUGAAACUCCAAGUUUAGGAUCUUUGCACCAAUGUUUUAAAAGGCGAAAACAUUGGGCGAGGCAUUUGGUCCUUGCCCAGAUGGGGUGAAAGCCCCAAGGCAUGAGGCGUAAGCCCCACAAAUUUUGAUUAUUUAAUAUUAAAAAAUAUGAAGAAUACAAAAAGAAAAACUAUUAGAUUACUACAAAUAUACAAAUAUAGAGUAAAUGAAUAUUAAAAAAUCAAAAUGCAGAAAUGUUAGUGCUUUAAAAUUCUGCACCAAUUAAGCAGAUAAUUUCAAGUGAUUUAAUUCUUUCUCUUUAAAGUCAACACCAGAUUGAAAAUUUCCCCACAGCUCAAUUACAUCAACUGCCUUUACUCGUUCAAUUCCUGCCCCAAAAAAAACUUUCAUUCAAAAAAUAGAUUUUCAUUCAUUCUUUCCCCUGGGUUGUGAAGUAGUGGAAGCUGAGGGAUGGUGGUGACGAAGGGGCUGAGUUGCAAAUUUGGAGGAGUGAAAGACUUUGGUUGACUUGAUGAUGGAUUGACACUAUGUAAGAGGGAUUGAUGAGUGAAUAAAAAGAGGAAUUAGGGACUUUGGAGGGGAUUAGGGUUUAGGAAUUAGGGAUUUGCGAUUAAACACAGAGGCCUCUCGGUAUCUGUCGUGGAUUGUAAGGUUUUAAAAGUUGAAAAAAAGAACUGAAUUACAGGAAUUAUGGAACUAUAUCAAAAGGCAUAUGCCUUCUUCCUUGAGGCGAAAAAAACUCGCCCAGCACAGUAAUACGUUUGCCCCAUCAGUUGGGGGCGUGCACGCAACGGUAUGUCCACCCCUUCAACUGCCCGGGGCAGUUGACAUGUGCCCUGCCCUGGAGGCAUGCCUUAUUAACACCUCUCAAAACAAUGCUUUGCACUGCUUCUUGGUUUUACUCGUACAUUUAAUUGAGGAAUUCAUAUUGUGGGUUGGUCUGUUAGACAUGCCAAAAUGAAGUCUUGUAACACAGACAACAUAUGAUUUUUUAUGUUGUAAUAUUUUUUGCACCACAGCAUGUGGUUUCCCGAGAAUAAAUUUGCAAAUAUAUCUAGAAGUUCUUUGAAAGAGAUUUUUUUUCUCCAACCAAUCAAAGUUUUUAAAAUUUCUGGAGGUUCUUGAGUAGUUGUUGCUUGUCAAAAAAUUGGCCUACCUAGUUGGUUGCGUAUUCUUGGGCCAUUGAUAAAGUUCUGUGGGUUAUGCUGUGAAUAAAAUGACAGACUUGGAAGCAAAGUGGCUUAAAUUUUGUAAUGGAAUAAGCAUAAUCAUGUCAACAAGUUGCUUUUUAUCACCAAUAUCUGGUCUUAGAUGUGUGUCUUCCAGAUGAAGAUGUCAAAGCUGGAAUUACAUCAUAUUUGAAGCUACAUAGUUGAAAUAUUUUCUUUUAAUGGACCAAAAUUCGGGUAUUUCAUCUUUUUUUUUUUAAAAACAAAUUUUGGAGUUAGGAUUUUGAGUAAUCGGGUGUCCUAGCUUACCCUUUCUUCACUGUUAUCAUGUGAAUAUGGUUCUUUCAAGUUGUUUAUUUUGUCUACUCCCUCC
This 150783-nucleotide long non-coding RNA is filed under the name Coffea arabica (coffee). RNAcentral describes it as "long non-coding RNA (CARA_LNC003251)". Lineage: Eukaryota; Viridiplantae; Streptophyta; Magnoliopsida; Gentianales; Rubiaceae. The record is from RNAcentral.